UAUAUAGAGCUAGGCUGGUAUACUAUCGGUACUACCAAGUUGUUUUCAAUAAUGCCGCUUCCAAAUCGACGAUCGGCUCCAUUAGACUUGAUCUAUACUAUUUAAAGUAUUUGGAAGCUAAAUUUCAUAAUUUUUCGGCAUCAUUUUCCUAUCAAACGAGUAGUCUAAAAAUGAACGGCUGAAAAUAAAAAUCUCAUAAAAAAUGAUGAUAAAAGACUUGAAUUUAAUAUCAGAGGUACUGAUCUUACUCUAAAUAGUGAAAAAAAUUUUCUAUAAAAAUUUCAUCAGAUUUGGAUUAUUUUACACCGUUAAAUUCACAAACGCGUCACAUCAACCCUUAAAAUUGUCAAUUUUGAGACCUUUUGAUUACUAGCCAAACGAUGUCAAAAAAUUAUAUGGUUUCCAAAGACUUUUAAUAGUGUAGAUCAAGUCUAACGGAGUCGAUUGUCGAUUUGGAAGCGGCAUUAUUGAAAACAACUUGAUAGCACGGAGGCCUUCGUGCUAUUGAUAGUAUACCAGCCUAGCUCUCUCUCUCUCUCUCUCUCUCUCUCUCUCUAUAUAUAUAUAUAUAUAUAUAUAUAUAUAUAUAUAUAGAGUGAGCUGGUAUGCUUCUGGAAGCAUGGAGCCUUCCGUGCUUCCAAACCGUUUUCGAUGUUGGGACUUUCGAAUCGACGAUCAGCUCCGUUAAACUUGAUCUAGAGUAUUUGAAGUACCUAGAAAAUAAAUUUUGUGAUUUUUCGAUAUCAUUUGCCUGGUGAUUGAAGGGACUCAAAAUCAAUAAUUUUAAUGGCCGUGGUGAGCUGUUUGCAUGUUUAACGGUAUAGAAAUAUCUAAAUUACGUGAAAUUUUGAUAGAAAAUUCUUUAUACUAUAUAAAACAAGAUCAAUAUUUUUUAUCUAAAAUUUUAGGUAUCGUUUGGUUUAGGUAUAAGCAAGAACUAGCUAUUACAGGGAUAGGUACAAGUAUGGGGAUAAGAAAAAUAGCAUUUGGAUGAAAAUUGGGUUGUUUCUGGGGAUAAGAAAAAUAGCGUUGGAUAGAUAAUAUGGAAUAAAAAAAAUAUUAGGUAGUUUUAUAUAGAAAAUGGAGGUGUUGGUGGGGAUAGUUAUAACCGUUUAUUAUAGGUAACCGAGAAUUAUUGUUCUCGGGUAAAAAAUUAGUGUUUGGGUAUAAAGGGGGGAUAAGGGCAUAUCCCUAUCCCUAUCCCCUAACCAAACACUGCCUUAAUGUCAUAUCAUCAUAUUUUGUAAGAUUUUUAUUUUCAGCCGUUGAUUUUGAGCCACUUCGAUCACUAGGCAAAUGAUAUCAAAAAAUCGCAAAAUUUAUUUUCUAGAUACUUAAAAUACUCUAGAUCAAGUCUAACGGAGCUGAUCGUCGAUUCAAAAGUCCCAACAUCGAAAGCGACUUGGAAGCACGGAGCGCUCCAUGCUGGAAUACCAGGCGCACUCUAUAUAUAUAUAUAUAUAUAUAUAUAUAUAUAUUCUCUUGAAGAUGAUGCUGUUAUAUAUUGAUUCUAUCGUGGUUAACAUUCCUUAGGGUGCAUUUGGUUCGCACUAUCUUAUCUAGAUAUCCAGAAAUCUAGUAUAUAUUAUAGCAUUUGGAAUUCUAGUUAAUAUUCUGGUUAGAAACCUUUUAUUCCGAAUGGAAUAAAAUUUACUCCAAAAAGGGUAAUGUUAUUAACGGAAUGAGAGAGGGGUAAGUAUCUCACAUUUCUAAAUGCUUGUAAUCUGAGAUGGUUUUCCAAAUUCCUAAACUACCCUCAUGAAAUCUUGAAACCUAUUAUUUAUUUAAAUUUUAGUUUGAAAAUAAAUUUAAAUGCAAAUUUAAAUUAAAAUUUAAAGUAAAAUUCUUUAAGUUUUUUGAAUCCAAGAAUCAAAUUCUCAUUUUAAUUCACAAUUUAGAUGUAGAAUUUAAAUUUUGAAUAUUAAAUUGGAAUUUAAGAGUCAACGCACAUUUUGAAUUCAACAUUUGAACUCAAAAGAAAACAUUGAGUUUAAUGUUUUAUUUUAAAUACAUUUCGUAAUUAAAUCACUAGAAGCCCUUUGAAUUUAAAAAUGCUUCAAAUAAAUUUCGUUUUAAUUAAUCACUAGAAGCCUUGUGAAUUUAAAAAUUGAACUCAAAUUUGAACUGAAGCUUUAAACAUACAUUUCAAAUUGUACAUUGAUCUCAAAGUUUAAGUUUGAGUUUAAACAUAUAUUGUUUAGUUAAAUCAUUCAAAAUCCUUUGAAUUUUGAUAAUUAAACUCAAAUCUGAAUUCAAGAGUUAAAUAUAUGAUACAACUUGAAUUCAAUGUUGGAGCUCCAAAUUUGAGUUUAAUUUAUUUUAUGCAAAUAUAUUUAAAUUUUAAUUAAAUCACUAUAAAUCCUUUGAUAUUGGAAACUAAACUCAAAUUUGAGUAUAAUUUGGACAUAAAAUUUAAUUUAUAAUAUAAAAUUAAAUUUAAAUUUUUAUUCAGAUAAAUAUUUUAGUUAGAUAAAUAUUUCAAAAUUCAAAUAAAAAAAGGGGCUUAAAAACAAAUUGAAAUAUUAAGCCAGCAACAUAUAUAACGAGUUUAAGCUUGACUUUUUUUUAAAAAAAUUUCAAAAUCAAAAUUUUGAUUUAUAUAUUAAUUUUAUUUUAUAUUCUAAUGGUAAAUAAUGCCUUUAUGAAUAAAUAAAGUUCUUUCUGUCGAAAAUUUCUGGAAAAUUACAUAUAUCAUUAUCUAAAUUAUAGGAAAUCUAAUGGUUAAAUUAAACACAAUAAUUUUAUACUCCUGAUAAUUUAAGAUAAGACUAGAGCAUGAAUGAAACGCGAGAAAACUACAUUCCCACUAAUCUACUUACUGGAAAUGAUUUCCUUUAAUCUGAUAAUUCUUGGGAAUUCUUUGUUACGUGAACCGAAUGCAGCAUUAACUGAAUUAGAUGGAAGUAGGCACCAAGAUCAGUAGAUUGUAAGAGGUUAUGCAACAUGCUCGGUAUGAGUCACACCCAUGUUAGAGAAGCACUCUGUACUGCAAAAUGUUUUUACAACAUUUUGAAACUAUUUUUUAAGGCAACCUAACAAUCUAGAUUGAUAGAGAUGCAAUGAUGAUAUUCUGCAGAUUCCAACACAUUAGCGUACAAUAGGAACCUCUACAUUCUGACUAAAUUUUUAUCUGAUUACUCGGUAAGAAGAUUCGAGGAUCCACAUUUAAGCUGAUAAUACUCCUAUACAGCUAUACUUCAUUAUCAGAUGUUUCAGAUUACAUAGAUUUUGUUUUUUCUUCCAGUCUUGCACAAGAAUCUUAUGCUGUAUCAAAUAGAGCUUUCCUAGUCCCAUAUGCUAGUUUUUCACAGUACAAUUACGAAAUUUGGUGUAGAUUGAAAUGUUAACAAACCAGCGAGUAGUUCUCUUUGAUAGUGGUCUACUUUAGGAGGUGGUCUGGGUAAGACCUAUUGCCAAUCUAGAUGAACAUCAAAAGGGUGAUGUUACUUACUUUGUUAUUCUAGUAUACAAAACCAAAAUGUCUAGUCUACAAAACGAAAAUGGCUAUCUUAUGCAAGAUGCUCAAGUCUGCUUAAAGCAUGAGCCUGAGCCUGUUCUUGUGUCUAGACAAUAUCCUGGUGAUUGACAUAAUUAGACAUUUUCUAUUCACUCCCUGCAUCUGAUAACUAUCUCCUUGUUCUAAACUUGUAUUGCUUACCGUCGUUCAGUUAUUAUCUGUGGACCCAACAUAAUUUUUUUUUCUUUUUCUCGGCAUGCUUGCGAAGUGUGACGUUAAUGGGAAAAAGACUCUGGAUAUGUCCACUGCCGUGUCCUUAUUGAAGGGUGAAAAAAAGAACUUGCGUAGAAAAGAAAAACGUGCAAGGAUAGAACAAAUCAGGGUUACUCUUGGUCUUUCAGACUCUCAGAGGACCCCUACGGUAAUUUUCUAUUUAAUUUUUUUUUCCCUUUUUUCAAGAUUUCUUAUAUAUAAUUUUUGAGCUGCCACUAUUUAGAAGUUGCCGUAGUAAACUAUAUUCCAUUUUGCGUGCUCACUCGAGGAAAAUGCUGAAACAAUCUUGUUCAUUAAAUGCUGCUUAUCUCUGAAAACAAUAAUUGGUCAAGAAGUAAUGCUUUCUAGGACUUAAGCUGUUAUUACUGCUGAUAAAUAUGGGCAAAAUGUUUACAAGCACAUGCAGUAUCCAUAAAUAGAAUAUCAGUGCAAAAACUAUGAAGCCAAUAUAAAAAUGAGUAAACGUUAUUAGCUUGAGAAGCUUCCUGCUGGCUGCAGAUGACUUAAAACCGAAAUUAUGUGUUCCAACUAGUGGGCAUUACUUAAUCAUUGGAUUUUUUUUUUUUUGUAACCUUUAUUCACAGAAAGAUGUCAUCAUUAUCUCAAAAUGAGAUAAUUAAUCUUUCAAAUUUUGUUUUAUCAAUGGCUAGUAUGGAACAAAGGGAACUACUGUUGUUCAUUUCGUACUUUGGCUGUUUGACUAAAAAUUUUUAGAUCUUUUGGUAAUCACAAAUUCUAAGAAACUGGCUGGUUGAUUAGAAAAAUUUUAGAUCUUUGGCGAUGUUUGGUACCAUUGCCUUUUUAUUUUGGUUUUUAAUCACAUUCUAUGUAAUUGGAUGCAUGAGUGGAUGGACUUCUUGAUUUUCUGUUUUUGUUGGUGAGCUUGCAAUACACCCUGGAGGGAUGCUGAACAUCUCUUUUGGGAAAAUAAACCAGACAGAAAAAGUUGCAACUAAGUUUUUUCUUUGUUGCCAAACAAACGAGGUAAACGUACAAAUUGCAAGGAAGCAGCCAUCCACUGCUGCACUUCAUUGCAUUGGAUUUUGUGUUCUGAAAAAUGGACAAAAAAAAGCUGUAGUAUCAAAUGAGGCCUUAUUUGUCAAAAGAGUUUGUUGUUGCAUGGGCUUCAGAUAGUUCUUUUUGUAUUUUUCUGACAAUAUUGAUCGUUUAAUUCUGAUUGUAAAUUUUGUAGCCUGGAGAAACUUUGAGAGAUUUUUAUAGAAGAACAAGUAUGUACUGGCAAAUGGCUGCUCAUGAGCAUACUCAACACACUGGAAAGGUUUGUUACUCUGUUUUUUCAUCCAAAAUUCUGUACCAAUUCCUUUUUUUUCUAUUUAAUUUUGUUGACUUUUUUAUUGUUAUAUUUACCGGUAUCCCGCUAGUAAGAUACUUGGGUUAGGUUUUGGGGGUGGUUAGGUUCGAGCCCUUGCGUAGAGGGCAUAGUGAGGGGACGUUGAGGUAAAGGUAACGGUGUAAGAGGGGAGAGUUUUUUUUUUAAUGCAAAAUAUUGUAGUAUGAAUUCUUUAGAGGAGCCCUAGUAUAUAAUUCAUCCCCAAGUAGUUUGUGCCAGCCUUUUAAUUGCCCAGGUCAAUGCUCAAAAAACAAACAAGUAAAAAUGUUAUUUUACCCGAGGUUUAAAGUGCCGCUCCGUGCCGUUUAAAGUGCCACCCGGUGCCGCGGCACGUACCGUGCCACCAAAAUGAUGGCACGGUACGGGGGGGGUCUUGGACCCCCUUCCGUGCUGCAACAUGCGACGUCGUGCCGCAUGAGACAGCGGCACGACGCAGUGUGUGGCGGUACAGUGCCAUGCCGACACUUUGCUAUUUUUUUUUUGCUUUUUUUUGCUUUGUUUUGUUCUUUGGGGUAUCCGAAUCAUUCUAGGUACCCUACACCCUCCAAAAUCAAAAAUUUACUUAUUAGGUAAGUCAAAAAAAUUAUAGUUUAUUUUUUUGUUUAUCAAUAUACGGACAAAAGAUUUGUCCGAGCCCUUCGCUUCCACCACAGACAUCCAUUUUUUUCUUCCAAAAUUUUAUCAAAAUGUCGCACCGCAAAAUUUUUGGCAAAUUAAGGGAACAAUCGAACUCGAUAAACAAAUUUUGACGCACAUCAAACAUAAAAUUUCAUUUUUGUGCUAGAAGAUUGAAAAUACUGAUAAAAUUAAAAGCUAAAUUAAAUAAAUUGAUACUUAAAUUUAUUUAAUUUAUUUGUCGUAUAAUUUAUUGUUUAAUUUUUUGCCCAAUUUGCAUAAAAAAUCCACUAGUUUUUUUUGCAGAAGUGGGCUGUCUUUUUCGAUUUUGCAGAUUCGGGCCGGAUUUUCAGCCUUUUGACCAAAAUGCCCCUCGUCUACAUCCGCCUCUUUUGUAUACGGUGAGAAACGUAUAUCAUAACGUACGAUCCUGACAGGCAUUAAAUGCGCCCCUUGCGCUUUACGCAACCACACUCUCAUCGGAACCCGAACCAAAUCGGCCCCGCUAUUUGCCAGCCUCGGUGUUUGCUGUUCGGCUUUAAGAAAUUAAAUUUGCUGAAGCUACAUGAGAAAACCUACACGGCCGGCAAUAGGAAUAAUAGUGCAACGCGAAGAGAAAUGGUGCAACAACCCUUCUAACAGUGCAUCUUUCGGCUGGUAUCAGUGCAAUCUCUGCCGCUCAGAUGUGCAAUGCAGGUAUUCAACAUUCUCCCUCACGAGAGCAAUCUCCCAUUCCCCCGUAAGGAAGGCAGUCUUGUACCUAGACCAUAAGAAGCGUAGGGGAGUAUAAUCCAGCACUCUCCUUCCUUAUGGAAGCCUGGCAGUUUAUUCUAUCACUGUAUGCCGACCGCUGCAUUUGCAGAGGAGAAAUGGAAGAAGCGUCGGGAAGGGACAUGGCUUAAAGGUUAUGAACUGGAGGAGGGAUGAGGCAGAAGGAAGGAGGGGAACAAGGCGGUCACACCAGCAAACCGCUACCAAAAGGCCCAGCAAGUAUUAAUUGUAAGAGCCGCUUUCUCUUCCCGAGGAAAUAUUUGUGCAGGUGAAUAACCGGUGGAUAUUAAUUGUGCAAAUAUUUGUACCGGUCUCACUCCGCCUCACCCAUAAUCGAGUAGAACAUAUACGUUAUUGUACGACCUCUGCCGUGAGGAUUAAAUGCGACCUACGAGUGGAUACGCAACCUUCGAAAUAUCGGUAUGCGAACCAAAUCUGCCCCGCUAUUCGCCAUACUCAGUGUUCGAUGUUCGGUUCUUUGAAAUUUGGAAGAAACGUCACCGGCGACGAGAAUAUUGAUGCAAAUGGAAGUGAAAUAAUACAACAACCCUUAUAAAAGUGCAGUGCACACUUUAUAUUAGUGCAACAUUGUGGCAAACAGUGCACUAUUCGAGCAAAUAUUUUCCACGGUUGCUGUAAACGAACCAACCGAAAAAGGAAAGAUGUUCGGUCAUGUGGCAAACAGUGCACUAUUCGAGCAAAUAUUUUCCACGGUUGCUGUAAACGAACCAACCGAAAAAGGAAAGAUGUUCGGUCAUGUGGCAAACAGUGCACUAUUCGAGCAAAUAUGCUGCAAUAUUAGAUUAAAUCGUGUAAGAUCGUUCGAAAUAAAUUAAGAUUUAUUUAAAUAGAAUAAUCAUGUGGCUAUUCUGAAUACAUUUUCUCGCUGUACGCUGUUGACUGUUUGGUGUGCUAUCACGUCAGGACAUUACUGGAUUCUUACGAUGUGUGAUGAAUAGGUUGUCCCCAACGAGCAUCCCACUAACUAUCAACCGCCUUAUUGCUCCCAUUCCCCUAUUCUUACAAUUUAUGCAUUGUUUAUAACCACCAUCGUCCGCUUCGAAGCCCAAGUGGCCGUUACACUUUCAAUCUAUGUUGCUUGCAAUGGCCUCAAAGUCGUCGCAGUCUACUGAUUCUUCGUCUAACGCCGCCCGGAAGGCACUGUCGUGGCCGGUUAUCGGCGGCCCGGGCGGUAUAUUCAUUGUGAAUUCGAGGUGUUUCGUUGGAGCAUACAGGAAGACUUACGCGUCGGUCGUGAAGCCCCAUCAUCUUCCCGUCAUCCACAGUACCAUUUUCGGCAAUAUCUUAUAGUUUUUCGACAUCACCUCAGACAGGCUCAUGCUGGAGUUCAUUCUGCAACAUUGGAAGGAAGGUGUAGAAUUCGAAAUAGGCCCGCAGGUCAUAUGCUUCACGGCCCAGGAGAUUGCACUUCUGCUUGGAUUAUCCCUGUCGGGCCAAGUAUCAGAUCUAAAUCUGAAAGUUGAAUCGGAGAUUCAGAAGCGUUACCUUGAGGGGAAGAAGGUCGACCGCAAGAACCUCGAGGUAGUAUUGAAGGAGAAUGUCGCCCAAGGAGGACGAAGGCGACAUCUGCGACUUCGUCAAAUUACUCAUUCUGUAUUUUUUUUGUUGCAUUCUUUUCACAAAUACCAAUAAUAUUUGCCCAAAAGGCCUUGUUGCUAUCUUGUCGAUGAACUCUCUGGCCUGGGACGCUAUAAUUGGCCGAAGGCAGUACAUCGGCUAAUCAUCGACAGCCUAUGCUCCGCCGAAAUAAAAUUGCAAGGUAAUGUGUAGCGGGUGGGAUACGUUUUUGGAUGCACCCCUCUUCUCCCUGUAAGUGUAUAUUGUGAAAAUAGUUUUAGGUAUCUAUCAUAUUGCAAAGUAUAAAAACAUUUGCGACAGGUCGCAAGUAAUCGUGCAAAAGGACUUUGUUCUAUAUGUUAAUCGUGUAAUUUUAUGAACUAUAGCGUAAUAUUGUGCUGAUUAGUAGUGUAAUAUCGUCUUUGCAAUGAGGUGUGGAUAUAUGAGCACACUGGAUACAGAUGUCCUUUAUCUUUUUGCCGUGCAAUAUUUUCUCGUGUCCAGAUGUGGGAUACAAUUAGAUAGAUUCGGCAUUCACGGGUAUCGUCGAGAGUGAAGGAGGAUUUUAACUUCACUAGGUGCCGACGCAGGCUCGACCUCUCCCCGGAAGAAUAACGGUUGCUAGGGGUCAUGGUUGAUGUUCCACGUCGUCGGCGCCCCACCAAGAAUGAGGAACCCCCGAGUGGCUAUAAAGAGGUGAUAACAGCAAUUGUUCGUCUGGAGGGCGUGGUGUACAGUAUUGCCACCUCCGUGGUCGCCAUACUGAGCAAUCCUGCUCUUCUACCAGCACCAACAUCAUCGCCAGCGCCUGUUGGAAGUAAAGAGAGUAAAAAGAGGCACGAAAGCGUGCAAGUUCCACCCCCCACCGUCUGAAUCCUCUGGGCGCUCCUCACGACGUGUGAAGAAACGAAAGUUAGCAUCGCCCGUCUUGGCGAUGCCGGCAGAGAUCUCGGGCAAUAAGGUGAAACCCGAAUUCGGGCAAGAACGAACGCCUAGAUCGUCGAAAUCUAAAGAAGAUGGGGUCGUCACAAACUCCGCAGUCCAUCUAGAGUUCCCCAUGAGUGGCGUAAGAAGCGCACACCGGAGAAAGGCAAGCGAACUAGGAGCUCGUACCUUCUCCGACCGCUCUGGGGACGAAAGAAGAACGGCGGCGACCUGAUCGCCGACGUAUGUAACGCGCUUAUUAUUUACAUUCUCAAUAAGAGUGUGAUUCUUAUGUUACAUUCUCAAUACUAGUGUGAUUGGACCACACUGAGUUUAAUAAAAGUAUGUUUUAAUUAUUUAUUGGUGCAAAAGUUAUAGUUAUAGUGCAACAUUUAGUCAAGUAGUGUAACAUACAGCCGUAUCAAUUGUAUGCAGGUUGUGUCGCCGAGAGAGAGUGCACACCCGCGGGCGGCAAGAGAAUCGCAUCCGCGCCCGAUCAUUGUUUUUGAAGAACAAAUCGAAGAAGAUGACCGUACAAUAGUGCGUCUGUUCGCCGGCGACGUAGCAGUGGAAUGCGACUAAGUAUGUAAAUGUGUAAUUGUUGUUUAAAUAGUGUAAUUGUUAAACUAAUAGUUCAAAUGACUAUUUUUUUACACAAUUUCAACUGCAUAAUGUUGUCAUCCAAGUAUGUCACGACAUCCAACCAUUAUCUUCGCUACCAGAGGCGUCGGAACCCAUAUUGUCGGAAGUGUCGAAGUCUGGCGAAGUGGGGGCACCCGCAUCGCCGGAACUGGAGGCGGCGGCGGAACCAAUGGCGGCGCCGAUACCGGAGGCGGCGGCGGUGGAAGAGGAAAAGCCCGCCGAUGGGGCGGCACCCGCAUUGUCGAAACGGAAGGCGGUGGCGGAAGUAGUUAAGCCCACUGCGGCGGCGGAAGAAGCAAAGCCGGUCGAGGCCGCGCCACUCGUCUUGCCGGAAUGAAAAGCGGAGGCGGAAGCGCCGAAGCCCGCAGAGACGGCACGCACAACUAAACGGGUAACUGAAUGUUGCACCGGUACUUUUUAAUUAAUGCAAUAUUUCUUCUAUUUGUGUAAUAUUUAUCCACUAAUGGUUUAGUUCCCUAAAUGUUGCACUAUUUUAUUUUCCUGUGAAUAGGCGGCUGUUUUUAUCGACAACCCUCCCGACGAAUGCUCGCAAAUCGAAGAGACGCUAGGCUCGUGCCACACCGGCAUCGAAGGCUUCUACAUAAGAAGCGAAGUCCGCCAAGCCGGAACCCAACAAUACAAGGGUAUGUGAAUGUUGCAACGAUACUUUUAAAUAAUGCGAUAUUGCUUCUAAUAGUAUAAAAAAGUCCAGCAAUGGUGUAGUUCUCUAAAUGUUGCACUCUUUGAUUGAUUUAUAAACAAACCCCAGUAAUCAUCGACAUCCCCCACUCGGAAGAUACUCUUCCAAAACAAAAAAGGGCCAAAAACUACACGUCGCAAAAGCGAUGUCGACCAAGGAUUUAAAGUACUAUGGUAAGCGAGUGCUACCACAGGAGGACCAGAAGUUAAUAAAAAAAUAUUUCUUGUCAACGACACCAAAACGAUAAGCGUGCCCUCGAAAAACAUUGGCAUUGGUCAGAAGGACUUCGUCGACCUUACAAGUUACAUGGCCUUCGUCAGCUCCGAUAUUAUUGACUUCUACCAGCAUCUACUGGAGAAGGCGAAAGGCCAGAGGUGCAUAUACUCUACAAGCUUCCUUUAUCAAACCAUGGAUACAAAUUUUGGCUCAGAGAUGUUUAUGACGAAUGUGACCGAGGGGGCGAUUAGUGACGCAAAGUAUUGGUUCAUCCCGCUCUUCGACUUCGAGUACUUGCACUUGCUGGCAGUCGAUCUCCAAGAAGGAAAGUACCUCUACUUAUCGUCGAUCAAAAACGUUAAAUAUAACGCUGGGUUCGAAAAAGCGAUAAAUAUUCCCUUAAUAGUGUAAUAUUGUGCCUGGAUUAUUCUAUUAUUUUCUCUAAUUAGUGCAACAUUCCCUUAUUCAAUGUAAGUUCGUAUGAAAUUUCUUGGACAAAUUUUUCCGAUUUGUUUCGUCGCCGCGCCACCUGUCCCCUUGACUGAAAGAAGAUCAACAUAGAAAACAUCCUAAUCAAGAUAAGUCAAAUGACUGCUCUAUCUUCAUUUAGCAUACGAAGAAUACUUGCAGAAGGGGUGGAACAUUAACUUCUCCCAGAAGGAUGUGACGAAGAAACGCGACGAAAUUGCAGCAGAAUUUUUGCAGCAUUUUUACUUUGAAUGAUUUGAUUAAUUAUUUUUAAAUUUUUUUUCAAUUUUUUUCACAUUUGAGCAUUCGGUGGAUUUGUAAACAGCAAAUGUUUGGGUUUUACUGUGUAAAUACAUGACUCAAAAUUUUUCUGUAAUGGUGUAACACAACAACCAAUUACACAUAUUUGUUCAAAAUAGUGUAAGUUUGUAUAUAAAGAAGCAAAUCAAUGACUCCUUCACUCUCGACUAUCCCCGUGAACGCCGAGUCCAUCUAAUCGUAUCUCACCUCUGGAGACGAAGAAAUAUUGCACGGUGGAAAGGUAGAGAACAUUUGUACCCAGUGUGCUCAUAUAUCCACACCUGAUUGCAAAGACGAUAUUACACUACUAAUCAGCACAAUAUUACACUAUAGUUCACAAAAUUACAUGAUUAACAUAUAGAACAGAGUCUUUUUGCAUGAUUACUUGCGACCUGUCGCAAAUGUUCUUCUACUUUGCAAUAUGAGAGAUACCUGAAAAUAUUUUUACAAUAUACACUUACAGGGAGAAGAGGGGUGCAUCCAAGAACGUAUCUCACCCGCUUCACAUUAGUUUGCAAGUUUAUUGUGGCGGAGCAUAGGCUGUCGAUGAUUAGCCGACGUACUAGCGUCCCAGACCAGGGAGUUCAUCGACAAGAGCAACAAGACCUUUGGGGCAACAAAAAAAAAUACAGAAUAAGUAAUUUGACGAAGUCGCAGAUGUCGUCUUUGUCCUCCUUGGGUGACAUCUCUUUUAAUACCACCUCGAAGUUCUUGCGGUCGACUUUCUUCCUCUCAAGGUAAUGCUUCUGAAUUUUUUAUUCAACUUUCAGAUUUAGGUCUAAUACUUGGCCCGACAGGGGUAAUCCAAGUAGAACUACAACCUCCUGGGGCGUGAAGCGUAUGAUCUGCGGGCCUAUUUCGAAUUCUACACUCUUUCCAAUGUCGCAGGAUGAACUCCAGCAUGGGCCUGUCUGAGGUGAUGUCGGGAAAGUGUAAGAUAUUGCCGAAAAUGGUAUUGUGGACGACGGGAAGAUGAUAGGGCUUCACGACCGACGCAAGUCUUUCUGUACGCUCCGACGAAACACCUCGAAUUCACAAUGAAUCUACCGCCUGGGCCGCCAGUAACCGGCCACGACAGCGCCUUUCGGGCGGCGUCAGACGAAGAAUCAGUUGACUGCGACAACUUUGAGGCCAUUACAAGCAACGUAGAUUGAGAGUGUAGCGGCCACUGGGCUUCGAAGCGGGCGAUGGUGGUUAUAAACAGUGCAUAUAUUUUGAGAAUAGGGGAAUUGGAGCUAAGGCGGGUUGAUAGUUAGUGGGAUGCUCGUUGGGAACAACCUAUUCAUCACACAUCGUAAGAAUCCAGUAAUGUCCUGACGUGAUAGCACACCAAACAACCAACAGCGUACAGUGAGAAAAUAUAUUCAAAAUGGCCACAUGAUUAUUCUAUUUAAAUAAAUCUUACUAUAUUUCGAACGGUCUUACACGAUUUAAUCUAAUAUUGCAACAUAUUUGCUCGAAUAGUGCACUGUUUGCCACAUGAAUCUUCGGUCGGUUCGUUUACAGCUACUGGGGGGAAUAUUUGCUCGAAUAGUGCACUAAUAUAAAGUGUGCAUUGCACUUUUAUAAGGGUUGUUGCAUUAUUUCACUUCAAUUUGCAUCAAUAUUCCCGUCCGGUGGCGUUUUCUUCCAAAUUUCAGAGAACCGAACAGCAAACAUUAGGUAUGGCGAAUAGAGGGGCAGAUUUGGUUCGCAUACCGAUAUUUCGAAGAUUGCGUAUCCACUUACAAGUCGCAUUUAAUCCUCGCGCCAGAAGCCGUACAGUAACAUAUACGUUCUACUCGAUUAUGGGUGAGGCGGAGAGAGACCGGCACAAAUAUUUGCACAAUUAAUACCCACCGGUUAUUCACCUGCACAAAUAUUUUCUUGGGAAGGGAAAGCGGCUCUUACAAUUAAUACUUGUUGGGCUUUUUGGUAGCGGUUUGCUAGUGACCGCCUUGUUCCCCUCCUUCCUUCUGCCUCAUCCCUCCUCCAGUUCAUAACCCUGAAGCCAUGUCCCUCCCCGAUGCUUCUUCCACUUCUCCUCUGCAAACGCAACGGUCAGCAUACAGUGAUAGAAUAAACUGCCAGGCUUCAAUGUAGAGGGAGAGUGCUAGAUUAUACUCCCCUAUGCUUCUUGCGAUUUAGAUACAAGACUGCCUUAUGGGGGAGUGGGAGGUUGCUCUCGUAAGGGAGAAUGUUGAAUGCCAGCGUUGCAUAUCUGAGCGGCGGAGAUUGCACUGGUACCAGCUGAAAGAUGCACUGUUAGAAGGGUUGUUGCACCAUUUCUCUUCGUGUUGCUCCUUCGCAUUGCACUAUUAUUCCUAUUGCCGACCAUGUAGGUUUUGUCAUGUAUCUUCAGCAAAUUUAAUUUUUUAAAGCCAAACAUUAAACAUCGGGGCUGGCGAAUAGCGGGGCCGAUUUGGUUCGGGUUUCGAUGAGAGUGAGGUUGCGUAAAGCGCAAGGGGCGCAUUUAAUCCCCGCCAGGACCGUACGUUACGAUAUACGUUUCUCACCGAAUACAAAAGUGGCGGAUGUAGAGGAGGGUCAUUUUGGUCAAGCGGCUGAAAAUCUGGCCUGAAUCUACAAAAACCGAAAAAGACGGCCCACUUUUUCAAAAGCACAAAACUACUGGAUUUUUUAUGCAAAUUGGCCUAAUUUUUUGAUAGAUCUAUUAAUUUUUUGAAAAAAUAAUUAAAAAUAAUGUUUCAAAUACUUUUUAAAAUAAUUUUUUUGUAUUUUAUAAAUUUUAGAUUGUAAUAUGGUCAAAAGAAAAAAAAGAUGUUUUUGCAUUUUAAAAUUUCUAACUUAUAAAAAUUUUUAUUCUGCAUCAUAUAUAGUUGUACUUUACAUACAAAAAAAUUUACAAGUAUGUUAAUUGAUGAGUAUAGUAAACUAUAUAUAGCAAAUAUUCAUAAUUAUUUGAUUAAAUUUUUCAAAAUAACAUUUUAAGAGCUUAUUAGAAUAAAAAAAACUGAAAUAAGCCGGCACCAAAACAUGCCAGUAGGAGGUCAUGCGUAUCCAUUAGUAUGCAAGCGUAUCAUGUGUCGGCACGGAAGCGUACCAGUGCCGUACCGUGCAAGGCAAACAGCGGCACGCCCUCGUGCCACGGCACUUUAAACCUUGCUUUUACCUCUCUUGUUUUACCUAUAAUGGGAAUGACCAGAUAGUCAUGAAUAAAUGGCUUUGUCCUGUUUUUGAAAUAAAUUCUGUUCGAGUGGCUUUCCAUCAACUCUUAGGCCAACUUCUUGAUUUUCUUCCCCCCUUUUUUAACCUUCAAAUUGUAUAGGAUUUUGUUUUUCAUGGCUGAACUGCUCCCUCCGGGGGGCUUUUUUCCCACUCAAUCUUUGCUAAUGCUUCUCUCAUCUUUUCCGCAAGUUGUUUUGUACCUCUGUUACCAGAAUAAUCAGUAGGGGUGUAGCUUCAAGACUAUAUCUAAAUUUGAUGCCUCUUGGAGGCAUAAAUAACAAAAGAAUCAAAUAGAAGACGACCUAUGAAGCAUGUGUGCCUAAAUACAAAUACAGCUUCCCGGAUUGCAUAGGACAAUCAUUGCUCACUUUUUUGAGUUUGUGUCGACUAUCAAGUUAGCCGGUCAGAGUUGCGAUGUUCAUAAAUAAUGACAAGCCAUAAGCUGAAUUGCUGAUAAAGUAAAAUUGAUGGGGAACUGCUAUUAAGCGGGGAAUAAAGUGUUGAUCUUUGCUGUUAUUUUAUGGUUUGAUUUUAUUUGGACUGGAGGAAACCAAAGACCAUGAUUAUGCUAUAAUAACAAGAAGAAAGUUGUAGAUGCAAUGGUUGUUAUCUUUGCACAUUGUUAAUGCUAUUUGUUGUAAUAUCUUGGGAAUCAUUGCAUCGUCCCACCUGUACAUAUGCUUACAACAUUCAAACAGUAUAUUUUAUUGUUUGGAUUGAUUAAUUCAUCUUUCAUUGUGCACUACGUAUCAAUUUGAGUCUUUUAGCCAAGUUAGGAAUCGAUAAUGCUCCUUUACACAUCAUCUCGACCCAAUUUUGCUUUGACUAGCCACAGUUCUGUGCUCUCAACAUCUGUUCAGACAAAUUUUGGCAGCGACUCUAGAUUGUGGAUUUUUCGGUUCUCAUACAAAGACACCGUAUCACUGAUCAGUCGAGAGACAUUAACAGCUUCUAGUUUUGGUUUUUAUUCUUAAUAUUAAGUGCUUAGGAUAUAAAAUGAAGCAAUAUUUACAAGUCACUUCAAAUUAAGGAUCCGAUAUGGAUUGUUAAUUACUAUGCUUGAGCUACAGAUUUUUAGCGACUUAAUUUUAGUAGGCUUGCACAAUUUUUGAAACUGUCACUUAUUACUGUAUGUGAAUAGCCUUUUUUGUUUUCACUAUGGCUUCAAGUUUUGAUGUUAUAUGUCUAUAUAUUUGUAUUUAUUUGAACAUCAGGAGCUUCGGAAAGAUGGUUUUGAUCUUGCCGAAGCCCGAUAUAAGGAGCUCAAACCCAUACUUGAUGAGGUAACUUUUGGGCUGAAUUUUACCUAGUUGCUUGAUGUUUAUAUAGAUUUUUGAAAUAUUUUUAUUCAUUUGUUUCUGUCUCACAUGGUGUGCAGCUGGCAAUACUAGAGGCAGAACAAAAGGCUGAAGAAGAAGCCGGUGCCGAAACAAGUUCGAGAAAAAAAGUCACUAAGAAAAACAACCGAAAAAACCCAGCGAAGUAGUUUUAUUUUUCGUUGUGGCUUUUUGAAAAUCUCUUGCUUCAGUAAUACUUUUGUGCAUUAGUCAACGACGACGUCAUGGGCAAAAUUGUGUGUUUUGAUGCAGCAUUAUGAUGAUGAGAAAGAAAACCAUUGUGAAAUUUUGUCGGAGCCUAUUAUCAGCUUCUGUGUACAUUACUAGAUGUUUAUUUUUGUUUUGAUAUUUGGGUAUUUACAUAACUGUGUAUUUUGCUUCUGAAAUACUGAGGUGGGUAAGUGAACAUGUCCCGAACCAAUUUUGAACUGCUUUAGAAUCGAAACCUGGAAAUUGGGUAAUUGAAAACCUGGUUAGGGGACUGAUAUAAGAUAUUUUUAAAAAUUUUUUGUACUGCAUAAAAUUCGUGGUUAUUUGUAGUUUGUCCUUUAUUUUACUUAACAAGUUAAGCGGAAGAAGUGGAUUGGAUACCCAAAGAUAUCAUACCUUAAGGUGGUGUUUUAAAUUUCAAAGUUUAAAUUUUAAAUUUGAUAUUUUAAAUUUUAAAUUUUAAAUUUGAUAUUUUUAAUUUUUAAAUUUUAAAUUUGAUAUUUUAUAUCUUUAUUUUUUGUUUAUAAUUAUCAAUUAUUUUUUUNGUGGUUAUUUGUAGUUUGUCCUUUAUUUUACUUAACAAGUUAAGCGGAAGAAGUGGAUUGGAUACCCAAAGAUAUCAUACCUUAAGGUGGUGUUUUAAAUUUCAAAGUUUAAAAAUUAUAAUUUUAAAUUUUAAAUUUAAAAAUUUAAAUUCAAAAAUUAAAAAUUUAAAUUUAAUUUGAGAGGGAUAAUAUCAUUAUUUUUUGUUUAUAAUUAUCAAUUAUUUUUUUUUAUUUUCAAUAAUCAUCUAAACACAAUUUUUCUAGUUUCAACUUAUACUCAUAUUUUUAUCCAAAUAAAAAAAUAUUUUUGUUCUUACAAAAAUUCAUACUUGUAGCUAUUCUCGGUAUAACUAGUUUCAGCUUAUACUUUUGUUGGCCUCAAACUUAUGGGGCCUAAUUGCUUGCUAGUGGAUGAUACAACUGAGUAAGAAACAACUAAUGAAGCUCCUUAUUUUGGUGUUAGAACGAGUAUAUAUAUCUAGCUUGUGCCCUACCACAGCCCCGUUUGGAUACCUUAUAAAAUGUAGCAUGAUUAAACUAUGCUAUACCCGUAGAAAAUUUAUCUUAUGAGAUGUUUGGGAGGCUCGAAAGAGCACCAAUUUUUCAAAGCAUAGUUACACUACAUCCUAAAAAAUGGAGUAAAAUGAUAGCUCCAUCCCCCUCCUCUCUGCCUUAUGUAAAAUUUUAAAUUUUAAUGUAAGAUAUUUUAUUUUAAAUUUUAAAUUUGUAAAUUUUUAAAUUUAAAAUUUUUAAAUUUUUAAAUUUUAAUUUUUAAAUUUAAAUUUUGAAAAAUUAUAUAUAGACUUCUGAGUCUUUCAAAAUUUAAAGUUUAAAUUGUACAUUUUAAAUUUAAAUUUUUUUAAAUUUGAAUUUUAAAAUUUAAGAUUUAAGAUUUUAGAUUUCACAUUUCAGUUUUCUAAUUUCAAAUUUCAAGUUCCAAGCUCCUAAUUUCAAAUUUAAAAAUUCAAAAUUCAAAUACUUAAAUUUUAAAUUUAAAUUUAAAUUUUUUAAUUUUUAAUUUUCAAUUUUCUAAUUUCAAAUUUAAUAUUUCAAUUUUCAAUAUUCCAUUUUCAAAUUUUAACUUUUAAUUUUCAAAUUUAAAUUUAAAUUUAGAACUUCUAAUUUUCAAAUUUAAAUUUAAAUUUAGAACUUCUAAUUUCAAAAUUUUUAUCUCAAAUUUAAAAUUUUACUUUUUUAAAAUUUAAUUUUAUGUUUCAAAUUUCAAAUUUCAAUUUGAAAUUUCAUUUUUCAUAUUUCAUAUUCCAUAUUCUGAAUUUUGAAAUUUAAAAUUUAAAUUUAAAAUUUAAAUUUUUAUUUUUAAAUUUUGAAUUUUAAAUUUUAAAAUUUUAUUUUUAAGUUUUAAAUUUUGAAUUUUAAAAUUUAAAAUUUUAUUUUUUUGUUUUGAAUUUUGAAUUUUAAGUUUUAAAAUUUUAGUAUGAUACAUAUCCAAACAACUUAAAAAUGAAGCUGUGGAAUUUUUUUAUAGUUAUAGAAUUUUAUAUUUUAUUAAGAUCAAAAUCACAGAAUAGAAAUUUCAUGAUGUUUUUUAACUAUAUAUCCAAAUAUGGCCUCAAAGCUUUCUUUUGUAACUACAGUUUAGAGGUUUUAUUUUAACUCCUUGUAAGGUCUUGAAUAGUCAUAUUUAUUAGGACUAUCCGCUUGUUAUAUCAUUACUACAUUGAAUGAGUAUUUAAAAAAAAAAAACAAAACAAAAGUCAUGGAUUCAUGAUGCCGAAAAUGUUGGAACAAUGGCCACACAUAAAAUCUGUUUGUGAUUUAGAUCUAACUAAAUCUUAUUAUGAAAAUAAAUAAAUCAACUUACAUAUGAUCGCUAAAUCCAAAUAAAUACUUAAUUGAUCCAGAAGCGUGCGAUGCACUACCCUAAAGCGUAUUCCCGUCCUUACGUGUGGGAUUAACCGGAAAUAACACCCCAAGGUACGACCGGAAUUCCUCCUCCUGCGAGCACGAUCGUGAAGGAGGUUGACGGAGAUUCUUUCAACACCCAAUGAUAAAAAAAUCAAACAAAAUAAAGGUAAAAUAAAAAUUUAAAUAAUGUUUCUUCUUUUGUUUUUCCACUUGGCUCACUCUCAGUCAUAUAUAUGUCCUAGAUAAACAGUGCAAUCCAAUGUAUAUAUAUAUUGUGGAGAGAGAAUGGAACGUUGGAAAUUUUUCCAAUGUUUCCAACGGUCAUGCCUUUAUGUGGCAUAAAGAAGAAAUUAAUUACAUUUGAUCCAUCAAAUUAAUUAACAUAAUAAAAGAUAAUAAAUGAGAAUAAUUGUAAAAUUAAAUAAUAUUUAGAGAUUUUGGAUUUUUCACAUAAAUUUUGGAUUUUUCACCAACAGAAAAAGGCCUUAAAACUCCUACUACAGUGAAAAAAGUGAAUAAAUUUAUAAACUCCAAAAAAUUCUUCGCUAAAUUAUUGAGUGUGUUUCGUAGAUAGCUACUAUACUAGAGCUGAUUCUUGCUAGUAAAGCUUCCAAACAGGACUUGAUAAUAUCCAAAAAUACUUUUUGAGCACACCUCAAUAUGUUAUUGUUGUAAAUUUCUGAUAUUUUUUUUUUUAUUUUGAGAGAUUUUUUUUUUUUUUUAGAGAUAGGUAGCAUGCUACCCGCUUCGUUUAUUUUAUUUAGAAAUAAAUUUUAGCUGAAAAUGUGAAUCAAUUAGGAUUUGAACUUGGAACCUCGGAUACCAACCACCAAGCCCUUUGCCACUUAGUCUAGGGACGGUUGGUGAGAAAAAUUAUUGAAAUGUUGAUAAAUACAAAUGACACUUCUAACUGUGUUCAUAAACCAAGACACUUACAUGGAUAACAUUCUUAGGCACCUUAGUACCCUAUGUUUGAAGUGAAAAAAAAAAAAAAUUCCUAAUCAUAAUCGAAACCGAUUAGAUUCAGACUCAAGCAAUUUUGAUAGGUCUCCUGUUGACCAAAAAAUUUUGGGGCCAAUAAUUAUAAUUUAAAAUCUACAAUAGGCCCAUUCAUAAAUGUGAAUUAAUGGGCCUCAUUAAAGCCCUUUAAAACUUUAGGCCUAUACAAUAAUUCGGGCCUCGUCUCAGCCCAAUGAAUAAUUGUGGCCAACAAGUCUCAUCAAAGUAGGCUCAAUUUCAGCCCAAUUCAUGGGAUCAUGGCCCACAUUUUCACCCACGUUUGAAAAUUCAAUUUCGAAUAUCAUAUUCAAAUUCGAUUUUAAAUUUUUAAACCCCCCGAAAAUAUCUGUUAUCCUAAUAACCUUAUUCGAAAUUCGAUUUCGAACUUCGAAUCAACUCCCAAAAUAUCUCUCAACCAACAUUCAUUCGAAUUUUGAAUACCUAUCCAUCCCAUAACCCAUUCAAAAUUAAAUUUUUGAAUUUCGAAUCCCCAACCAACAUCCAUUCGAAUUUUGAAUACCUAACCAUCCAACAACCCAUUUAAAAUUUGAUUUCGAAUUUCGAAUCCCUAACCAAUUCCCAAAACAUCCUCCAACAACCUAUUCAAAAUUCGAUUUCGAAUUUUGAAUUCACUAACCAAUUCCCAAAAUAUCAUCCAACAACCCAUUCGAAAUUCGAAUUUCGAAUUCCCAACCAUUUCUCAAAAUAUCUUCCAACUAUCCAACAACUCAUUCAAAAUUCAAUUCCCAACCACGCCCCGAAAAUUCCAUCGACCUUGCGAGGUGCGUCAUUCGUGGUGGCAGACACCCUACUUUGUUAGGGCAUAACACUUCUUCUUCUUCUUUUGUCAUAACCUUACAUUACAUCUUUACUCGGGGAGAAGUGAUAUUUUUAGGCCAUGUUUAGAAGUAUGAAUAUUUUAUUCGAUAUAUUUUUUUAAUUUAUUCAAAAAAUGUGUACAUUUGAUUGAUAAAGAGUAUGAUCAAAUGUUUAAAAUUGAAUACUAUAUUCGCCCUUCGAUUCCGUUUUUCGAAUAAGAUAAAUUACUUCGUAGUUAAGAUAUGUUAUCCUGUUUAUUCAUAGAUAGUAAGACUUUUGAAGUAACAAAAAUCAAACUCAUCACAUACAAUCAUAAUAGAACAUUUAUUCAAAAUAAGUUAUUCUUAGAUAAUUAUUUCGAUAUCCAAACUUCAGUGAGGAACUCCCUAACGAUGUCUCAUUAAAGAGUAUUAAUCUAUCACCACGUGUCACUUUUAUCUCCAUCCAAAGAUUAUAAUCCCUCCCUCUAAAAUUUAAUAUUUCUUUUAAGUAUUAAUAUUUAAAAAUUCUGAACAAAUUAUUGGAUGAAAACAAAACUAACAUAUAACAGCGGAUCGGAAGCUCUCCAAUGAUGCGUCACUGGGGAGCUCCUCACUGAAGUUUUAUCCUGCAAACAGGGCCUUGAUAAAACUGGAAGGUCAUCUGCUCCUAACAAAAUAGUCUAUGCCAAUAUGAACCUCCCUUCCAAAAGGCUUGUGGUGGCAGUCCAAGAAUUUCUUUUUGCGUAUACAAAUUUGCUAUUCAAAAAAGAAUAAUAAAAAAAAAAAUGUAACUCAACAACAUUGUAAAGAAUGAUCCAAAAUCGACAUCGAUGCGUGUAAAAAUGUGCUAGCUUUAAAUAAUUUUUAUUCUUGUGAUAUUUCAUCUUACAUCGUGUGUGUGAAAUCUUGUAGUAGAUCAUUGAAUACCAAUAUGUGUAGAAGGGCCACAAAAAGAAUGACAUGUGAACUAAUCUAAAGAAUAAAAAUAUAAUAAAACCAUGAUUAUACAUCCUAUAAUACAAUUUGCAAGCCAUGGCCCAUGGGAGGUGGCUACAUGCUGGGGAAUGUCAUACUACGGUGACUAAUAGCCAUAAAUGCACGAAGAGCAAAUAUGCUAUUAGACCUAGCCUGGCUCCUGGCCUGCUCAUGAGCAUUCGGCCUCCCGAAACCCUGCAAUAAGUUAGAAGGAAAUUAAAGUCCUCGCUAAGUAAAAGCUUGUAGUUAUUAACAUAAAUAGAAAAACAACCAUACAAAAGCACCCGCAAUCAAAGAAGCCAAUUGAGAGAGACUAUGAACUGCUUUUAAUAUUAUGAGCAGACUGGAGUGUUAAACAAUGGUCCUCUAAUGGAAGCAUAAUAUUUUCUCUCUUUUCUUUACAUUCUAUCACUCUGUUAGAAUUUGGGUUCAGAUGAGGAUUUUGGGUCGACUUAAGAUGAAAAUCCGAUCCAAACAUGAUCUUAACUUGGUUCAAAUCCCAAAUUGCAAUGAAGCUGAUGGAAAGGUCCUCAAAGGAAAACUGAAGUAGCAACUCAUGAAACAUAAAUGAUACAAAUGAAACCACAGGGACAGGGCACUGAUUUGAAUAUGUGCUAUAACACAGCACCAUUUUAUUUCCGAACUUUAGCCCUUUCCCUCAGGCACAAAGGGAGAAUUAAACAAUUAAAGUAAACAGCAUUUCUCAAUUUUGGUGAAACUGACUAGGAGAUUGGGAUAAGCCCGUUAAAAAAUUUUAAAAUGUCAAUUCCCUUCGUAUUUCUGCAUAGAUUGCCAAACUGGGACAAAAUAGACCAUUUCACCUGGAUUAGCAAUUCAACUUUUGUAUUUUCUUUUCUUUUUCCUAAUAAAUAACAUAUAGUCUGGGUCUGGCACAUAGUGCCAAGACAGCUUGGCCUCUUUAGAUUGUGGAACAAUGAUUACACAUUUGAACUUGAAGGACAAGGUUAAAGAAAUUUUAAAAAAGAGACACCCAUCUGUUACUUUGUUGCAGUCAUCAGUUAAACAAAAAUUAUGGAAUGUUGCACAUAAAGUUAAAUGGCCGUAAAAGAUGCUACAGCACUGUUAUAAUGACUAAUAAAAGAAUCCUGUAAGUUGAAAAGGACUUUUUAUUCCAAAUGUGAAACAGAAUUUAUAAAAUGUAUUACUACAAUAGGAAAAUAGGAAUAGUUUGGUGAAUUGCUGGUAUUGCCAGAAAUUCUAAUAAGAAAUACACGUCAAGAAGCCCACAAAUAAGAUGAUGAAAAUUGUUAAGAUGGUUCGGACACAUCUAAAAAAAGAGACCGUGGCAUCAGCAAGAAGCGAACUGAAUCAAGGAAGGUUGAAGCUGUGGCAAAAAAGAUAAGAAUGGACUGACCCAAAAAACUUUUGGAACAUUAAACCAACACAGAUCUAGCUUGAUUGGUGUAAGAGAUGCUUUUAAUUGUUUUUGAUAAAAUAUUAAGCACAAAGAGUCUGGAAUAAUAGGUUAUGCAUAAUUUAAUGGCUGGUCCAUUUAGUAUGUCCAUUUUGUCAGAAAAUAUAAAUGUGCAUGUACAGAGGAAGAAGCAAUAUCAAAAGGACUAAAAGUACAAUGAAUUAACAUAUUUUUGCCAUAAACAGCUUACCAAAGACCAUCAACUCUAUCAGCAAUAAGCUUUCCUUGCUUUGGAAUAAGGCCAGUUGUGUUCAGCGACUUGAAAAAAUGACCUGUAAAGAAGAAGGUGCAACGAUAUUUAACAGCUAGAUAUUAUUGAUGAAUGUCACAAUAGACAAAGUAUACAGCAUCAAACCUUUGUCAUCAGUUUCCUGGGCAGCAAUUAAUCUCUCGGACUCCGGAUUAAUAUUAAGAAUAAGAUGGUCAUUUGACCCCUUACGCAUCGUUCUUGCAUGGGCUGCCGUGGAGACAGGAGGUAUCAAAGAUUUUCCCAUCGCCCCCUGCAAAUAUGCAAGUCAAACACAACACAAUGCAUAUCACAAACUAGAUGCAGGUUAAUCUAAAUUAAAAGUAUUAUUUUGGAUCUUCGAAACAUUUUUCUGGUGUUGUAUAGCUUCAACAAUAAAAUAUUUAAAAUUCCAAUGCAUACAAAAGCAAAUGCAAAUAAGAAUAACUAUAAUAGGUAUCAAUAAAGAGCUACAAUAUUGUAGAUAUCAUAUGAGUUUGACAAGUGACAUUACUACAGGAGGAUAAGUUACGAUAAUUGCUGUAACAGCGGAUGGCAGGGUAGGGAGGGAGGCAGGGAAUUUAUUUGAAAAUAUAAAUGAAACAUUCGUUUCAGGAACAAAUUUUGUGAACUAAGCAGAUUUAUUCCCAAGUUAUCCUCCUAUCCUAAGAUAAUGAGAAUGAAGCCAAUUCUGCAGUUGGUGUAAUAAUAACUGUAUAUCGUAAUAAUAGCUGCAUAGUAGGGACAAAGUGAGGGAUAGUGGCAGAUUAAUCAAAUUUGACCAAAACAACUAACGCCAAGUACUUUCUGGCGCAUUUGGUAGGGAAAAGUUUAGGUUAUUCUCCAGUUGUUCUGAGAUGAAACAAUGCCAACAUGUAGUAAAAGCACUAGAAAGUAAUCACAGUAUCUGAUGCAGGGUGAUUUAGGGAUGUUGAAAGUGAGAUGGGUUCUAAAUGAGAUUUGUUUAGAAGUUUGAAUUGAAUGACUCAGAAGAAACUGUAAAAAAAAAAAAGUGAUGACAGGUCAGUUUGUUUUGGUCUAAAGCAUCAAAACUAUCACCAAAAUUCGAAUUUAUUGAUACAUUUAAAAGUACUGAAGUUUCAGUCUUCAACCAGUUCGAUCUUCCAUGCCUUCUUCACAUGGAGAACAUCAUUUAAAUCUUUGGCAUGGACGUUGUUUUCUCCUUUAAUAAUGAGGUGCACCAAAAUUCCCAGCUCAUUCCUUUUCUUUUCUUUUUUUUAAACUUCAGUAAUUAACUUAAAAGAACAUCCCCACUAGAUUUACUAAUAAAGCUACCUCUGCCUUCUGUUUCUGGCCACUAUUAUAGUUAGAUUGACCCAAAUCAAGCACAACAAAGGCGGUGAUAAACUCUGAACUCUAUAGCUGAAUAGACAAACCUACAUAUAUGAAUUUUUUAUUUAUUUAUUCUGUGGGAGACUAUGUUGAAGAUGAGAAGGAUACGAAAAACAAGUCUACCAAUUCUUCGAUCUCAGAUAUCUCUGAACCAAUUGCUGAUGAAGAUGCUUCAAAGACAGUUCUUUCUUUGGCAGCCUCUGACUGCACAAGACGAGUACGAUACGAGUCUUCAAGAAUUUUGAGCUUUGUUGAUAGAUCAUCCACAACCUUCUCCUUGGCCUGCAACUUAGCUUCCACUUCCUGUAACGUAGACUUGUUAUUCUCAGAUUCGAUAGUUGAGGCAACAGCCAAUCUUUCCAACAAUGACAAGAGUGCCUUCACAGUGAUGGGUUUCUGAUCCUCAAAGGAAUCUUUUCCUCCCAACAGAUCAAUUAUUUUUCCUAAACCAACCGUCAAUUCAGCUAAUUCACUCCUCUUUGAUUCCAAAUCCUGAUAAUUGGAAUCAAAGAAUUCCCUGGCCUUCUUUAGCUGUUCGAUCUCAGUAACAUGAGAUGCAAGAAGUAACUGCAUGUCAUCCUUUUCAUAGGUCAAAGUAUCCAAUCUAUGCUGCAGAUCACUGACUUUAUCAACAAUAUACGAGAGCUUGUCAAUGGGACUUGAGAAAUAAAUUCCUUCGCCCUGGAACUGUGACUCAUCAGAAGAGAAAUUUAGCUUAUUUACUUUGUCAACAAGGGUUUCUACUUGGUCUUUUGAAAAUUGCUGAUCAUUUGUACCUGAAACAACAAAAGAACUUCAACAGAUAUGAGAACUGAAAAGAGCUAAGGGGAAAAAGAAGUGUCAAGGAUAAAUCUAUAUUGUCUCAUUACCUCCAUCUUUUGCAACCAAAAGCUGGAGUGGUGCAAGCCCUUCCUCUCUAGCCCUCACUAUAUCCUCUCUUGUCUGAUAAUUCUCUAUCCUGGUCUUCAUCUCGGUGUAAGCCUCUUGCAACGUAGCAAGAUCAUUUUCCAGCAGAGUACCUCUCUCUUGAUAAUGAUGACAGUCUUGAAAGGCAGUUUCCGCGGCCACCUCAGUUUGUUCCAAUUUGUGCUUAAGAUCAUGCAUAGAUCCUGCACAUAAUUUUUUAACAUCUACCAGCUGUCCAAUUUGCAUCUUUAGUCUCCCAGCAACAGAUAACAGACUAUCUGCUGCACUAACAUUCUCGCUAUCAUCCACCUUUGGUCCAGUUUCCACUUUGGAUCUUGAUUCCAACCCAAACAGAUCAUUGAAUCCAAUUUGGACCUCUUGGGUGUCAUCAAUACAUUCAGACAGAAGUGCCAUCAGUUCUUUUUGCAGAGAAAGCAGUUUACUUUCUUCAGCCUUGUUACGAGCUUCCAGCCUAUCUACAUGUGACUUCAAGGAUUCCUGUACUUCAAGAAUAUUGAAAAAUUCAUCCUUUGUUAUUUGCAAUGCUUGGAACGUACGUGCUAUAUGAUCAUCCAUGUAAGCUGACAAAUCUUUAAAAGAGUCUUCAAGAGAUUUGACCCAAUUAUUCAACCCUUCAAUCACCGUACCAAAGGAUAGAGCUUCAUCAAGGUUUGCCGAACUUGUUUUACCGUGAGCCAUUUUUCUGUUAAUAAAAUCUUCAUAAUUUGGUAGAGAGAAGAGCUUCACAAAUUCUGGAACCUAUAAAUUUUGAACAAUAAUUUAUCAGAUUAUGUCCCAAGCAUGAGAGGUUCAUUCAGCAAAAUGUAACACUGAGACAACAGAAAAUUGAAAAACUUAAUAGCAGAAAAAAAAAAGAUAAAUAGAAGAAAGACAAAUUAUGAGACAGCAUUGAUGUUUCUCUCUAGAUGCUAAUGAAGGAAAUUUAAAAAAUUUACUCCCUAAACUUAAAAUUUAUAUCCUUUGUUCUACUUCAUCACUACAGCUGAUUACAAGACAAGGCCAUGAAUCACUAUUAUCAAAUUAAUUACAUCGGUGCAUUGUACAGGAAAAAGAGCUACAUCAUUAAUCAAACAAGCAUCUAGUAAUAAUUAAUAUGUUCUUCAUGGUUUGCUACAACGAGCAAUUAAAACAUAAUUUAACGAAUCAAGAUUACAUAACAUACACUCAUUCAGCAACAAGUAGAAUAGGCACCAUCAAAAUGGUCGAAAUGAGCAAUUCAGUCCCUAUUUUCUCUUGUCGCUAACAAGUUGGCCAUUACAAUAAUUUUUGGGAUAUCUAACAGCAAUGAAGCAAACAAAACAUUCAAUUACCAAAAGUGUAUAACUGCAAACAUGAAGCAACAGGACUUGCAGUGAAUUAUAAUUACAUAAAGAUGUUAGGAUAUUCUGAACUACAUAUGACAUAAUAACCAGAAGACUAUUACAGAAUUUCAUGUCAUUCACCUUCCCGACGUAUAUAUAUAGAGAGUCUCUGCCUGCUAUACUAUUGUAAGUACCAUCACCUUCGUUCUCAUAAGUUGUUUACAAUGAUAGAGCUUUUGAAUCGACAAUCCAUGCCGUUAAACAUAAUUUAGAGCAUUUAAACAUUCCAGAAAUCAAAUUUCAUAACUUUUUGACAUCAUAUGCCCUAUGAUCAAAGGACCUCAAAAUUGACAUUUUAAAUGACCCGUAAGGAGCAUUUCCGAAUUAACGGUAUAGAAGAAUCGGAAUCGAUAAAAUCUUUAAUAGAAAAUUCUAUUCACUACAUAGAUCAAGAUCAAUAACUCCAAUCUUGAAUUUAAAAACCCUAUCCCCUAUUUUUAAGAGAUUGUUCGAUGUUGAUCGUUCAUUUUAUACCCAAUUGAUGGACUUUAUUAUACGUUCGAAAAAUUACAAAUUUCUAUUUCUACAUACUUCAAAUACUUUAGAUUAUGUCUAACGGUGUGGAUCAUUGAUUUGGAGGCUUCAUCAUCGAAAACGACUUUUGAGUAUGAAGGCCUCUAGAAGAGUAUAGUAUGUAUAUAUAUAGAGUUGAGCUGGAAUGCUAACGGUAGCAAACGGGCUCCGUUGCCACCCAUUUGUUUUCGAUGAUGGAGCUUUCAAAUCGAUGAUCGGCACCGUUGAACAUGAUCUAUAUCACUUGAAGUAUCUAGAAAUCAAAUUUCAAAUCUUUUCGACAUCAUUGACCUAAUGAUCAAAGGGUUUCAAAUUUGUAAUUUUAAUGGUCAAUAUGAGGCGUUUUCACCUUUAACGGUGUAAAACUAUCCAAAUCAAUUGAAUUUUGGUUAGAAAAUUCUUUAAACUAUUUAGAACGAGAUCUAUACUCUCGAUCUUGAUUAAAAAUUCCUAUCAUCACUUUUUAGAGGAUAUUCAUUUUCAGCCAUUCAUUUUUACGCCCACUUGAUAAACAAGAGAACAAUAUCGGAAAAGUAUGAAAUUUGAUUUCUGGAUAUUUCAAGUGGUAUAGAUUAUUUUCAACGGUACCGAUCGUCAAUUUGGAGGCUCUAUCAUCGAAAACAAAUGGGUGGCAACAGAGCCUGUUUGCUACCGAUAGUAUUCCAGCUCAACUCUAUAUAUAUAUAUAUAUAUAUAUAUAUAUAUAUAUAUAUAUAUAUAUAUAUANUAUAUAUAUAUAUAUAUAUAUAUAUAUAUAGGCUGGGGCUACUAUACUCUUAUGAGUAUAGAUCCUCUUGUACUCAUAAAUUUUUAACCGUUGAUUGAUGGAAUGUGUGGUUAGGAUGAUGGUGGUCCACACUUAAAAUGAUAGUGGUCCCCUAGGGUUGAGUGGGUAGUUGGUUGAAUAGUAUGAUCUAACGGGUGAAAAUGAUCAAUUGAAUAAAUCUAAGGGCUGAAAACUUAUGAGUAUAAGGGAGUCAAUACUCAUAAGAGUAUAGUAGCCGGACUCUAUAUAUAUAUAUAUAUAUAUAUAUAGGCUAAUAUUCUAUUAAUAGCACCAAGUCAUUAGUGCUACCAAGUUUUUGGCCAUUGGAUUAAGUGAUGUGCGGUUAGGAUGAUGUCGGUCCCCUAGGGUUGAGUGGGUGGUUGAUUGAAUAGUAUAAUCUAACGGGUGAAAAUGAUCGAAAGGAUAGAUCUAACGGCGAAAAACUUGGUAGCACCAAAUGCUUCGUGCUAUUAAUAGCAUAGUAGCCGAACUAUAUAUAUAUAUACACACGGAUUAUGCGGUCGGGUAAGACGCUUGCAUGGCGAGUCCGCACAUUCCUUGGGAAGAAUCCACAUCUCGCUGGAUCCUCAUGUAUCCACCCUCGCCCCACGCCGUUCCCCAUGAGUUUUUUAUGAGCCAAUACUUAGUUCCGUCGUCGGCCGNGUAUAGUAGCCGGACUCUAUAUAUAUAUAUAUAUAUAUAUAUAUAUAUAUAUAUAUAUAUAUAUAUAUAUAUAUAUAUACACAUAUAAGAGUCCAGCUACUAUACUCUUAUGAGUAUAGGACCCUUUAUACUCAUAAAUUUUCGGCUGUUAGAUCUACCCCUUUGAUCAUUUCCAUCCGUUAGAUCAUACUAUUCAACCAACCAGCCACUCAACCCUAGGGACCACUAUUAACCUAACCGCAUAUCACUUUAUCCAACGGUUGAAAACUUAUAAGUACAUAAGGAUCUAUACUCAUAAGAGUAUAGUAGCCCUAGCCUAUAUAUAGAAGUCAAAAAGGGAAUGCUACCACUUUAUGUAAAAGACCAGUCAAAUAAUUGAGCUUAAGCCACAUUCUUGUAGAUUGCUAUGUCCUUCAGGGCUUCAGUCCUGCUACUUGCACUAAAAUAUUUUUGGAAAAACAAGGGUAUAAAUGUUCUUUAAAUUAAUCUUUUACAGCUUUGACUGCUUUAACAUUAAAAAAAAAAACUUCAAACAAAUACGAUGAAAAUAGUCAGCAUAUGCAAAGACAACCAAUGAAUCAUAUAAGAAUAAUUCAUAGAAAAUGAAAAAAAGAAAAAGAAAAAAAAGAAUACCUCCUCCAAGCCAUGAUAGUCAUGAAGUCCCUUCGCAGAGAACUGCUCAUGCAUGCUCUGCAUUACAAGGCCCAUGUCUGUCAAGCUAUUGGUCUUUUUUCUGAACUCUUCAGUCAUCAAGGUUACAAGGUGUUCAUCCAUCAUAAGCAUCUUAAAUUGUCCAAGGUGACUAUGCAGUUCAGCUGAAUGACUUUCCAAACUGCCACGAGUUCCUGCCAACUCUUUAAAGCAUUCAGCAAUCUUGGCAUUCAAUGAGAUUAUCUGCUGUUCAUGCUUUUCUUCAGCUUCCCUCUUCUUUGCAUCCAGCAGAGAAAAACUAUUUUUUUCCCGUGAUAAUGCAUCUUCUAAUGAUUCUAUAGUUGCAUGGGCAUCAGCUAACUUGUUCGCAUUUAUAGAAGCUUCCUGUUUUGUUUUCUCAAACUCCUCCUCUAUACAAGCCUUAGCAAGUUGAAUUUCCUUCUCUUCUUCAGUAAUAAAAGAAAUAUGUUCUUUUGCUCUACUUAGUUCAUCCUCUAACGAUUUGAUAGUUAAAAAUGCAUCAGAUAACCUGCUAGCAUACGAGGUAGUUUCAUCUUUUACCUUAUGUAGCUCUUCCUGUACAUGAAUCUUAGCUGCUUCUGUUUCUUGAAUGUGCUUUGCAAUCCAGUUCACCUUCUCUAAAGGGCCUUCAAAGAUGUUAUCAGCUGGGAGAACAAUAUUUUCUAUAGAACUAACUAAUAUUUGCAGUGAAUUUUUGUUUUCAUCCAACAUCCUUUCUAGUUCUGUUCUUUGAUUAUGUAAGGACACAAUAUCAGACUCAAGCUUCUGAAUAAGCUUAGAAUGAGCAGACAAAUGCUCAAUUUGCUCCUUCAAGUCUGUGAUUGUCAAAUCCCUAGACUGUAUCUCAUGUUUUAGUUUCUCUAUUUCAGAGUUUUUCUCAUCCAAAGAAUGCUUGAUACCAUCACGUUCUUGCAUCAGGCCCUUUCCUUUCCUCACAGCCAUCGAAAGCUUUUCUCUGAGCAAAGAAGUUUUCUCAUCAGAUUUUUCAAGCUCUUUCUGUAAAGAGUCUUUCUCAUUUCUCAAAUUAGUAACUUCCCCUGAAAUUCUUUGCAAUUCUUCAUAUAGUCUGGUCCUUUCAGAUCUAUCAAUCAUCUCUUCUUCAAGAAUGUUCUUACACAGUAUCAGUUCCUGAUCAGUAAUGUACAAUAAACUUUGGAAACUCUCAAACUGCUCAAGAUCAGCAGAAGCAGCUUUUAUCCUUUCUUGGAUUCUAUCAACACAUUUCUGUAUCAUCAAGUUGCUGUCCACAAGAUGCUCACCAUCCAACUCAACUUCAGAAACAUCUACAAACGCCUUUAUCAGCUCAUCCUUUUGAUGAGAGACCUCAGACAGCUUUCCCGUGAUUCCUUCGUGCUUGGACCUUAAUUCAGCAUGCUCAUUUUUGAGAAUCUCUCUCUCCUGUUUCUCUUCCAAAAGAGACACUGUCAAACGCUCAAUUUCCUCGCGCAUCGAAGCUAAAUCUGAUUCAUGUGAUGCCGCAGCAAGCCGCAUCUGUGCAAUUUCAUCCUGCAUCCUGUUUACAUCAUCGUUAGCCUUUUUGAAUGAGCUUACUAGCCAGUUAAUCUGAGCAUCUGAUCCUAUAGAAGAAAUAGAUUCUGGUAGCUCAAUUGAGCACAAGGCAUUUUUAACUUUCUGAUGCUCUGCGAAAACUACAUCUGCAAUAUUCUUUUGAUCAACAAACCACCUGAUCUUAUCUACAGAAUCUGAGGAAAGCAGUUUCUCAGGAACAUUAGUCUCAGACAUCACCUUAUCGAUUUCCUGAUGAACCUUGUCCUUUUGUGAGAGCAACUCUUGAAGAGAACUGACAAGAUUGUGCGAUUCCUUGAGCUCAGCAGCACUAGCUUUAGCAGUCUCUAGGGCAUCAUUUGCUUCCUGUAACUCGAGUAAGCACUUCUCAAGAUCACUAGACUUCUCAGCUAAGGACAUCUUCAGCUCCUCAAGACUGGCCUCAGUGGCUUCCAUGGCAUCAGACUUCUGUUGCAACUCCACCAUGCACCUCUCGAGCUCACUUGUCCUCUCUUCUAAUGACUGCUUUAGCGAGUCACGAUGUUGCACCAAGGACUUGCCCUUUUUCGCAGCCAAACUGAGCUUUUCUUUGGUAGUAAAAUAUCUGUUCUCCGCUUGCUCAAGUUCCAUUUUCGUUUUGCUUGUCUCGGCAUUAGCCAUAUCUAAAUCAUCUUUCAUUUUCUUAACCUGCUCAUUCAAAACAACCAUUUCUUCCUCAAGUCUACCCAUCUUCUCUUGCAAAAAUUCCUCCUUUCUCUUGCUUUCAAGUAAGUGUUCUCGAGCAAGACCUAGAACAGAAAUAGGCUCAUUCCCUGAAGCAACCGAAUCAGGCCUAACUUCUCCCAAAGAAUCUCCAAGUUGUCUGAUUUCCAACAGCAACUCUCUGUGUUUCUCUAUGAGCAAAUAAGUUUUCUUCUCUAACGGAGAGUCUCCUUCAACAUCAGAAUCAAGCAAAGACCCAUGUUCUCGUCCAAUGACUGUGUCAAGGGAAGCUAGCAACCUACUGGAAGCAAGAUCCGAUCUCUCUCUCAGAGACUCCGACCAAAUCUCCCGAAUCGAACCCAAGUACGAAUCAAUGACAUUGCGCGAGAUCAAAGACACAGAAGCUUUUACAUUGAGGUCCUCAAUCUCCUGCUCUUUGGCAUGAAGAAGACUAUUCAGGAACUGAAUAGUGGCCUUAGUGUUUGCGUGCUCAUCAACAAUAGUUCUCAAAUGAUUGAUAAAUGUGGAACAGUCCUUCAACAUGGAAUGCAACGGCGUGGGAAACGACACUGCCAUUUCGUCGUCUCCACCGGACUCAACUCGAUGCGCAUGCACAACUGACUCAUCACUGCUUGCUGGCUGAUGAUCAAUAAUAUCUUGAAGUUGCUGCCGUAGACUGACCACUUCUCUCCCAAACACUUCUCUUUCUUCCUGAAUCAAGCAAGAAAAGGUCAUUUUACAAAAUCUACUACAUCAGAAAAGCGGAAGAGUUUGGAUACCACUUUACCACCCCAUGGUCAAACCUACACAACUUUACCACCUAAGUUUAUUUUUCCAGUAGGACGUGCCAUUUGGGACCGCUUCGAUGAGCGCAUCGUAACACGUGCAUAUGGGAAACAAACUAUAUAAGGAUUUAAGUGCUUAACCUUACUAAUCCUACAAUGUCAACAAGGAGUAUCUAAGGUUAAUUUUUCCGGGAGAAAAAGAAAAGGACGAUAAAUUCGGCGAUCUCACCUUAUACUUACAGCACUCCACCGCGGCGUCCUCGAGCCGGGCCUGGGCUCUGGCGAGCUCGCCCGCCGAUCUAUCCCCAGAUCUCUCCGCGAUCUCGAUCAGGUCCGACGCAUCCUCGAACGUCUCCUCCCGCCCGCCGUCCUCUCCGCGGUCCCGCUCGUCCGGCGCCUCCUGCGUCGACCCAUCAAUAUUCACCAGAAUGCCGCUAGAAUCCUGCACGUAAGAGUCAAAGCCGCAGUAUAUAAAUAAGAAUAUAUGUGCACGAACGCAAUAUUAUAAACGCAUAGAGAUCCAAACUUGCGAUAGGCAAUGAGGAGAAGAGAUGAGAUCUCUAAAUUCUGACCUGAUCGGGGUUGCCGGGGAGCUCGACGAGGACGCCGUCGCUGCUGCCGCUGUCGUUGCUGGGCGAUCCGGGAUCGGCGAAGGCGGAGGGGUCGGCGCCGGGGCUCUGCGGCGGCGACGAUGGCGGCGGCGGCGGCGGAGGCGGCGGCGCCACCGCCAGCCUCGGGACGGUGACCGGCGCGUCGUCGUCGGCGGCGGCGCCGGAGCUCGAGGAGUCGGAGCUGCUCCUCGACGCCUUCGGGGACGAUGCCGAAUCCGAAUCCGAAUCCGACAUUGAUUCGGACCAAUUCGACCGGAUUCAGAUCUAUGGAGUUGGACUGGGAGAAUUGGAUCGAAGAGGGAGAGGAGAGGAGAGGAGAGGACAAGGGGAUCGUCGGAGGGGAUAUCUUAUAUUAGCUCAUUAUUAAAACCCUAGGGAGGAGUAAGAACUAAGAAGGUGGGCAAUGGCGAGAGAGAGAGAGAGAGAGAGAGGAGAAGGGGCGAAGGAGACGAAAUUCUCGCCUGCACCCGGUCUACUCGUAUGCAUCAAAUAGUAUCUACACCGCGAGCGGAGCUACUAUACUAUAUAUACUCUUUAUUAUCGAGUCAUUUUCCAUAUUAAAGUUUUUAGUAGAAGAUUAAUUAAUACUUACUGUUAAUUAAACAUGAUUUCGAAAGCUUCGGAGUACCUAAAAAUCUAUUUUCGAAGAUUAUUAUAAGUUUAUCAAAUAAAUAUAACAUUAAUGGUCAAAAUUAAAUGAUUUUUCCUCAAAAAAAAUUUAAAAAUAUCUUCUGUAAAAAUAAAUAAAACUAUCCAAAAUACCCGAUAUACCAUACCCGAUCCGAACCCUACCUGGAUCCAAACCGAACCGGAUAAAAAAUAAAUAGUAUACUGGUGAAAAAAAAUUAUUCAUUAAAAUUUUGAAUACGGGUCCGGAUACUUUAUACCCAUACGAAUCCGAUCCGAAUCGGACAUUUUAAUAGGUAGGCUCGAGAAGAGUUUCCAAAUUCGGACUCAGACGGACUUAGACCUAGACCCGGUGAAGUUUAGUAAAUAAAAAAAAAAUUGAAGUUGAGGAAUCAAUUUCAAUAAAAUUUAUAGAUGAAGGGUCUUUUUAUGUUUUCAUCUUAGUGAAAACUUAGUCGCUAUGUUUACUCUUUUUUUUAAUUUUUUUUCUAUUCUUUUUUUUUUAAUUCUAACUGUUUAUUGCUUGAAUUUUUCUUUUGAGCGAAUUUUAUCAGACUGAGCGCAACUAGUUAGAACGCUAGUUUUUGUAGUAAGAGGUUUAUGAUUUGUUUAUAGACUAUUUAAUAAAAUUUAUAAAAUUAUAUGCAUAUGGGUAUCCAUACCCGAUCUAGCUCCGACCCGUACUCGAUCAAUUCCCGGUCUUAAGCAGGUAAUAUACGGAUAAUCACAACCCAAACUCGCUCAAAUAGACCUGAUGAGUACAUUAUUAACUUAAGUAUCUAGACCCGGAUCCGAUUCGAAAUUAAAUAGGUAGGGUUUUUUUUUUUCAAUUCAUUUCUUUUUAGGGUACAGGUAUAGUAAAUCAGCUAUCCAAGCCCGACCCGGUGUACGGACACCUUUAAUAAAAAGAAGAUUGCAUACUUCAAUUUAAAAUUAGAGUUAUUAAUCUUAAUCUAGAUAGUAUUAACAAAAAAUUGAUCAAGAUUCAACUAAUUUUAGUUAUUUUAUACUAUUAAAUGAGAAAAUGUUUUAUGUCAGCUAUCAAAAUUAUCAUUCUUUAGAUCUUUCCAACUUAAGGCAGUUGGUGUCAACAAAUUAUAAAAUUCAGUAUUUAAGAAGUUUAAAUGAAUUAAAUCUUAUUUAACAGCAUAAAUCAUCGAGUUGUAAGCUCUAUUAUAAAAAAUGACUUAUGGAACAAAAAUAAUCAUACUCAUAAAAGCAUCAUAUAACAUAUGAGGUAGCGCUACCCGCUUCGUUUAUUUCAUUUAGAAAUAAAUUUAGCUAGAAAUGUGAAUCAACUAGGAUUCAAAUUUGGGACUCGGGUACCAACCAUCAAACCCUUUGCCACUUGCUCUAGGAACGGUCGAUCAUACACAAGACCUCUAAAAACAUAUAAACCAUAAAGAAGUAUGAAGUUACUUAGGAGUUCAAGAGCACCAUACAGAAGUGUUUUCCUCAUCUACUUGGGGGAGUCAACUUGAGUUUUAGUUUUCUAAACGAAACUAUUUUUUAGUUUCACGGAAUGAGGGAUAUAAUGCACCGAAUAAAUUAACAAAAUGUGAAAUAAGUCAGGUAGACAUGAUUAAGUUGAGGCGAGUGUGGAUCGAAUUGAAAUGGAAUUUCGAAAAGAGGUAAAGUGUGAGUUCCAAAUUUUUUUAUUAGAUGCUUGAAACGGGAAUUCGAGCAUGCAGAAUGGAACGCCCAUUUUAGAGAAUGAGGUUGGAGAGAAGGGCCACUUUCGGGCGUUCGGAAUGUUUUAGACACUACUUGAGAACAUCCGGACCAUCUUUUGAACCCUCAACCUGAGAGAACUAUCGUGUGGCACAAUAAACUCUGGAUUACGCUGGGACACUCAAAAUGUAUUUUGUAUUUUGCAUGGACUAGUGGGCGUCUGGAUCACCAAUCAGGUACAAUUAAAUGAAAGGCGCCCAAAAGUUCAAUCGGGCGCCUAAAACCUAGUACAAAGACAGUAGGUUAUUUCUUUAUAAAUAAAUAAAAAAUAUUAGAGGUUUAUGUGCAAUAAAUAAAAAAUGUUAGAGAUUUAUGUGCUAUUGCAACAUUUCGAUAAAUGCCCAUUUCAUAGCCAAAACCCCAAUCUCUUCCCAUCUCUCUCUCUCUCUCUCUCUCUCUUCCUCUUCUCUUUCUAAAACGAAUGGUUCCCUAAUUUAGAGAUGUCAUAUUCCAACCCGAAACAUAACAGACGCUUGUAUAUCUGCUAAAUUAGCAAAUAUAUAAGGCUAGAGAAUCAAAGAGAAAACAGGCAAAAUAAUGAUUACAAAAUUUUUCACUAAAUCCAAGAAUCAAAUGUUGAGGUUAACAAUUGAAUUUCAACUAGAAUUAAAUGAAUUCUCACAUAUAUAUAUAUAGAACUAAAGUUUAUUAAAACCAGAGUUUAUUACGAAACACAAAUGAAAUUCUAUCCAAUAAUACCACAAUAUCAAAACAAAAGCAAAAUAAAUCCAGAUAAUAGUUUUACGAACUUCAUUUAUUCACAUCUAGUAGCCAGUUAUAAAAGCAAAAGAAAUUAAAUCCAGACAGUACUACAUCUAACGUUCACUAGGUCCCACUCCCGCCCGGCAAAUCAGUCUCGGUACCUGGGUAAACAAUCAUACGCCAUAUUAGUCUGAUUAAGCAUACAAAUAAAUAUAUAAUAAAUGCUCUGAAGUAAAUUUUUAUACAAAAAUUAAUUUAAGUGACUGGUCUUUAAUUUGCAAAAUUUUUAAAAUUAGAAAUGAUCAGAAUUUAAAAUUCAGAUCAAAUAUGGACUACAAAUUUACAAAGUAUUUUCUCUUUCAUCAAAUAAAUGAAAUAAAAAUUAAGUUCUUGAUAACUAAGUAUAUUGUGUGAUCCGUUGGAGAGAUCGAGAGGCAUCCGUAGGCGCAAAACAAAAUAGAGGCACACAAAGGUACAUAUAUAUAGAAUAAAGGCACUCGAAAGCACAAAUACAGAAUAGAGAUAUGGAUAGGCGUGACACCCAAAGGUGAAAUACAGAGACGAAACUAACUUCUAUAACAGAAUAUAUACCGACAUUGCCAACAUUAGUAUAGCAGAAUAUCAAAAGACAUUAUAAUUUAAAACACUUAUCUAGUCCCUAAUUUAUAGAACAGAUUAUCAAAUUUCAAAAUCUUUUGCUAAAAGAACUUUUCAAUCACAGUUGAAACUCAGUUUACAAAAAUAUUUAAUAGUACGCUCAACCCUUAAUUUUAUAAUCUAUAAAAUAAAGAUUUUUGCCCAAUCAGAAUAUUUUUCUAAAUUAUUUUAUGAAAAAUUAACGGGUGUCCAAUCGCUUAUCUCAAAUGUAGCUUCUAAGCUAAAGCUAUCCAAUCAAAAAUCCGAAGGGAAUCAAUCACCGAAACCUAAAUUAAGAAUUACGAUUCUCUAUAAGCUACUAAAAAUAAAAUUACAAAGAGAAUAUAAGCAUUCAGAAAGAUAAACUUAUACAAAAAUUUAAAUUUGGAUAAGCUCACAUAGAUUAACAAGAUUGGUUUCAAAUACAUGCAAUUUAAGUUGAGACGGAGCACGAAGGAGGUUUAGAAUAAUAAGCCCAAUGAAACUUAACUAUCCAUCAAGAAGAUGAAGAGCUAGCUAAGUUUAUUUCUAAAUGAAAUAAACGAAGCGGGUAGCAUACUACCUAUCUCUCAAUAAUAAACAAAGAUUCUAAUGUUCGAAAAGAGGGUUUUCAAAUGUUAAAUAUAGUUUUAAAAUUUACAAUCAGAUAGGAUCGAAACUAGAAACAAAACGACAUAUGCCUUCUCUUUGGCAUUUUGUCAAAUAUGUAAAGAGCAUUCCAAAAGUAUGUAGAAUGUACAGAAUUUACAUCACUAAAUCACAUGGAGAAUACAAGAUAAAAAAUUACGGUACAAUCAAUAUUAAUUUACAUCAAUAGAAAACAUAUCUUAAUGGUUUUAAAUUUCAAUCACCAAGAAAUAAGUAUUCAAAAAUAAUCACAUAACCAUAGAUAAGGAGUUUUGAUAUUGUCAAGAUUUGGUAAAAGAGACAAAAGAGGUAAGAGGAAAAGAACAUCUUCAAAGACAAAAACGAUGACGACGAGAUGUCAUCGGCGACAAGCUAAAAAUGCCGAUAGAGGUCAAGGAACACAACUGCGGCAGCGGCCACGGAUGAUGGCGACGACGAUGGUGAUCGAACGGCAUUGUACGCGCCUACGGGAGAUGGGAGGGGUUGUAUGGGUACAAGGAAAAGAGAGAUAAUGGGAGGUGGGUUGCUGAUAUGAAUUGAAAUAGAAGAUAAAAUUAGGGAUUUAAUUACACAAUAUACCACCAAGCCCCCAAUUUUUAAUAUUUACGAAAAGGCCUAAAUUUUAAAAAAAUAGGGGUCAAAAUAAAAAAUACAAAUGUAUAGGGUGUUAUAGGAGAUCCACUUAGUUGGAGGCUUGGAGAAGAUCGAGGGCCUCAAGAGGAGCUUCUAGGAGGAGGGAAGCAACCAUUUCACCCACGUUUUUCUUGUUAUGAGUUGAAAAUUUUAGGGUUCAUUUUGGAGCUUUUUUCAAAUAAAGAAUUUUUUUCUUAGAGCUCUUUGGAGAUUAAGGGUCAUCUCUAAAAGAGGGAAUUAGAGCCAAAGUGGAGAAUAUCAUCGAAAUGGAUUUGAUAUUUUCUUUCUUUAAAGUUUCUUUGGUUGCAUGCAUGUAUUGUGAGUAAUAUGUAAUCUAAAAUGUAACUUUAGUUGCAUGCUAAAGGAUCUAAUUGGUCAAAAUAGUAAGUGGGCAUUUGACUUAUGAAAAUAGAAUUUAGCCCUUUAUUAUGUUACAAGAAAGUACUUGACAAAUGCAUGUAAGUAUUAUGUAAAGUCUGAACAUUAGAAACAAGUAGGGCUGGCAAACGAGCGAGCCGGCUCGUGCUCGAAUAUAUAUAUAUAUAUAUAUAUAUAUAUAUAUAAAAUGUAUUUUAAUUAUAUAUAGGCUUUAAUUUAAUUUAGCUUGGCCCAUAAAAUAAACUAAACAAGUACAACCGUGCAAUUGAGCUCAACUCUAAAUUUACAUUACACACUCUCUCUUUCAGACUUUUACUGUUGCACAUAACCUAAAACAUAAUAACAUUCAAAUUUUCAAAUCCUUAAUUUUUUCCCCCUCUCUCUCUUUCUCUCUCUCUCUCUCUCGUUCUCCCUCAUACCCAUAGUUAAUUAAUUCGGAUUUGGCAAUAAUUCGAUAUGAAUAUAAUACGUAUAAAAUUCGUUUUCUAAUUUUUAAAUUCGUUGAAAAAUUCGGCUUAAAAAACGAAUUCGGUAUAAAAUAUAAAAUAUAAGAUAUAAAAUAUAAAAUAAUUUAUAUUUAAAAAUAAAAUUAUAAGUUUUUUAUUCAUAUUUUCAAUGAUUCGGCAAUAAUUCGCGAAUUAUUCGCGAAUAAUUCGCGAAUGGCCCAAAAAUUGGCGAAUAAUUCUCUCUCUUUCGAAAAAAUUCGUAAACGGACCGUUUAAUUCGGAUUUUCAAUAAUUCGCGAAUAAUUCGCGAAUUACUAACUAGGCUCAGACCCUCACCCCAUCAGGCAGUCACCCUAGCUCACAUUUCUUGCAAUUAUUUUGUAUUUUGAACUAUUAGACAUGUUGCAUCAAAUUGUAGGUAAUGUUCUAUAAAAAUUAAACUUUUGAUUAUAUAAUGUCGAGAAUUUCAAUCAGCUCGUUUAGAGCUCGAGCUCGGCUCGACUCGAAAUUAGGCUCGCUCGAGCUCGGCUCGAAUUAAUUUCAAGCCGAGCUUGAGCCUAGAUUUAGGCUCGAAAUUAAUUUCAAGCCGAAUUUGAGCUGACAUAAGCUCGCUCGAGCUCGGCUCGUUUCCACCCCUAGAAACAAGUGUGGCAUUUAAUCUAAGUUGAAACCUAAGGUGUGAAUGUAGUUGAAUGUAGUGGCACAUGAGCUCUAGGAAAAUUUUCAACUAGAGAACAUGAGAACAGGGAAAGGAACCUUAUGGAUUACCCCAGAAGUCAUUAACUUCGGGUGAAAGAUGAAUUAUGUUGCGACCUUCCGGAAGUGUUAUACAGGAGAAGUCCAAUCCUCUCAGUUCCUAAUGCCGCACUUUGGGAAGUCCGACAGCUCUCGACCCGAAGUGCUUAUCGAUUUAAGAGAAGUCUAAUCUCUCUCGACUCUCUAUAAGGUGUUUAAUAAGAAAGUAACCAAACUAAUAAAUUAGUUAAAGUUAGGAAAUAAAUUAUGAUAAUAAUUUAGGCAGAUGACAUAAUAAAUUGUUAGGGCAUAUUGUGUAUAUAUCGAGGCAUUGUAGUAGCAAUUGAUUUCUUACAUUUGUAUUGUAGAAGUAGAUGUUUUGUUAUUAUUAUUGUCUACUAAUGUCUCCUUUUGAUCGAAUGAGUAUAGAGUGCCACUUUCGGCAGUUGCACCUAAUAGAAACUUAAAUUCUUACCCAGUUGUUUGUCUACCCCUUUUCAAAUCUUACUAUCGCCUCUGAGGAGUAGAACCGCGACAGGGGCAUCAUGGAGUUGCUAGAUCGUUGUGAAUCAAUCUAGUGGCUACCUUUAGGGUGUGUUUGGUUCGAAGUCGGAAUUGAUAUCAGAAUUGAAAUGAGAAUAAGCUGGAAACAGAAUCGGAAUGAUUCAUUACCUCAUUCUGUUUGGUUCGCCACUUGAAUUGGAAUCGGAAUAAACAAUUUCCAUCGUUGAUAUUUAGUUCAGAUCGAUAUCAGAAACGUAAUCAAAUUAAUAUGCCAAUUUUAUCUUUAUAAUAUAUCAGUCUAAAUUCAAACUAAAAAUGAAAUAUUAAAUAUUUACAUCAAAAUUUUAAAAUAAUGUCAAAAUUUUAAAUAUAUUUUUUAAAAAAUUAAAAUUUGAAAUUGAAUAGAUAAUUAAAAUAUAAAACUAGAUUUCGAUUUAUUCAAAUUAAAACUUAAAAAGUAUAAUUUAAAUUUAAAUUUGAAUCCAUAAAUUUAAUUUAAAUUUUAAAUAAAAUUUGAAUAAAACUUUAGAUUUUAAAUUAAAUUUAAAUUUAAAUUCAAAUUUAUAAGUUAGAUUCAAAAAGCUUGAUUGAAUUUUAAUUUUUAAUUUAAGUUCAAAUUUAAACUUAAAUUUAAAUUAUUUUAUAUAUUUUAGACUUCUUCCAACAGUUUUAUAUAGAAAAAAUCAUUCUAAUUUACAUAAUGUAGAAAACCGAUUUACAAAAAUGUACAUUAUAAUUUUUAGUUUAACGAAUUAUUAAUUAAGAUCAACAAUGAGGCCUAUAGGAUAUUUAAUUAAAAAAUAACUAAAGUAGAUGAAUCAAAGCGUUCAUCAACUAAAUCAUAAACAAAAAUCAGGUCAUUCUUGGAUGAAAAAUAUAUUUAUUAGCCCCACAUUAUAUCAUACAAUUAUUUAUAAUUAGGUAUAACUAUAUAGGAGCAAAUUAGUCCAAGACUCUUAUAUAUAUAUGUAGUCUAUAUGGUGGAGGAUAUUUUUGCUAUAAUUUAUUAAAAUUUUUAAUUUACUCAGCCCAAAUCUAGAGUUAUAAUUUCGAAACCCAAAGUCCGACCCAUAUAUAGCCCAUUAGACCGGGCCUUGUUUAGGCCCAGACCCAAUUCCUAUCCUAUUUCUAGUCCAUACUUUUGAUGAUAUGAUAAUAAUUAAAAUAUCGCAUCACUUUCAUAUAAGUGUUAUAUUAAUAUUUAGUUAACUAACUUAGGUUGUAUUACUUGAUUGCAUUGUUUUAUAUAGUCCGAGAAAAAAAUUAUAAUAAAUUAAAAUUUUAGGACCAAAAUGUCACACUAUUCAUAGUCUGUCGACUAAACGUGAAGUUGAGCCUAUAAAUAAAUAUAUAAUUAGGUUAGACGAUUCGUAUAUUAUGUAUCUGAUUGCGUUACAUUCUAUGAGAUAUUUAGUUUUAUAUGUACGUAAUUUCACGUUACACAUAUCCAAUAAAUUAUCCAAUAAGUUAGUUACAAUAUAUUUUUUUGUAAGCAUUGAAACUUUUCAUGCAACUUUAUUUUGCCUAAUGCCUAAUGGCAUCUCAUGCUAAGUCGAUAACCCAAAAAGAAUUGUUGCGGUUGCAACUCUUAUCCAAGGAUUGAAAUAUUUUUUCUAGGGUUUAAAUUUAUAUUUGGUAUUUACUUAAAAAAAUAGAGGAAAAAAAUAGUAUGAAAAUUUAGAUUAAUAAUAUUAUAACUAAAAAAUAAUUAUAGAUAUGGCAUUGUUCAACAGAAAGGUAACAAUUCAACAAAUUUGUGACGAUGACACCCUGAGGUUGAGUUUUUUUGUCGAAUUAUUAAUGGAUACAAAAACCCAAAAAAAAAAAAAAAUUGCAAAAAUUAAAAAGCUCCUUCCUUUUUUUGUUACGCCAUAUAAAGAUGUUCGCUGAAGCACAUUAUAAAAAUAAUGCAGAAAUUAAAAGUACAUGAAUGAGAAAGAAAUUAACCCUAAAAAGAAACUUAUUGCUCCUACAGAAUCCAAAUCAUAUAAAAAGAUUAAUUAAUCUUUUUGACGAGUAGAAUAUUCUAGAAGUAAUCUAAAUGAUAAUAUUGAACUAUUUUCGUAUAGAUUUUUACUCGUGCGUUUAGAAUUAAUUCUUACCUUGUCAAAAAAUAUCGUCCCAUGAAUCCCACCACGAAUGCCUUCGUAUGUUCGAUAAAAAUUCACCAGGAAAGAGCGGCUGUAACAAAAAUUAAGCCCAUCAGAUCAUCCAAAUAAAAAAAAAGAAAAGAAAAAGACUUAAUAUACUUUCUAUCCUUCAAAGUUUGCUAUACUAAUAUAUGUUAAAGUGGGGUGCGCAUGUUACACCAUUCAAGAUCAGUAAUCUUUUGACUUCGUCGCAUUAAUUUUUUUUAUUUUUAUUAAAAAUUAUUUGAAUUUUUACUUUGUCACAUUAAUUUUUUUUUUUUAUUUUUACUAAAAAUUAUUUGAAUUUUUAUGAAAUAGAAAGAUAGUGGGUUAAUUACUGUAAAAAAAUAAUAAGAAUAGUUUGCACACAAAGGGGAACAAAGUUAAGUUAAGUUAAUACGUACGCCGAGCUGUUGCUGUAUGGAUCUCGGCCACCUCUUCUUGGGUCGCCAGCCUGGCCUUUUUCCGGUGAUGUGCAUGAAGUCGUUCUUGAUUUCCGCCUUGGAGAGCGCGAAGGAGAACGUCGGACUCUUUUGCCUUAUGGGCAGAGGAUUGUCGCGAUCCGGCAGCGGCCGGAACGGUAAGCCGGUCUUCUGGUCACCGGAGGCCGCCCUUCUUCUGCUCCUCAGAUUCCACAUCGGCAACGAAGGCGGCGGCGGUGGCGGCAGCGGCGGCAGCGGUUCCUCAUUUUCCUUUUCCUUUUCCUUUUCCUCCCCCUCUUCUGCUUGCAUCUUCUUCUUCUUCCGCCGCUGCUGCCGCGGAGGCAACGCAUUCGUAAUCGGCGGGUUGCAACGAGUCCGGGUCUUUAGAGCAUUGCGGUGGUAGGACGUAUUGUUUAAAGACGGGAAUCGGGGGUUCGGGAGGUGCGGCCGAGAGGGCCGCAGCCGAGGCGGACCAAUGCCGUCUUCCGCCGGUGGAUCUUCCUCUCGGCCUCGGACGGCAUCCGGCCGGAACGCGGGCUGCCGUGUCGGUGUUUCGGGGCUGUCGCCGGAUCUUUUCUGAUGCGUCGGAGGCGGGAGCGUCGACGGCGUAGAGCCCUCCAUGAGUGCAAGUCGAUCGAUCUCUCCCUUGUGUUUUCCACCUUUAAUUCAACUAUUUUUCUAUAUAUUAGCAAGCAAAUUGCAUUAUUAUUAUUAUUAUUAUUAUUUCGGAAAAACUUCAAAUACCACCAUGUGGUUUCAUAUUUUCUCACUUUAGUAUCCUGUUGUUUAAAGUCUAUCAAUUUAGUACCAUGUCGUUUCAUUUUUAUCUUUUUAUUAUCGAUUUCACUAAUUUUUUUCGUUAAACGGUGAUAACGUUAAAACUAAAGAAUAUUAAAGUGAAUAUUUGAUAAAUCUAGAUAGAGUAUGUGAAGUUUUUUUUGUAUAUAAUUUAAUAAAAUAUUAACGAAAAAACUGACGAAAAGAUAAAAAUAAACUGAGAAAGUGCGAAACCACAAGGGUGGUAUCUGAAGUUUAUCCUUUUUUCUAGAGAAAGAUAGCAUGCUACCCGCUUUGUUUAAAUUUUUUUAAAAAAUAAACUUAGCUAGAAAUAUGAAUAAGUUAAUAUUCAAACUUUGGACCUCGAGUACCGACCACCAAACCCUUUACUGCCACUUGCGCCAAGUACAAUCGGUUAAAUUGCAUUAUUAGUCCCUCAACUUUGAGUCAAAUUCAAUUUGGUUGAUUCUCAAACUUUAAAUUUCGUAAUUUUUGAACUUCUAACAGUGCUAAAUUUUCAUCGUUAUAUUCGAUUAAAAAUAGUUUCUUGCAUCUUCUCGAUACAUUAUGCCUCCAUUUGGUUCGGGAGUAAGGGGAAAUAAGCUCUUGUUCUGUUUUUAUACGAAUUUUUGGAAUAAAUUGCUAUAAUUUGAUAUAAGGUUGGAACUGUUAGAAAAGUUUGUUCCCAAGUGAAAAUAAAAUUAAUUAAAGUCUAAAUUUAAUUUUAAUUAUAAUAUUAAAUUAUUAAUUAAUCUAAUUAAUAUGUUUAAAUCAUUAUCCAUUACUUAAAUAAUAAAAUAAUUAAUUAACUUAUUAUUUAUAAUUAAUUAGCUGGUUAAUUAUUAAUAAUUUAAUAUAUUUAUUCAUAAACUAAUAUUUAUAUUGAUCAAUCAUUAAUAUUUUUAUUAAUUUUAUUAAUUUUUUACUAGUUAUCUAACUAAAAUAAUUUACUAACUAAUUAAAAAAUUAAAUUAUACUUAAUAUUUAAUUAAUGAAUGAAUAUAUUUUUAUUAUCUUAUACAAUAUUCAUAGCUAAUAAAUUUAUUAAUUUAUUAAAUUAUUUUUAAUUAAUAUUUUGAUGUUAAUUAAUUAAAUAAAAUAUUUUUAAUUUAAAAUUAUAACCCUUCCAAUCUAACCAUUCAAACACUAUUUAUCUUAUUCCCAUGAAUAAGCCAAUUUUCAUCCAAACACAAAUUUGGUCUAAUACCUAUUUAUACCUGAACUUGUACCCAUCUCUAGAAUAAGCAAUUCUUACUUAUAUCCGAACCAAAUGUAGCUUAUUAAGUUUAUUGUUUCUUCAUAUGUGUUAUACUUUUAAUUUAGAGAUCAAAAUCUUAUAUAAAAAUUUUCAUAAUUUAAUGGACAAUAGAAUUAAAAUAUAAAAAUAAAUCCGUGAUACAGAAAUGCAGAGAUGCAUUACAGGCAAUAAUUAGAUUAUUCUCGCCUAAAAUAAAACUUAGGCGUUUGAGGAUUAAAGGACUACUAAUAUUAAAAUUAAAAGUUCAAGGACGAAAGUGAAAUUCGACAGAAACUUUGGUACUAAUGAUCAAUUGGUCUGAAUUAACGAUGCAAAUUUUAAAAACAUAUAACUCUUACAGGAAUUGAUUAUAUAUUGAGAUAAUAUUCAACCCAACCCAACCCAACCCAAAUCUGAAUCUGAAAUUUUUCAAAUAUGAGUUAGAAUUUUACUAGAUCCGACUCAUAUUCAAAUUCAGAACCAGAUCUCGAACUAAAAUAUUUUUGGAUUCGGAUUCGGUUUUGGGCUCACUAUAAUUCUUCCGAUUUGGAUUAUUGAAUUCGAAACUUGUUUUGAUAUAUUUUCAGCGUGCUACAUCCUCUUUGAAUCUAUUUUUAAUAUUAUAUAUAUUUUUAGAAUUCGUAAGGUUUUUUUUUAAUAUUUUUCUAACUUUUUCUAUAAAAUUAAGAAGCGUACAUAUAUGUUGUAUAUAUUUUGCUUUUAGUACUAUAUAUUACUCAAAUAUUUUAUUCGCAGCCCUAUUUAUUUAAUAUUCAAUCUUAUUGAAUAUAUAUUUAAAUUUUAAUAUCCAAUCAACAUCUAAAUCUGUAUGCGAAUCUGAUAUAAAAAUAUUGAUAUGGAUACAAGUUAAGCACAAUCUAAGCCCUAAAGAUAUAUGAUAUUUACUAUUUGACCUGAAUCGGAGUCGGAACUCGUGUGAGAAUGAAUAUUUUCAAAUAAAACCAUUCGCUCACCGUUAGGAGGUGAACCUUGUUGAGCUUUUUCUUUUCUUUUCUUUUCUUUUCACUUCUAAAACCGAAUUAAAGCAAAUUAGAACACAAACUAAAUCGAACCAAACUGAAAUAAUUUGAUCGGCUCGUAUAUUCGGUUUAAUUAAACCAAACAUGGAUUUGAACAUAGCACUUUUACAAAAUAAUGUCUGAAUUUUUAAUUUGAAUAAUUAAUUAGAGUUGAGCUUAAAAGUACAGGAGUAUUUGUGCUCGUGACUCUUUAGUCGUUGGACCGCCUCAAGAUUUAUACAUCACUUUUAUCGAUGUAUCCUAUUAAUUUCACUUUUACUCAUCCUGUAUGGAUUUUGAGAUGAUUCGACAGCUUAAAAGUUAGCUCCUGUGUUUUGAAAAGCACAAGAGCUCAACUCUAAUUAACUAUGCCUUCUAAAUUUUAUUAAAUAAUUUGAUACACCUCUCUCCUCACGCAAAGUUACUAAUUGAAAAUAUUCAUGGAUUUACAACAACAAACUCUACACAUAAAUAGCUUUCUUGAUUUUUCAGAUUUUUCUCAUUUUAAAGACCUGAAAAUAAGGUUUAAACCAUCGUUUCUCUAUAUUGAUUAUUCCUGCUUUGAGUGCUCAGUCACAUCAUGUUGAACAUAAAUUUCUAUAAACAUCUAAUUAGAGAAUCUGUAUUUGAAGGAUGUCCAGAUUUAAAUUCGAAUCCAAAAAUCAGAUUUACAAGAUUUUUUUAAAAAAUUUUAAAGACUCGUAAAUAAGGUUUGAACAACCAUUUCUCUAUAUUGAUUAUUCCUGCUUGUGUUGAAAAUAAAUUUAAGUAUAAAUAUUCAAACUAGAAAAUCUGUAUUUGAAGAAAAAUCGAAUUUAAAAAAUUAUCAUUGUUACCGAAUUCGAAUCUGAGCUCGAUGGAAUUAGCUGAUUUUGAGAUUUUGACUAUUAUCGAAUUUGUAUUCGGAUUGGAUUAGAAAUAUCCGAACCAUUUUAACCCCACAUCCAACGAGUUCUAUCUUUCCUAAUUUAAAUAAUAAUAAUUAUAUUUUAAGAAAUUAAUUAGAUUGUCGACUUAAAAGUAAAUUGGAGUAAAGCGCAUUUAACUUCUCUUUAUGCAAAUUCUAAAGAGGAGCUUCGUAUAGAAUUUUUUAUUCGCUUUGUUUCAUCUGUCUCUCUUUCUCUUUUCUUUGACUAACUUUUAAGAGGCCACAAAAGCAUGUACGAAAAAGAUUUCGACCAUAAUAAGUUGAGAAAAUAACAACUAUCAAUUAAAAGGAAAAAAAUUGUGCAACAUGAAUAGGGUUAAACUUUUAAAAUAGGAAUACAUAUAUUUGCUAAUUGUAAUCUAAAUAGGCUAAAUUCAAAAGCAAAAUCUAUAUCUCUAUGUUUUUAGGCAUUAGGUUGAACACUUAGUAGGCAUUCCAAAGAACAUACAGAAUAUAAGAAAUCUAUAAAUUGGUAUCUAAUAGAAGCACAGAGAUUCAAACAGAUCUCGAAAUUCUACCAUAUAAAUUUCAAAAUUCUAAAAAAGUACUUUUUAAAUUGAAAAAUCUAUCAAAAAAGGAAUUCCUUCAAAAAGAGGGAAAGAACAAGAUAAAGAGAACAAAUAAAAACCUUUUUAAUGAUGAAAACGAUGACGGACGAGAUGCUUUGGACGAACGAAGCAACGCCAACGAUGAACGAGAGACGGAGUUGCGAUGUCGUUGUCAAAGAAUGAGAAGCCAAAGCCUUUUAGUGCGCGCGUGCGAGAACGGGAGAGAUCACGCGCAUGACGGAGAUGCCGACCGUGAUGUGGGCGUACGGUCGAGAAAGAGAGGAGCCGCCGAUUUGAGAUGUCGUACAACAAAGAAAAAGGAGAUUUGGACGCUUUUAAUUAAUUAGGGUUGCUCAAUUUUACUUUGACCCCUAAACAUUUUACGUUAUGCAAAAUAGUCCCUCUGUAUCAAAAAUAAAUAAAUAAAUAAAUAAAUAAAAUUAAAACAAAACAAAAUUAAAAUAAUAGGGUGUUACUGUCACUUACACCGUCUUCCCCUAAAAAUAAGUUUAGUCCUCUAAAUUUACUUACCUCAACUCUCAAAAAGUUGAGGGUACUUCAAUUUCAUCUACUCCAGCUUCUAAGGCUUCGUUUGGGAUUGCGGGGAGAUUGCAUUACGUGCGAUGAGAAAGUAAGUUGGAAAAAUACCUAUUUGUUUUCGUACGUAAUAUUGCGUUCCACAUAUCACGAUGAGUCGAUUAUGAUAUAUUUUUUGCGGUUCCACCAGAGAACGCAGAAGCAUAUCCCUAUAUGCUUUUUCCUCAACUCCAUUUUAUCUAAUAGCGUUAGAUAGGCCUCAAUACCAAACUAAGCCUAAGUAGUCUCACGUUCAGAAUGAUUACUACAUUGCACCUUCACAUAUAGAAUAGUUUGCCUUAUCAGCACUUGAUCUUUUCUGUCUACAAUACGUAUAGGCUGUUCAACAUAAGAUAAGUAUUCUCUAAGGAUAUGUUUGUUUGGGUGGAAGUGGGACGAAAGUAGAGAAGAGAGAAGUCGUUUUCAUUAUAAAUGAUUACUUCCGUUGUUUGGUACGCCAUAAAAAAGUUACGGUCGAAACUCGAGUUAACCUGAAACGACGUAAUUAAUUUUGGCCCAUUAUGGGUCGAAGUCAAUUACGGUGAAGAGAGGCGAAAAACAUAAUAAAAUAAUAUACUAGGUAAAAAUAAUUAUAUUUAAAUAUAUUUAAUUACGGUACUAAUUACUCUUUUAUUCAAUUGGCAUAUUUAAAAUAUGAUAAAAAUUGAUUAGUUAAGUUUUUUUUUUUUUGUUUAUUUUGUACAAUUAAAAUAUGAUAAAAAUUGAUUAAUUAAGUAUUAAUAUUUUUUACUUUAUAAUUUUAUUGUUGUAUUACUAUAAUUUAUGUAUAAAAAAUGAUUUAGUUGUUUUAAAUUAAAUUUUAAUUAUAUAAAAUAUAAUUUUUUUUAUUUAUUAAAUUAUUUAUUAUUUAUAUAUAAAUUAUAAUUUUACAUCAUACACUUUCUACCAAACAAACAGCAGAAUUAAUAAAAUUUCACUUCAAUAACUACGAAACAAACAGCAGGAAAGAAGUGGUUUUUACCUAACUCCACUUCAAACCCAAAGUCCAUUUUAACCCAAAGUCCAAUUUCAGUGAAACAAACAUGCCCUAAGCUGCAAAAGUGCUAACUCCAUUACAUAGCUUAGGUCAUGAACAUAUUUACUUAACAUGGACACAUGGAACACAAUAUGCACGCCGACCAACGAAGGCGGUAAGGCAAGCAUAUAGGCCACAUCUUCUACCUUCUCAAGAAUUUCAAAAGGACCGAUAUAAUGAGCGCUGAGCUUUCCACGAACUACAAAGCGCAUACUACCCCUAGAAGGUGACACUUUUUGUUGGUGUAUAUAUUUAAGAAAUAGAGGUUAGUUACAAAAAAAUUUAAAAAAAUGUCAACGAGUCGAUCAAGCCGAGGCACGGAUAUCUCGCUCUCUUUAAAGAGAUUCAAGCUCUCUGCGGUUGGCAAAGCCUUUAAACAAAUGCAACAGAGCACUGACUUGUCCCCUCCAGGAUACAACGGCUCGACCCUAGUCGUGUAGCUUCACCAACUCUGCACAAGUAGAUGAGCCCAAAGCUCCACCAAAAGAAACACCUUUCUUUGACCUUCUCUCUCUCAAGUAUAAUUGAAAUAACUUUGUUGUUUUUUGAGUUGUGUUUAAGUGAAUAGAGAAGCCUCUAUAUAUAGGCUCAUAAGACUAGGGGUUACAAAGGUAUAAAGGCAUAGGUUAGAUUUCAUUUAGUGUAAACUUUGCAUAGUAAAUGUACUAACGUUAAUCUCAUUUGAUGUAUGUAAUGUAUAGGUUAAAAAAGCUUAUAUUGAAUGUGAGUAAAGUGAAGUUGUAACUUUGCUAACCAUGAAUUAAUAUGUUAAAUUUUCAUAAUUAAUAAUAAAAAUGUAACAACAUUCUCCCACUCAUUUUUAUUAUUAAAAAUAUAUGAGAGUUUGAUGGCUAAAGAUAGACCAUUAUACAUAAUGAAGGUGUGCUCUGCAUUGAACCUUCACUUAGGGGCUGUUUGGUUGCACGUAUUUACAACUGCAGUACAGUUGCAAAUGUGUGCAACCUGAAUUCCUAUGUUUGGUUUAGUGCAGUUGAGUUCAACUGCUGCAGUUCCAAUUGCACAAGAAGGUCCAAAUGCUACAGUUGGAACUACAUCUAAAUUGGCCGUAGUUCCAACUGCAGCAGUUGGUGAGGAAUAGGAUCACCCACAAAUUAACAAUAAUAAAUAAAUAAAUAAAUAGCUAAAUAAAUAAAUAAAUAAUAUAUAUAUAUAUAGAUAAAUAAAAAUAUUUGUAAAUAAACUCAUACUAAUAAAUUUUUUUAGGCAAUACAAGCUUUGUGCAAAAAAUUAAAAUUUUUUAAAUUUAUUUUAUUUAAAAUAUAAAAUUAUUUUUUUUCCUAAAUUUUUAUAGAAUGUGAUUGUGUAUGUUAACUUAAUAAGUUUUAAUUAAUUAUAAUUAUUAAAUUUGAUAAAAAAAAUGAGAGAAUCGUUUAAAUUUUUAAAGUUUGAUUUACAUAUUAAAAUUAAAUAAAUUAAAACUUUUAAAUGUGUCGAUUAAUAAGUUGAAAAUUUGUUGAAAAAUAUAAACAUAUUAUAUAUAUAUAUCUACUUAUUUAUUUAAAAAUAGUAAGUUUAAAUGAUUAAUGAAUUUAUACAAUUAUUUUAUGCAUAGUGAAGGUAAUCUCACCACUCUAUCUGAAGAGGUGACAAAAUUCACAAAUACAAACUAUCAGCUUCAUAUUACCAAACAGAAGAAAUGUAACUGCAGCAGUUGUAACUAUAUAAAAUCAAACAGACUAGGUGUAGUUACAACUGCAGCAUUUGCAACUUCAUGUAUUUUCAACUACACUGUUUCUGCAAUUACAUCCAACCAAACAGCCCUUUAGUGAAACAGUAAUCUCUUCUCCAGAGCCAGAGUGGUCUCAGACUUGAACUUUGACUGCUUAGGGGAAAUAGAAAGUUAUUGCUCACAUAUAACAAUCCAGGUGUUGACAUGAGCUUUAAUAGCUAGCACGUUAUGGCCUUGUGCUGAUCCUGAUUUUCAUGAGCAUUUUUAGAAUAAGCCCGUUCUCAUAGGAAGCGGCCCUACUUCCAUGCUCACAUAGGUGAAAUCCGUCAAGGGUGCUCCUGUAAUUCUGACACCCUGCUCAUAAGAGCCACAGAUUUCAUUAAGAGCAAAAGUUCAACCCUCUUUUCAUUACAGGAUGAAUGCAUCCACACCAUAGGGAUAGGUAAAGAUGCGAUUAUAUAGAUCUAUAUAUUGUGCAUUCUUUACGACCACCAUAUGAUUCGUUUUUUCUAUUGAACUCAAUUUUCAGAAUCUCUUAUCAUCAAGUUGGGUAUCCUUAUACGUGGUUCAUGAUGUUAUGGGCUUCAUCCCUAUCCCCCUCGAUGUGCUCCAGAUCCUUUCUCUUCCUAAGACCUUGGUUAAUGAAUCUGUCAAAUUAUCAGUAGAUUUAAUAUAAUCUACAUUGAUAAUUUCAUUAUUCAUAUAUGAUCUCACAGUACUAUAGUUUCUUCUCACGGAUCUGGAUUUACCGUUAUAAUAACGAUUUCUUACUCUACCAAUAGCAGCAGUGCUAUCACAGUGUAUUAACACAGAUGGAACUGAUUUUUCCACAAAUGGAAUCUCAGAAAAUAAGUCUCUCAACCAACUAGCUUCCUCGCUGGCUGAAGCUAAGGCAAUAAGCUCGACUUCCAUAGUUGAGUUAGCAAUGAUAGUUUGCUUUUUAGAUUUCCAACAUAUAGUACCACCUGCUAAAGUAAAAAUAUAAUCAGUGGUAGAGAGAGAAUCACCUGAUAGGGUAUUCCAGUCAGCAUCAUUAUAACCCUCAAUCACAGUAGGAUACUUCCCAUAAAACAAGCCAAAAGUUUUGGUACCAACGAGAUAUCUCAUCACACGUUCCAUGACAUGCCAAUGAUAUGUACCUGGCUUGCUUGUAAAUCUACUAAGUAUCCCUACUGCGUAUGCAAUAUCAGGUCUCGUACAAUCAGUCACAAACCGCAAGCUCCCAAUCAUACUAGUAUAUUCCUUUUGAUUCAAAAUUUAAUUUUUCACUUUUGAUCAUAGUUAGUUAAUUCGGAUUCGGCAAAAAUUCGGUACAGAUAUAAUUCGGAUAAAAUUCGUCUUUUAAUUUUUAAAUUCGUUGAAAAAUACGGUUAAAAAACGAAUUCGCCAAUUAUUCGGAUAUGUGAUUUAUACGAAUAUUAUACGUUCACCAAUUAAAAAUUCGGUAUAAAAAAUUUGGCUAUUAAAUUAUAUUUUUUUUCUCUCAAGUUUUAUGCAAUUAAUAUAAAUACUCAUAAUUCUUAAGAAUAUAAGAAUAAAGAGCUACAAAAUUAAGCUAAUUAAGUAAAAAAAAAUAGCAACCUAUAUUAUGUCCCAAAAUAAAUAUAUAAUUAAGCAAAUAGCAAACUCAAAUCUGUAUCUCCAUAUUGCUAUUUCUCCAAAUUCAUCGGAAAUUCACAGUAUUGCCAGUUAAUACCCAUGUUUUUUAGCUUUUGUUAAAUUUUCUAGGUCUCCCUUGAUUUUUAAUCAAUGCAGAUGCUUGUGACUUUCAAACCUGCUAGGCAUAUCAAACCUUUUGAGGUCUUAAUUCUUAAAACCUUAUUUGCUAAUUAUUCUUGUACGCUGGGCAUAUUCAUGUAUACUGUAGAGAUUAAAGAUAAAAAGGAAGUAAUGAAUCUUAUCAAAUGCAUGUUUACAAUGAUGCUACAUGUUGUAGUCAUGGUCUUAUUACUGAUCAAAACCAUACAGUUAGCAAUUAAGAGGAGAUGAAAUAAAGGAAAGAGAGAGAGAGAGAGAAACAAAAGCAUAAAAAUUCUUGUAAAGAACCGCCCGAUUACUGAUCCAUCGUUGGAGAGCGGAAGCGGAAGAGGAAGAGGCGACGAGGAGGGUUCUGAUUUUUGAAGAAUGAAGAACCCGAUCUUCGAUGUGGCCACGCGGGGGCUUCCGAUGGCUCGAAGGGAAGAGGAGAAAGGGGAGGGAAGGGAAGAGGAGGAAGGAAAGUGAUGGGGCUGGGGUCGGCGGCAGGGCAGCAGGGCGGCAGGGUUGAAGGGUUAGGGCAAAACCUUUUUUUGGGGGUGAAGGGGCGAUGGUUUUGGGCGAGGCGAUUACGCGUCUUCGCGAGCCAAAGCUUCUUUCUCUCUCUUUUUUUUUUUUUCUGUUUUGGGCUAGCCACGAGGCCCACGACAGUAGCACGAGUCCGCGACCAGGCUGCGAGUUCGCUACCCGCAAGCCCACAGCGCCGUUUUUUUCGAGCGAAUAAUUCGUGAAUCGCAAAUUAUUCGUGAACAAGUACUUUUGACGAAAAAAACGCGUUUUUUUUCAAAUUUUUGGGAAUAAUACGUAUACGGCUGUUUAAUUUGUUUCUUCAAAAAUUCGCGAAUAAUUCGCGAAUAAUUCGCGAAUUUUUCGCGAAUUAACUAACUAUGCUUUUGAUAGAAAAUAGUGAACACUCGAAUCAAAAGUUGUAGUCGCAUACUUGCAAUUAAGAAAGUUAUACUUUCUUAAAAUUUUCUCAACAUAAUGUGACUGAUCAAGAAAGAUCCCAUUUGGUGUUUUGGUAAUUUUCAUAAAAUUAGCCUCACCAAGUUCUUUCAUUUCAAAAUAAUAAUUUAGCAUAAUUUUUGUCUCAUUGAUAAUAUUUAAGUUAGAGCCAAAAAUUAGCAAAUCAUCCACAUAAAGGUUAACAAUAACAUGCAACUUUUCGAAAAUUUUGUAAUAGAUGUACUUAUCACAUUCGUUUAAUUUAAAGCUAUUCUCAAUCAUGCAAGAAUCAAAUUUUUCAUGCCACUGUCUAGAUGCCCGCCUUAAACCAUAAAAGGAUUUAUUUAGCUUGCACACUUUGUUUUCUUGCCCAGGCUCAAUGAACCCCUCACGUUGGUCCAUAUAAAUUUCCUCAUCUAGGUCACUAUUCAGAAAAGCAGUUUUUACAUCAAUCUAAUGAAUUUGUAAGUCAUGAAUUGCAGUAAUAGCAAUCAGAACUCUAAUGGAUGUAACUCUUGUAACCGGAGAAAAGGUAUCAAAGAAGUCUAAAUCUUCUUUUUGUUUAUAACCUUUUGCGACAAGUCUAGCUUUAUACUUGUCUACACUUCCAUCCGGUUUUAAUUUCUUUCUGAGGACCCAUUUACAACCAAUUGUUGUACAGCAUGGUGGUAAAUCCACUAAUUUUCAUGUUUUAUUAGAAAUUAGAGAUUCCAUCUCAUUAGAUACAGCCUCUUUCCAAAACAUUGCAUCAUUUGAAGAUAAAGCUUCUUGUAAAGAAAGUGGAUUUUCUUCAAUAUUCAGAACAACAUAAUCAGGGCCAAAAUCUUUUUCUAUUCUAUUUCGUUUACUUCUUCUUGGUUCAAAAAUAUUUUUUUCUUGAUUUUGCAAGAAAGAGUUUGAAGAACUUGGUUUAUUUGAAACACUUUUAAAAUCUUGACCCCCACUAUUUUUCGAUUUAUAAGAAAAUUUUUCUUCAUGAAAAAUAGCAUAUCUUGAUUAAAAAAUUAUAUUAUUUUUUACCGACCGUCUCUAGAGCAAGUGGCAAAGGGCAUGGUGGUUGGUACCCGAGACCCAAGUUCGAAUCCUAGUUGUUUCACAUUUCCAGCUAAGUUUAUUUCUAAAUGAAAUAAACAAAGCGGGUAGCGUACUACCUAUCGCUCAAAGAAAAAAUAUUAUUUUCAAUGUCUAAAAAUUUAUAGGCUGUACUGUUCAAAGCAUAUCCAAGAAAAACACAAGUGGCAGCUCUAACACCCAUUUUGGGUAUUUUAGGGUCUGAUAGCCUCACAUAUGCUAGACAACCCCACACUUGACUUCUUUUGUGGCACGCGAUUCAAGACAUAACAUGCAGUUAAAAUAGCUUCACCCCAAAGGUUUAGGGGUACACCAGUGUCAACUAUCAUAACAUUUGUUAGCUCAAUAAGUGUUCUAUUUUUUCUCUCAGCCACUCCAUUAGAGGCAGGUGAAUAUGGAGCAGUAGUCUCAUGGAUAAUUCCUAAAGACUGAACAAAACGAGUUGAAUCCUGUAGAUUCAUACUCACGACCUCGAUCACUUUUAAUUCUUUUAAUCUUUUUACCGAAUUGGUUUUCUACUUCAUGGAGGAAAUCUUUAAAUUUUUCAAAAGCAUCACUUUUAUUUUUUAAUAAAUAAACAUAAGUAUAUUUAGAAAAAUCAUUGAUAAAAGUGAUAAAAUAUCUAUUUCCUCCACGAGUUAGGGUGCCUUCAAAUUCACAAAUGUCACUAUGAAUUAACUCAAGUAAUUCGGUACUUCUUUCAAUAUUCUUAUAAGGUCGUUUAGUGAUUUUUGACUUACUACAUGUUUCACAUUUGUCAAAAUUACUAUUUAGUCUGGGAAUUAAUCCUAAACUACUUAAUAAGCUAACAUAUCUGCUGUUAGUAUGACACAAACGAGCAUGCCAAAAAUUCACAGAUGAAAGCAUGUAAGAAGAAGUAGAUGAUGCUUUAUUCUCAAUGUUUAGUUUAAACAUUCCGUCGCAUGCAUAAUUUUUACCUACAAACUUUUCAUUCUUAGAAAUCACAUACUGAUCAGACUUAAUGAUCUGUUUGAAGCCAGCUUUAUUAAGAAGAAAACUUAAUACCAAAUUCUUCCUAAUCGAGGGUGUAUACAACACAUCUUUCAAGAUAAGCACCCUUCCAGAAGAAAAUUUUAACUCGACCUCACCAUUCCCUAAAACUUCAGAAGUAUGUGAAUCACCAAGCAUAAUACUUCUUGGUUGUUCAUAGGGAGUAUAUGUUUUAAACCAAACUUUAUCAUGACAGACAUGCCUAUUGGCAUCAGAGUCUGCCCACCAUCCUUCAGCAUUCUCCACUAAGCAUAUGUCUAUUAUCAUCGUCACAAGUGGCUCCUCUAUAACAUUAGUUUGAGGUAAAGCUUUAUGUUUUCGGUAUUUGCAAGUUCGAGCAAUAUGCCCACUUUUACCACAGAUAUAGCAAACUAUAUUUUUCACAUAAGAAGGAGGUGCGUGGUCAUUUUUCUUAAACUGAGGUCUACCAGAAUUCUUUCCAAUUCUCUUCUUUGCCUUCAAGUAUGUAUUUCUAGAACGAUGUCAUUAGGUAAAGACUUAGAAGAUACUAAGUUUACCUUAGUGGCGCUAGCAUCAUUCUCUUUUGCUUUAAGUGCAUCUUGGCCUCUUGCCUUUUCUUCCACGCGAAUGCGUGCAAUUAAUGUCUCGAGAGACAUCUCCUUUUGCUUGUUGAGAUUUCCGACAGCAUCGUUGAACUUUUCACGUGUAGCCUCCAUUUAUGAUUCUCCUUAAAAUUGUUGGUGUAUAUAUUCAAAAAAUAGAGUUUAGCUACAAAAUAAUUGUAAAAAAUGUCAACGAGUCGAUCAAGCCGAGGCACGGAUAUCUCGCUCUCUUUAAGGAGAUUCAAGCCCUCUGCGGUUAGCAAAGCCUUUGAACCGAUGCAGCAGAGCACUGACUUGUCCCCUCCAAGAUACAACGGCUCAACCCUCAUCGCGUGGCUUCACCAACUUUGCACAAGUAGAUGAGCCCAAAAGCUCCGCCAAAAGAAACAUCUUUCUUUGACUUUCUCUCUCUCAAGUAUAAUUGAAAUAACUUUGUUGUUUUUUGAGUUGUGUUUAAGUGAAUAGAGAAGCCUCUAUAUAUAGGCUCAUAAGACUAGGGGUUACAAGGGUAUAAAGGCAUAGGCUAGAUUUCAUUUAGUGUAAACUUUGCAUAGUAAAUGUACUAACGUUAAUCUCAUUUGAUGUAGGUAAUGUAUAGGUUAAAAAGGCUUACAUUGAAUGUGAGUAAAGUGAAGUUGUAACUUCACUAACCAUGAAUUAAUAUGUUAAAUUUUCAUAAUUAAUAAUAAAAAUGUAACAACACUUUGAGAAACACAUGAUCUCCAACUUCAAAUUCUAAUUGUCAUCUUCAAUUCUAGGCAAAAGGUCUCUAUUCAUCAUUAUCACUUUAUUCAGUACGCAAUAGUUGAUGCAUAGCUUUAGACUGCCAUCCUGCUUUUUUUGCAAAUAGCCCCCUGACAAAUUUUAUUUUUAAAAAUAGCCCCAUCCAAAAUAUAUUUGUAAAAAUGGCCCUGGCCCUGCCACGCCAGCGCCACGCGGGCCGGGCUGGGGGCAGGUGGUUUAAAUGAACACGGUGAACCAUUCACCAUGUUCAAACACGGUGAAUAGUUCACCGUGUCCAAUGCAUUAUAUGCACCGCCCCGCGGUGUGUAGGAAUACACAGGACACAGUGAACUGUUCACCGUGUCUAGACACGGUGAACCAAUCACCGUGUCCAAUGUAACCAUAUAGACCUUAGCCAAAAAUGGUUGUCACGGAUAUUUGUAUUGGACAUGGUGAACAAUUCACUGUGUCUAAACGCGGUGAACAGUUCACCAUGUCCAAUACAGCUACCCGGGACUUAGCCAUUUUUCGGGCUAGGUCGUGGUAUUUGUAUUGGACACGGUGAAUAGUUCACCGUGUCCAAUACAAAUAUAUUGGACACGGUGAAUGGUUCACCGUGUCCAAUGCAAAUUUCCACCCUUAGUCAUAUUUUUGGCGCACAACAAUAAAUACAAGAAUACAAUACAGAUACCUAUCAAUACACAUCACAACAUCACAAAAUUAAUACACAUCACAACACAACAAUACAAUACAGAUACUCAAACACAACAGUACAAUACAUCAUCACAACAUCAUAACACAAGAGUACAAUAUACACAUCACUACCAAUAAAAUCUCAAUAAAAUAUCAAUACCAAAUAAUCAAAACAGAAUAUAUAAAAUAAAAGCAAAUUGUACAAUAAUAUAUAAAUAUAAUAUCAUGCUCUCCUCCUACUCCUCUGACCACGUCGCCUACCACGUCCGCGACCACGAUCGACACCAUGCUCAUCAAAAGGCUCCAAGAUCUCCAACUGGUCUAAAUGCUCUAUAGCAGCACCCUCAAUAACCGGCUCAAUCACAACAGUAGCAGGUGUCGGUAGUAUGUCCGACCGUGGAGAAGCUGAAGAGUAGGGCUGAUCUGUACGGAUAGACCUCAUAUGUCGUCGACGCCUAAAAUAAACAAUAUCACCUGCUCGAGCUGGAUCUUGCGGUACUGGUGCUGGUGCCGGGUCCGUAACAUCCGCAUAAGGUGGCUUCUCUAUAGGUGAUGAUGGCCUCGGUGGACUAUAUAUGGGUGCAUGGCCGGACGUCGAUGCUCCACCAUAGUCUGCUGGUCCUGGAGGUACAUAGUGUGAAAGCGUAGGUAAAGACUCUAAAACUGCUUCCAUCUAAUCGACGACCUGUGAUAGGGUAGCUAAGACUCCACCUCCUGAAAUAUCGGGCAAGACACGUCUGAUCGUAUAAUGUGAUCUCUGCACGAUAUCGACCUGAAAUAAAAGCACAAUCAAAAAAGAUUAUACUAACUUUCUUGUAUAUGUAAAAAUUAAUAUAAAAAGAUAUUAUAUAUUACAAUCAUACCAAUACUCUCUCGACGUGUCCACGUGGCUGAUACGCGAGUGGUGGCCGCUGUACAGGUGUAGAUAUCCACCUCCCGGUGAUCGUCCAAUAUCACUGCAUGUAAAUAGUGGUAGCUCGUAUCGGAUCUGGAUCUGUCUCUGGGGCCACCUCUGCUAUAUCUAUCAAUCUAUUAUUCCAACGCUGAAUGUAUGAAGCAUGGUAUGCUGCCCAAUUCUCAUCUGCUCUACCUCGUGAAUUGAUGCGAGAUAUAUAUGGCAAGCACUUCUUCAGAUAUAUGCUAUAAUAGCCCAAACUGUCACAGCACACGAUCGGGAUGAUGGAGCUCAAUAAUGUGAAAGCAGACUAAGGUAGUCCUUGAUCGCCAAACCUGGGACCCCGCCAGACAAAAAGGUGGGAGCGUCUCUAAAACUGUGUCGUCAUAAGGCCUUCAUGUAAUCUAUUGUGAAAAAUACAUAUGAUUAGUUAUCAAAAUUAAACUAUAUUGAUCUCGUGUUUCUUAGAAAAAUGAGUGUUUCGGCGCUGGCACUAGUGUUUCGGAGACAAAAUUAAACUAUAUUAAUCUAUAUUGAAGGAUUGCGACGCUAACUUUGAUUAAAUAGAUCAAAAUGAGGCUUGAGGAUAAUGUGUGGUGUCCCCGAGUUAAUUUGGAAGUGUGGGGGUAGUAAACUAUGAGUUUAUAAGAUAUUUAGAGGGUAUUAAACAUAAGCUCGAUAAUGCACUUUUGCAGGAUUGAGACCCUAACUUGAAAUUGAUCGUGUACAAACCUAAUUGAGGGUAAAGCGAACACGUUGGCGAAGUCAGUUCGGUAAUCGGUCCAGCCUACGCGAAGAUAUCGCCAAAAGGACGUUUUCGGCUUCGAAAUUCGAUUUCUUUAAAACAAACAACUAAUUUCUUUUUAUGGUGAACAAAAUUUUCAAACUAAAACAAAAUUUCAAACCCAAAAAUUAUUAGAUUAGCAUUGAAUACAAAAUUUGACAGAUUGAGUAACUUUUAUUUACCUGAGACUCUAACUGUUGAUCCAGCUGAUCACGAUAAAACUCAAUGUCAGUAGUCCUGACAUUGUCCCGAAAAGCCGGCCUGGUAUUCCACCUGAUUCAUUUAUAUCAUAUUAGUUAUGAAUAAAUAGUAUAUACAAAACUUAUAAUGAAAAAUUACUUACCGACACCCUGGAGGCAUGUCGACAAGCUCAGGCUGCGGUCUUACUACCUCAGGGCGGCCAAUGUGCAGGUGGUCCCAUGCCCAUAUCUAUACAAAAAUAGCAUUCUUGUUAGAAAUAGAAACAAUAACCAUGACUUAAGUACAAGUAUUGUAAGGGUCUGUGUCGCAAAUUGUAUCUGAACUAAUGUCCCAAAACAACAACACUCGACCUUUCCCCUGAAGCAAGCAUUUCCUAGGGCGCGAUAAAGAUGAGCUAGCGCGGCUGCACCCCAUGCCAACCCACCACGAAGGUCAAAAUCCUCUAGAUGUGGCAACCAUUUCAAAUGCACCCUAUUCCCGCUUGGAUUUAAAAACAAACUACAUCCUAUCUGAAAUAGUAUAUAUGCUCUCGCUGUAGCUCGAACAAUAGCCGGAGGUGCAUCUAAGGGGAUAUCAUGGAACUGCUGAUAUAACCAGUUUAUCUUGAUCUCACCAUCCCUAAUAUCCUGCGGAACCACCCCGAGAAGUAACCCGCACAGCUCUGCCCACUGAUAGGAUCCCCCUCCAGUCACAGCCCCACCAUCGACGGAAAGUCCCGCAAUAACUACGACGUCCAUCAAUGUAAUACUCAUCUCUCCGUGUCGUAAAUGGAAACUCUGUGUCUCCCGCCGCCACCUCUCGACUAAUGCUCCGAAUAACGACUGAUCGAGCUGUAGGCGGCGCAAUCGUGAAACGUAAUAAAAUCCUGCUCGUCGAAUAAGUCCAACACCGCAGGAUGCUCGCACUGCCAUCUAUUCAUUUUACGGCCAUGCUCCGUAAAUUGAACAGGAGAAUAUCCCUGCAUGAUUGUGAAAGUCAGCUCAAAAUUAGUACAUAAGUUAAAGAAGAUCUACGUAAAUUUGAAAUAUUUUAAAAAAAUUCACCUCCUCUCUGAUCAAAGUAGAUCUAUGUCGUGGCUGCUCAGUCAGCACGGAUGUAUCAAUAGGUCCCGGCUCGUCAUGAUCGUCCAUCUAAAAUAGGCAAAAAAAUUUGAGUUAGAAACAACAUGAUGUAACAUUAGUGCGUAAGUAUAAAAGAUUUAAGAAGUUAAGUGUCAGUUUCAUAUAGAAAAAAUGAUGCAGACCGAACCCGACCCGUCUCAUCGCCCGAGUUUCAGGUCUAUCAACGAAGGCGGCGCAAGUUGGCACCCGAACCCGCUAUAUGGAUCUGAAGAUUAUUUUUGAUUUACUCUAUUAUUUUAAGAUUUUCUUGUUAGGAAUAUUUGUUAUAUUUUCCUUUUAGAUAAAUCUGUAGUUAAGAUUUUUUGGUUAUUUUCCUUUUAGAUAAAUCUCUAGUUGAGAUUUUUUUGGUUAUUCUCAGAUGUAAUUAGGAUAUAAAUAACCUACAAGGUUUUAUGAAAAGGGGACGAUGAUUAUUGAAUAAAAAUUUUGAACCUUUCCUGCAAAGAUUUUUGGUGAGAGUUUUUCCCGGAUGGUUUUCCGGUUCUGGCGAGGUCCAGAGUUUUAAUAUUUUGUUGGAUCUGAGUUCCUCUUAAUUUUCUGCAAAUUUUGACUACUUAUUUGUGAGAAUUGAGUAAGAUUUGAGAAAAUAGAGAGGUUGAGAGUAGAGAGGAGAGCUUGUGCAAGCAGCUGAGAGAAGAGGUUGAAGACGAAACUUAGAAACGUAGAUCCUUGAGGCGCUGCUCCCGAGGCGGCUUGGCUUCUUGCACACGUCAUCAGGCCAUGUGCCUGUGCUGAAGCAUCAAGCAGCAACUAUAUUGGAUGAACCCGGUUCACAGCACAAGCUAAGUAUUCCCCUAUACACCUCAAUUUACGCAAAUCAUCUACUGGUAAUAAAAGGUUGGUCGAUAAAACGUUUUGAUUUUUAUUUUUUUCUCGAAAAAAAAAAUUUCGUAGAUCUGUUUUUUUUUUUAUCGUCCUAAACUUUUAAAAAUUGUUUUGUCUCUUUAAUCUUGCAAGAUACUUGAUUAUUAUUGUUGGGCGAAAUUCGAUUACGCGGUAUUUACAAGCAUGAUUAGGAGGAUGUUGCAAAUAGAUUGUGGAUGAUCUGGACUAAUCAUAAUAGUUUAAUCAUGCAUUCGCUGGAUGUCGUAUGGUACAAUCUCCUAUCUGAUCAACUUUUCUUAUUUUAUUAAUUUUCUUUUCGAACGUUCAUUUCUAAAAAAAUAUAUAUAUAUUUUUGCUCGUUUAAUUUUAUCUUAGCAAAAUUUUUGUCUACCACAUCUAAGGAGUUUUACAUGUAGGAUAGGUUUGACCCGUCCUGCAUCAGAUUUGGUAUCAGAGCCCUAGGUUAAUGUAUGAUCCUUAGAAGUGGUAAAAUUUAUCAUCCUGAACCCAUGUCUUUUGAACCCACUGCAAUGGAUCAGAUUUUACAGCAACUGACUGCUUUGAACACUAAAUUAGAUGACAUAGGGGAUCGUGUGGCCAUCCUUGAGACUAGUCGGACUGUAGUAGGCAAUGUGAUUGCAACUCCUGAUAGAAUAGCCCUCAGAGCCCAACGCCAACCCGACCUUCCUAGACAUAAUUUCUCACUAGACAACGACAUUACCAAAAAGAUCAAAAUUGAAGCCCCAACUUUCGAUGGAAGAUUUGAUCCUAAGACUUUCACUGAUUGGCUGACUGAUAUGGACCAAUUCUUUGAUUGGAACGAUAUGUCGGAUGACCGUCGCGUUCGCUUUACCAAAAUGAAACUUGUAGGGGCAGCCAAAUAAUAUUGGGUGAGUGUUGAGCGAUAAUUGGCUAGGUCUAGGCAAGCACCGAUCACGUUGUGGGAUGAGAUGAAGGCCAAAUUAAGUGAAAAAUAUUUGCCCUCGACCCAUAGGCAGCUUCAAAUAGAACAAAUGUUGUCCUUACGUCAAGGUUCAAUGUCCGUGGCUGAUUACAUGCAAAAGUUUGAUGAGAUUUCUGUUAGGUGUAAUGUCCAGGAAGAAGAGGACGUGACAUUGGCCCGGUUUAGGAGAGGAUUACGUGAGGAAAUCUAGAAAGAGAUUACACCCCAUCGAGUAAACACAGUAGAGGAUGCGUUCCAACUCGCACUCGAAUAUGAGCGUUAUCUUAAACCACCUACUAGGCGUUUCGGUUACCAAGCCGGGGAGUCAAGUACUAAGAAGUGGACCGAUAGAAACCAAAACACUGGUAAGUCAAUCGUACCCUUCAAUCAACCUAAUCGAGAUUCUAGGGGAAAAUCUUUAGUUGAAGGAACUAAACCAGACCUUUCUCCAGUGAAGUGUUUUAACUGUGAAGUAAUGGACCAUUACUCGAAUAAGUGUCCACAAAAGCGUAACUUGAUGAUGAAAAACGAUGAAGAUGAUUUCGAGGAAGUAGUGCAUGAGACUGAGGAGUAUCCAAGUGACAAGGAUGAGAGCGCGUAUGUAGAUGACCUAGACGACAUCAUUCCACUACAAGUCGUCCGUUGUGUUCUUACCACGAAGGAGGAUGAGGGUGACUGGCGACGCACUGCUAUCUUCCACACUUAUACCAAGUGCGGGGAUAAGGUAUGCAAGGUCGUUAUUGAUGGCGGCAGUUGCAUGAAUGUGGUAGCCAAAACAGCCCUUGACCGAAUGAAGUUGACCCCUGAACCACAUCCAAAUCCCUUUCGAGUUGCUUGGGUAGAUAAGACUACGAUACCUGUCACUGAGCGAUGUUUGGUCCCUCUCAACUUUGCUACAUAUAGGGAUCAAGUAUGGUGUGAUGUCCUCCCAAUGGAUGUCGGACACAUUCUUUUGGGACGACCAUGGUUGUACGAUCAUGAUGUUACACAUUAUGGUCGUCAAAACACAUACACCUUCACUCAUGAUAAGAAAAAGAUCGUGCUAAGACCUCACCGACCUAAGCUGAUUCAGUAUUCGACCAGCCAAUCUAAUGCACGUAAUGGACCAACCACAUCUAAGGAAAAUAGGUUGGUAGAGCAAACUAGACCGCUUCAAUUCUUGAACAAGAAGCAAUUUUGUAGGGAGGCUAGUUCUGUCGUUGUUUACGCAUUAGUUGUUCGAGAGGUAGAGAAGCCUUCCCUUGAAUCUGAUCUGCCAUUGAACCUUCGAAACCUAUUAUCUGACUAUUCUGAUUUGACCCCAGACGAGUUACCUGAUUAGCUGCCACCCAUGAGAGAUAUUCAACAUGCGAUAGAUUUGGUGCCUGGAUCAUCAUUGUCAAACCUGCCACAUUAUAGGAUGAACCCUAAGGAGCAUGGUGAAUUGAAACGUCAAGUAGAGGACUUGGUUAGAAAAGGUUUCAUUAGGGAGAGUAUGAGUCCUUGUGCAGUCCCGGCACUCCUUACUCCUAAGAAGGAUGGAACUUGGCGAAUGUGCAUCGAUAGUCGAGCCAUCAACAAGAUCACUAUUAAGUAUAGAUUUCCGAUUCCUCGAUUGGAUGAUAUGCUUGAUAUGAUGGCUGGAUCCAUAAUCUUUACAAAAAUUGAUCUUAGAAGCGGGUAUCAUCAAAUAAGAAUUAGAUAAGGAGAUGAGUGGAAAACUGCCUUUAAAACGAAGGAAGGAUUGUGCGAGUGGUUGGUCAUGCCAUUCGGAUUGACGAAUGCCCCAAGUACAUUCAUGCGAGUCAUGAAUCAAGUGCUUCAACCUUUCAUAGGAAAAUUCCUUGUAGUCUAUUUCGACGAUAUUCUGAUUUAUAGUAAGACCGAAGAUGAACACCUAAGUCACCUUAGGCAAGUUUUAGACACUCUUAGGAGAGAAAAGCUUUACAUCAAUACCAAGAAAUGUGUUUUCAUGCAACCUAAGGUUGUUUUCUUAGGCUUCGUAGUAUCUGUAAAUGGAGUGUCAGCCGAUCCCGAUAAGGUCAAAGCAAUCCAACAGUGGCCCCAACCGCAGAAUAUUCGUGAUGUUAGAAGUUUUCAUAGGUUAGCGAUAUUCUACUGAAGAUUCAUUAGAGGUUUUAGUACCAUUAUGGCUCCAAUUACAAAUUGCAUGAAAAAGGGAGAAUUCACAUGGACCAAGGCUGCGAGUAAGGCAUUUAAUGAAAUUAAGGAACGUAUGGCUAAUCCACCUGUCUUGAGAUUACCUGAUUUUGAGAAGAUCUUUGAGGUUUCGUGCGAUGCAUCUGGAGUAGGAAUAGGUGGAAUCUUGAGUCAAGAAGGUCAUCCAAUUGCUUAUUUUAGUGAAAAAUUGAAUGAGGCAAAGAUGAAAUACUCCACGCACGACAAGGAAUUGUAUGCAAUUGUGCACGCCCUACGAUAUAGGCGACAUUAUUUAUUACCUAAGGAGUUUGUUUUACUUUCGGACCAUCAAGCCCUUAGCUAUCUUAAGUCGCAAAAGAAAUUAAAUUCACGGCAUGCCAAGUGGGUUGCGUUUUUUGAGGAAUAUACCUAUGUUCUUAAGCAUGUUGCUGGUAUCGAAAACAGAGCUGCCGAUGCUCUUAGUCGUGUUAUCAUGACUUUGCAUGCUGUAGGAACACAAGUCAUAGGGUUUGAUCGAGUUAAAGACGAAUACCCCACGUGUCCAGAUUUUGGUGAGACUUAUAAGAAUAUUCUUGAUGGAUUGCAUGAUAACCCUGAUUUUAUUAUUCAUGAUGGAUAUUUAUUUAAGGGUAGACGUUUGUAUGUUCCCCAAGGUUCAUUGAGAGAUUUUAUGAUUUGGGAAUUGCAUUUUGGAGGUUUAGCAGGGCAUUUUGGUAGGGAUAAGACCAUUAUUUUGGUAGAGGAUCGUUUGUUUUGGCCAAGUCUUAAACGAGAUGUGGCACGUGUUGUUGCCCAGUGUGGUAUAUGCCAGACUGGUAAAGGAAAGCGAAAAAAUAUUGGAUUAUAUACACCUUUACCUAUACCUCACGCCCCCUGGCAAGAUCUUAGCAUGGACUUUGUUCUAGGACUUCCUAAAACCAUUCGAGGUCACGAUUCGAUUUUAGUUGUCGUUGAUAGGUUUUCAAAAAUGGCACAUUUUAUAUUAUGUAGGAAGACUUCUGACGCCACCCAUGUAGCGAAACUUUUUGUUGAUCACGUCAUAAAAUUGCAUGGAUUACCAAAGACUAUUGUGAGUGAUAGAGAUGUGCGGUUUGUGAGUUAUUUUUGGAAGACAAUGUGGAAAUUAAUGAACACUAAAUUACAAUUUUCUUCACCAUAUCACCCACAAACAGAUGGCCAAAUUGAGGUUGUUAAUCGAAGCUUAGGAGAUUUAUUACGUUGUCUAGUGGGUGAUCACACUAGGAACUGGGAUAGCGUUUUACCUAUGGCCGAAUUUGCCUAUAAUAACUCAGUUAAUCGCACCACUGGAAUGAGUCCGUUUGAGAUUGUCAUUGGUUACAACCCUAGGACACCCAUUGACCUAAUUCUGUUACCCGUAGACUAUAGGUCAAGCCAACAUGCUGAAGCCUUUGUUCAACAUAUAAAAGAAUUGCAUGAUAAAAUAAGACGAGCAAUUAUUUUAAAAACUGAGAUUUACGCAAAUAAAGCAAAUGAACGUCGGCGUAAAGGAAAUUUUAAAGAAGGAGAUAUGGUUAUGGUAAGGGUUCGACCAGAACGAUUUCGCAGCGGUACAGUGAAAAAGCUACAUGCAAGAAAUUUGGGUCCAUUCAAAAUCUUGAAACAACUGAAUCCAAAUGCUUAUGUCUUGGAUUUGCCUGCUAAUAUCGGGUUUAACUCAAUGGUCAAUAUCGAGGAUCUGAGCCACUACCAUGAGCCUCUUUCCAUUGAGAAUCCCAUCUCCAUAAAUAUAUCUCCACGUCAACCUCCUCCUCCACUUCCAAUCCCUCCCAUACCGAGAAAGAAAGAAGAAAUCGAACAGGUUCUCGACGACCGAGUUGUUAUUACACGAUCAGGAGAUUCGCGUAGCUUUAUGGUAAAGUGGGCAUCCCGACCAGAUGAAGAAGUGACAUGGAUACCGGAACACGAGCUUAGAGACAUUGCUCCAGAUCUCAAGCAGCUGAGAGAAGAGGUUGAAGACGAAACUUAGAAACGUAGAUCCUUGAGGCGCUGCUCCCGAGGCGGCUUGGCUUCUUGCACACGUCAUCAGGCCAUGUGCCUGUGCUGAAGCAUCAAGCAGCAACUAUAUUGGAUGAACCCGGUUCACAGCACAAGCUAAGUAUUCCCCUAUACACCUCAAUUUACGCAAAUCACCUACUGGUAAUAAAAGCUUGGUCGAUAGAACGUUUUGAUUUUUAUUUUUUUCUCGAAAAAAAAAAAUUUCGUAGAUCUGUUUUUUUUUUUAUCGUCCUAAACUUUUAAAAAUUGUUUUGUCUCUUUAAUCUUGCAAGAUACUUGAUUAUUAUUGUUGGGCGAAAUUUGAUUACGCGGUAUUUACAAGCAUGAUUAAGAGGAUGUUGCAAAUAGAUUGUGGAUGAUCUGGACUAAUCGUAAUAGUUUAAUCAUGCAUUCGCUGGAUAUCGUAUGGUACAAUCUCCUAUCGGAUCAACUUUUCUUAUUUUAUUAAUUUUCUUUUCGAACGUUCAUUUCUAAAAAAAUAUAUAUAUAUUUUUGCUCGUUUAAUUUUAUCUUAGCAAAAUUUUUGUCUACCACAUCUAAGGAGUUUUACAUGUAGGAUAGGUUCGACCUGUCCUGCAUCAAAAACCUAUCGACGACGUCUCUCGGUCCUUCUUUGAUGAUUUUCAGAACAAGUACUUUUAUAAUGUCCAGGCUGUUUACACAUACUACACUUGCCCCUCCUACUCCCAGCGGCUUCGUCCAUAAUAUUACGGAUACGCGUAGAUCUGGGUCUUCCUUUUUUCCUUCUCCCGCGUGGUGGCAGUAUAGGGAAAUCAUAUGACACGAUCCAAUAACGACAAUCGGGAACGGGGUGGAACUGUGGUUCAUACGCCUUACAAUAGGAUAGGACAGUAUACCAAGGAGAGCAUAAGGCAUAAUAAUCUAUGUUCAUGUGUGAAGAACUACAACAUGACAAAAUGUGUGAACAAGGGAUUCCUGUGAGUUGCAAACACAAAUAUGAAUAUGUAGAACUGCUUCCAUUGAUAAUCACUUGGUAUUGAUCAUCACCCCCAGUAAGUAUGUCGGACAUGUGAAAUGCAAAUCGUCGAACUGUAUAUGCUCUAGCAGUUCUCAUCCGGCUAUUGAUGGUGUUUUUAACAGUCGAUACAAAUUGCGUAGACAUUGCAGUGCCCUCCCCUCGAUGUUUUAGAAAAAAUUCUACCACUCUGUAGUAUACUAGUAUCCUUACACUUAGUAUAUAUAUAUAAGUGUGUGUGUGAGGGUACGUGUGUGUGUGUGUGUGAGUGCACAUGUGUGAGUAUGUGUAAUGCCAUGUGGCAUCCCCCCCCCCCUCUUUUAUGCAUGCAGGGAAGAGAGAGAGAGGAGUUUAUCUCCUCUCUUCUCUCCUUUUCUCUUUCGUUCGGCCGUACCAAGGAAGCACGCGAGGGACGCCGCCGCGGAGCCGAUUUCGCCGUCGACGUCGCACCGCAGAGCCGUUCGAACCUACGGUUGCUGCCGUUGCAUCGUGAGGAGGCCGGGCGAGCGUGGAUCUUCGCCGUUCUUGACGUCGCGCCAGUGCUAGUCGCCGUCGAGGUGGGUGUUCCAUAGAAUUGCUUCCUAAUUUCCAAGCUUUUUCAAUUUCGAGCUAGUUGCUGUCCCUGCAGAUUUCCAGCGUCGACCGUUGGCGUUUCGGCUCGUACUCGACGUAGGAGCGUCGGAUUUCGACGAGGCUUGAUUCGCUGGAUUCAGGACUUCGAGAGGAAUCCACGAAGCCCUUACUUGCCAGAUUUCGUUGAGGUUAGAUUGGUCGAAUCCGUGCUGUACCUGACUGUUGCGAAUUUUGGGACUGAAACGGUGAUUUGUGCUUUGUAGAGCGUGGUGUUAGCUCGACUCCCGGAUUUGGAGGGUGUAGAUCGACCAGCAGGUGGUGCUGCAGCUGUGAGGGUGUUUUGCUGCCAGAAUUAGCGACUAAGGUGGGUUUACAUCGGUUUAUUCCUAAGUGUAGUAAUAGUCGACAUGUAUGAUUUUCUGUUCGGUAAAUCAUGUUGUAGUUCGUUUUUCAUAAUGAUAUCCUGGAUAAAUGCUGCAUAUAUAACAUGAUUAUUACCUUUUAAAUAUACAUGUUGGACUGGGUUUAAACUUAGGAGAAAACGCGAUUGGAAUCGACAUAUGUAUUAAACUGCCUGAUUUAGCUCUAGGAGCCGUUAUAGAAUUGUACUGUCGCAGCAUACUGUAGACGAGUACUCCAGGUAGUUUAGAAUACAUUUACGCUCGUGCUGGUAUGCCGAGUGAAUUUUUCUGAGGUCGUUUAGACUGUUUCGUACUAGUGGGCGCCGUCGGGACUGACGGUGGGCCCGGUUCGCCGUUUUGGCGUCGGAUUGUGCCGAGGGCACGUUGUUUGUUGUAUUUAGACUAGUCAGAGUUGUUACUGGACUUCGGCUUGAGUUAGAGAGCCUGUUUGAGCUCGACAGAGAUACGCUGCAUACUCGGUUGGGUAGCUCCCACGAGUGCCACUCCGGAGGCGGGCGCGGUGCUUUUGCGUUGGUGUCGCUCAUGCCAGUUGGACUUGCUCUCCACGGACCAGCUAGUGUGGAUAGAGCCUGAUAGUCGCAACGGGGCAGGGACGGGUGUGUUCACAGUCCCAGGGACGGGUAUGUUUACAGUCCCAAUUGGAUUGGGUCAGAUUUGACAUUUCCUACAGUCGGUUAAUGUAGAGCAUGAUAGUGUAGUGGAUGAUAGCGAUAGAGUGUACUUCCUGCUUUUCCUUCUAUCCUUGCUCCCUUCUGUAGACUUAGUGGGUGACCGAUGUCGUUUUGGGCGGUACCCACUGAGGACUACUUGUUUUUACAGUAGUUCUCACGCCCAGUUGUUACCUAUGUUUUGCAGAGCCACAGGUUUCGGCUACUGCGCCUUCCGCGGAUCAGGAUCGAGGCAAGGGCGUCGCGAGGUAGAGCCCUACCCGACUGACAGAGCUAGAGGCACCCCCCUACUGCAGGUAGUUGCUAUUUUAGAGUUUAUGUACAUAGUUGUUUAACUCGCCGGUGCGAGUAGCUUUGUAUUUUGGAUUUGGACUAUGUAUAUGAAACUCAGUUGUUUAGCUUUGUAUAUUGAGCAGCUCUAUGCUACUGUUUGUAGUAUUGUAUAUUUACAGGUACUUUUGACGCUUCGUAUACAGGGAAAAUUCCUUGUAUACGGCGGAUUUGUCGGCGUGCCCGGGGAACGAGACAUCCGGGGCGUGACAGAUUAAGUUGGUAUCAGAGCUUUGCUAUAGGUCGUUGGGACCUAGGAAACCUAAGUUUGGCAAACCUUAGGAAAGCAAGACGCGAGAGGCGUAAUUUAAUUACGAAAGUCAAUGAUUGUUUGUUCUAACUCCUCCUCGAAUGGGGUGAGUGAUUGAAGGAGUACCUGUUUGGCCUGAAAAAUUAUGUUGGCUGCAGACGACAUAAUUUUGGAGGGAAACAGGCACCGCCUUCCAGACUUUCGUUGAUUGGGUCGAGAGUGUUAUGUUAUAUCUGACCCCGAUUUGUUCCUUUCAGCUAUGUAUCGUCGCCGAGGUCGACCGUCGUUGCGGGAUCGUGCGGGACCUUCUGAGAGAUCUGAGCAGAUGGAGCAGAGUGCUCGGCAGGAGCAGAGGGACAGACCGGAGGCGAGUGCACCCCCUGUUGUGGAGCCGAGUGCGCGACCUGAGGCUAGCGCACCCCCUGAUCUGAGUGCACAGUUGGCUGCCCUGACUGAGGUGACGAGGCAGCAGGGGGAGUUGUUGCAGAGGUUGUGUGAGAGGAUAGCUCAGUCACCGAGUUCAGCACCGAGUGUACCAGAGCAGACUGUUCCACCCCCGACUACUCCAGCGUCAGCUCCCGCCGCAGCUAUGCCCCCACCGGUGGAGAUUCCUAUAGCGCCAGUUGCGCCUGCCAGGGGGCCUGUACUAUUGACUGAGGCCGAGCAGGAGCGGUGGAUGGAGAGGUUAGCUCGUUUCCGCCGAUUUGAUCCACCGAUCUUCGAUGGUAGAGGCACUGAGGCCUGGGUUGUUGAGGGUUGGGUCAGUGCUAUGGAGAGGUUAUUCGAGGAUCUGUACGUUCCAGAGGGGGAGCAGGUACCCUUGGGAGUACACUGUUUGUCAGGUGAUGCACGUGACUGGUGGCGGAGAGUGAGGCGAGACCAGAGACUGGAGGCAGCGCAGCUGAGCUGGGAUGAGUUCUGUGGAAUGCUGUAUGGGAUGUAUUUUCCCAACAGCAUGAAACAGAAGAUUGAGGAGGAUUUGAAGAGGCUCCAGCAGGGCGAGCGGACAGUUCAGGAGUAUGUUCGGGAGUUUACUAGACUCUUGAACUGUGUUCCGUUCGUGGCCAGAGACGAGGCACAUAGGGUCUACUUGUUCGAGCAGGGUUUGAGACCCGACCUAUUCAGGUUCGUUAGGGCGCAGAGGUCGAGGACUUUGGAUGCGUCUAUUGAGCAGGCACUAUGGGAGGAGAGAGGAGAGGUGUCACUGCGAGAGAUGGCUCAGAGGCCGGGACAGAGUCAGGACAGGAAGCGCCCAGCUCUAGACGACGGAGGCCAGUCGAGUAGCAGGCGUCCGCCGAGACCUCCACGAUCGCGUUCUCAGGGUCGUGGGUUCUCGGGACGUCAGCGAUCCAGAGACUCCCGUCAGAGAGGACAGCCUGAGAGGGCGCCGCAGUGUGUGAUCUGCGGAGGACCACACUGGCCCAGACAGUGCGAGCAGAGGGAGGGCCGGUGCUACGGGUGUGGUCAGCCGGGACACAUGAGGGCAGCUUGUCCUCGAGCAGCAUCUCCAGCACCAUCGUCAGCUUCAGCUCCACCAGCACCUCAGCAGUCAUUCAGAGGAGCACCGAGUUACCGCCAGGAGGAUAGAUCAUCCGUGCCGCGACAGGGUGAGCGGCGACAGCAGGCUCCGAGUGGCAGAGUUUAUGCAACUCAGGUGGAGGACUCUUCAGCAGCCGACCGAGUGGUGGCAGGUAUCACUUUGAUUUCUGGCAUUAGAGUUCGCACUCUUUUUGAUACUGGUGCAUCGCAUUCCUUUGUUAGCCGAGCAUUUGCAUUGUUGCAUGGUCUAGAGUUAGGGGCAUUGUCACAGGCACGAGAGGUGCAGAUUCCGGACCAUGUUUUAAAGGUUGCAGAGUGUUGUUGGUCGUGUCCGGUGCAGUUGGACUCGUGGGUCAUGCCCGCAGACCUGUUGGUGUUAGGGCAGCUACAGGACNNNNNNNNNNNNNNNNNNNNNNNNNNNNNNNNNNNNNNNNNNNNNNNNNNNNNNNNNNNNNNNNNNNNNNNNNNNNNNNNNNNNNNNNNNNNNNNNNNNNGGAAGAAAGAUUUUUACAGGAGAGACCGCUAUAUCGGCUACUCUGGAGGCUGGCAAAAUACUCGUAAGAUUUUUUCAUGGAUUUUCUAGUAUUUUUCUUUCUGGAAAUGCUGCAUUGCGAAAAUUAAGCGAAGUGUACUAUGCCCACGAUAACUAAUCCCAUUCACGAGGCUUCACGUGGUUUCUUUUUUUUUUUUUUUUUUUUUUUUUUUUUUUUUUACUUUUACUAUAUGAUAGUAAAGUUCUCUACAGAGAAAAUUGCACAGAGGAAGACAACUAUAUGUCGGCUAUUAUUGGACAAGGGUAGCAAAGACUCGUGUGGGUAUAUUUCGGAAUUUUUUAAGUUUUUUAUAAAUUUUUAUCGGUAAAAUUUACAGUGGCGUUAAUUAAGUGCUAAUUACGUGAUAAUGCACGUUGUUUUUUCUCUUUUUUUUAUCUUUUUUAAUUUUUCUUUUAAAGUGACAAGCUUUUAAAGACCUUAAAUUAAAGUGUGUUUGUAGGCCGGAAACGAUGUUGGUCGCUUAUUAAUAUUAAUUUUACAUUUGGGAUGGAAUAGGGUGUGCUUUUAGAUGAAAUUGUUUGAUAGAAUAGCUUCACAGUAAAAUGAGAAGCGAACGGAAAGAAAAUAAUAUGUCUUUGAAUGAUAUUUGUAAGGAUUGAAUAAAAUAGGAAUGAAGUGCAAAUUUAAAUUUUCGUUUUUGAAAAUAAACUAAAGUUUCCAAAUCUUUUUAAAGUAGUCACGUCUGUACUCUUCUAGAAUCAAGAUAAAAUUUUAUCAGAUGUUUUUGUAUAUUUCUAAAACUCUUUAUCUCUAUUAAAUUUUCGAUGAUGCAAUUUUCCUAAAACUCGGACUUAUGAAUUUAAUAUAAUUUUUUCUUUUAAUGUGUACUGGAUAACACCACUUAAGACACGUGUUGUGCCCAAGACUCUUUGGCGUUACCAGUUUUCAGAGAAACCUCCGCUCUAACGCCGACAAAGACUCUGCGCUAUCAAUGGCCGAAAAUUAAGACACAGUGGUUGGCGUGCACAAAGCGCCUCUUGGCGUCACAGUUCUCAGAGCCUAAGACUGUUCUUGAGUCAAACCUUACCCGAUUUUUGGUCAAACGCUUACCCUAGAAUUCGUUGCGUUUUCAGAUGCUAUAAACUUUAAAGACUUUAUUGAUUAAACUAAGUAAGAGAUUAGCUGUUAUCACUUAGCCUAUUAUUAAUAACAAAUCAAGUUCAAGCCUCAUUCUCUUUUUAAACAAGAACAGAGAAAAGAUAACGAAUACAAAUUCUUCUUGAAAACAACCACUUAAUUGUUGAAUGUGAAUGCAACAAUUAUGAUUAAUUUAGUAAAUUUUCCUUAGAUUUUCUCAAUUAAAACAACAUAUACCUAUAUGUCUUGCCGCAAAACAAAAGAAAAGCUUCUGAUAACACUUCUGAUCAACUUCUUCGAGAUAUCACAGAACAACCUUUCCAUUUAACAACCUUUAUUUUUACCUUAAUUCUGUUAGGCUUUCCAGAUAACAUCAUAUACAAUAUUUUAGACAUAUUAAUAAUAUAUUGGGAAACUUUUGACCCAUAUCUUAUCACUUGGCCUUUUCGAUAUAUCGGAAGAAAAUAAUAAAUUUAUUCUAAGACUCUCAAAACUGGAUAAAGACAGCAUUAUUUUUACUAAACGAAUCUAUUUUUAGAUUCCUUUUAGUUUGCUUGUAUUAUCUUAUUGAACCAAUUUUAGACUUUCUUUACAUUCCCUAUUAUAUACAGACCUUUAUUAUAGACUCAGUAACCUUAGGAGUCCCACUCCAUCUUAUUAUUACCUUUAUCCAAACAAUAUAUCAGCUUUGGGAAAUAGACCCUUUUCUUGUAUUUCAAAUCUUUAAACCAUAAUUAAACACACUGGCUAAUCAAGACAAAGACGAAAUAUUACCAGACUACGAAGAAUACGAAGCCGAUAAUAACGAUAACAACAACGAAAAUUUAAGACAAUCAGAAGACAAUAACAAUAGUGACGACGACAGUUCAGACUAUAGUGAAAAUACUACAAGCCCGAGACAAUUUAACUGGCGAUACAAUAUCGUUCAUAUUGGAAGAAGAAGAUUUUUAGAAAUUUCAGUUGAAGACGCCUUUGACAUUGACGCCUUCACCUUUAAUACUAUCAACAAUCCUGUUUAUGCUAAUCAUCCCAUUGGCACUUUAGUACAUUUUCGUGUUUUAAAAACUUUUUACAUAGAGACUCAUAGAUUUCUAGAACUAAUCUUUUGUAUUAUAAACACUCUAGACAGAGAACUUAUACAUUACCCCCAUCUUUUAGAGAUUCUCUCCAUACGACCUCCUCAACCUCCAAGAAGAUUUUAAUGCUAAUACCAUCCUUAUUUCUCUUAAGCAUUUUAAUCGUCCUUUUUAGCAUACAACAAAUUUUAGUAGUCAUUGAAAAGAAUACUAAAAAUCAAAUAGACUUACUUAAUAAGUUACUUAUAAAUUCUUCCCCAAACCAUACUUGUUCUCUUUAAAUUUACAACCACGGCUCGAAUCAAAAGAAAAACAAAAAGACAAAAAGCUCUUUUAUUAUUUGCAUUUCUAACACUUUAUGAUAAGACUUUGUUAAAUCUAAAUCUACCUUACCCUUUUAUUGUUUACCACCUCACAGGAGAAUUUCAUACUUUUACCUUUGGUUUUUAUAAAAAUAUUCAAAAUAGAUCCAUUAAGGACUCUUCAACAACUGGUCCUCAGACUCGAUCAGACAAUUCGGACACAGACAGAACUCCUUGACAAAAUUUCAAGAAACCUAAAUUAUAUUAAAAACCAGAACACUUUAAUAGAACAAAAACUUUCUAAUAUAGACCACAGACUUAACCAAUUAGAAGCAAGACCUCAAAGAAUAGAACAAAAGUUACUCAAGAUUGAACAAGAUCUACAUUCCAGUCUUCAGAGGUUAGCAGAAAUUAAACAAAUUUCUCUAGGAUGACUAAUCCUGAACACCUUGAAGCUGAAAUUUUACAUAAGACCUUAUCAAAAGUACAAUCUUAUAGUCCUGACAAAACUUCUAUAGGCUUUUCAUCCCAUCUCCCACAAGCCCUUUCUGAACAAGUUAUAAUUAAACAAAACAAUACCAUUAUCCAACUAUUAUUAGGAUUACAUAACAAAAUACAUACAUUAGAAAAAUUGGUUUUACAAAGACAAACUGAAAGCAUUGUUCCUACCAUAGACACAACUCCCAUUGUCCAAGAAGUAACAAAACAUUUUUCUGCACUCCAAUUGCAAGAACACUCAAAGGAUACUCUUUCAAAGAAAGUUGUCCAGCCAUGGACUUUUCAUAGACAAAUUCCACGAUACUUAACUUCACCAGAACCCAAAUCACCCAACACUUCUAGUACAUCUAAAAAUCAAUCUCCCAGUUCUCCUACUGAUAAACCCCUUUGACUUAUUUUCAGAAGAACAAGGUCUUACAAAUAUGUGUCUCCAAACUCCUGAAGACACUUAUGCAGACUUUUAUAAUAUCAUAGACGCUCAAGAUGACAUAGACAUAUGGUUCGAUCCACUAGAAGAAGACACAUUGGAAACAGAAGACAUGGACGAAAGAGAUAUGACCCAUUACCAGACACAACAAAUGUUUUUUAUUUUAGACACUAUUCCAGAGGAAAAUGAAGAUUUUAAAAUUUCUGAAUUUAGCCAAAUCCUCUGUAAUUUAUGUUUUCAAGACAAUAUCCUCAUAGACAUUUGGCGACUAUUUACAGAACCUUUAGAUAAUAUUAUAUCUGACAUUUGGAGAUUAUUCAUUUAAAAGAAUUCUCUCUAGACAUAAAAAUAUUAAUAUAAUGUAUAUUGAUCCAGACAUUUCAGGUUCAAACAAAGACAAAGACAUGGAUCCACAUUAUUGUCCUUUUUGCACUGAUGUUUUCCUUAAACCAUCUGAAGAAUCUCUUGAUGAUAUAAUCCAAGACAUUCACAGGUUAUUUGAAGACCCAUUUGCUGUUAUGCCCUUUCACAUUAUCCUUUCUACCUUUAAACAUUUAGGAGAAGCAAAAGCCUUAGCAGCAGCAUGCAAAGAAUACAAUAGACAAACUCUUUUUAGAAGGCUCGAAAACUCGCAAAAUAAAAAAUUAUGGUUAGAUAGGCUCCAAGACAAGUUUGAUUUACAACUUUGGUUUUCUGGCAUAUGUCACCUCCCUGAACAAGAUUGGGAAAAUUACUACCAGCAAUAUUUUCGAGACGAGCUAAAUCUUCAAUAUUAUGACUUACUAGAUCAAGACAGUAUUAUUAGAGACAUUCGAGUACUAUUUGGCUACCCACUUGAAGGAAUUACAGAAAAUGAUUAUUGGGAAGAUAUUUGCCAACAACAUCUUUUGGACAAACUUAACCUUCAAGACUAUAGCUUAGACUAUCAAUAUAAACUUACUAGAAUUUUAUGUUACCACCUUUGUUACAAACUCAUGCCAUAUUUCCCUUUUAUUAUAAAUCCAACUUGGAACUAUCCAGAUUGGGAUUAGGGAAAAGAAAAAACAAAAACAAUACCCUUUCUUUUCCUCUACUUCUCUACAAAGUUAUCUUUCUCUAUCUAAACCCUUAGAUAUUACUCGCUCUACUUUAUUCUCUCCCCAUAUUAGUUCCUUUCCACAUUUCAAACCUCUACAUCCACCCACAAUCCUGAGAAAAUUAGUUUCUGUGAAAACUGCUCAACAAUGGCAACACAGCUUCAAAAACUAAACACUAUUUGUGAUGACUUGAGAACAAAUGAUCAGAAAAACAUCCAAAGAAUUGCUAUCCUGGAACAACAGCUCAAAGACCUCAAGAAUCCCUCACAACAAGGUAUUGUAUCUCUACCUCAAUCUUCCUCUUAUCCUCCUCCAAAGUAUCCUCCUAUAAUGACAACUACACCGAGUUUGGUCUUUCCUCCUAUGACCGACAUAAAUACUCCAUUUCAAAUUACUCCAUGUCAAAACCCACUAAUCCCAGUAGUCCAUCCCUCUAUCUCAGUAAAACCUUUUUUAUCCUCAGCACCACAAAAACCUACCCUCAAAAGAUAUCCACAGCCAAUUGCCAAACCUUUUAGGCAAAUUGAACCCUCUUCAGAACCAUUACCACACCCUAGUAUAGGAAACACUGAACAAAAACAAGGCGAUCCCAUGAUACUAGAAACAUCUUCUCCCAAAUGUGACAAUUUAGGCGAAAAUGCUUAGCCGCCUGAUUCUGACAUUUUGUACAUUUUUGUAAAUAUUUCUUUCAGUUCUGCAGUUUUAAUUGCGCCUUUUCAUUUCGACCUUGUAUUGGACACUGCUAAAAAAAAAAAAAAUUCAGAAAAAAGCAAAAGAGAAAAAUGAAAAAAAAAAAGAUUUUCCAGAGAAAAGUGGAAAUAUGAAGAAGAAGAAAGAAUCUGGAAAUUGAAAAAAUCAAAAGAAAAAAUUGAAAAAAUGGAAAAACAGAAAAAACAAGAGAAAAUUCAAGAAAAGAAAGAAAAAAUCAGAAAAAGAAAAAAGAAAAAAGAAUUAACCCGCUGUGAUCCUUUCACAGGCAAAAAUAAGGGUUUUUUAGUUUAGGGCUUUAAUUUCUGUUCUUUAACCACCUUGUGAUCCAACUCCAUCAUCAAAAGCAAGGUUCCAAAGUCUGUUCCCAAACAGACACCACCAAGUCNUAACGACCAACAUCGUUUCCGGUAGCAAACACACUUUAAUUUAAGUCUUUAAAAAGCUUUCAUUUAAAGAAAAAUUUAAAAAAGAUAAAAAUAAAAAAAAUAAAAAAAAAAGAGAAAAAUCACCGUGCAUACCACUUUGCGUAAUUAGCACUAAUUACGCCACUUAAAUUUUAGACCGAAAAAAUUUAUAAAAAAUCUUAAAAAAUCAGAAAUAUUCCCACGAGUCUUUUGCUACCCUUGUCCAGAGUAGCCGACAUAUAGUUUCCCCUCUGUGCAUUUUUCUGUUAGACUUUUACUAUUUGCAAAUAGUAAAUAGUUAAAAAAAAUAAAAUAAAAUAAAAAAAUAAAAAAAAAAAUCCCACGUGAAGCCACUGAAUGCAUAGUUAUCGUGCAUAGUAACUUCGCUAAUUUUCGACAGCAACAUUUCCAGACAAAAAAUACUAGAAAAUCCAGAAAAAUCUUACGAGUAUUUUGCCACCCUUCUUCAGAGUAGGCGAUAUACGGUCUCUCCUGUAAAAAUCUUUCUUUCCUACAAAUCACUAUUUGCAUAGUAACUGUUUGAUAAUUUAUUUGCGUACGCACCAUUUCUACUUAGUAUCCUACGCUAAUUAAGCUUUUUCUAGCUAUAUCAGAAAAAUUCUCAAAAAAUACCCAAAAAAUUGUUAAAAUUUCAACUUUCUCUUUCUUGCACUUAUCCUUUUUAACCGGUAUUUUCACAUACCUAAUUUCCAGUAUAUUACAUAAUCUGACCCAACUCUACUAUUUCCGCAUUUCCCUAAAAAUCCUAAAAAAUCCCAAAAAAUAUUUUAAAAAUCUCUUUUAGGUUUUUGCUUCUUUCAAAGGUUUGUUUUUCCUCAUACCUUAGGGUUUUCAUAAAUAGACUAGGGUUUUUAUAACAACAGACUUGUAGUUUGUGUUUAAGAAUCAUUUCCGCACCUUCUUCUAAACACCUUCUUCUAAACCCUAAACCCUAAACCCUAAACCUUAAACUUGGAACUAGCCAAGCCUAAACUCUCUAGCCCCCUCCCCCCUGUUUGGUAUCAGAGCCAAGACUUUCUUGGUCAAACUUACCGAGACUUUCUUGGUUUCAACUUACUAAACUUACAAAGCCUUUAUUGGUUAAACUAGUUAAGACUUUAGCUUUAUCACUUAGCUAUUUUAAUACAAUCAAUUCAACAGCCUCGUUUUCUUUUAAACAAGACAGAGAAAAGAAACGAAGACAAGUUUUCCUUAAAUACAACCACAUUAUUGAUAAUAGUGAAUGCAACCACAUUAUUGAUAAUAGUAAAUCUCCUUAAGAUUCAUCCUCAAUACCACCAUAUUAUUGAUAAAUAUGGACUUUUCUACAUCAUCUUCCCAAUCUCACAGAUUUUCUAGAUCUAAUUCCUAUAGAUCUGAAGAUAGUGAAUCUACAAUAUCUUUAAGAGCUCCUAAAUCUAGAGCAAGGAACAUAGUUGAAAAAAUAUUUUGUAGACCAAAACCUCUUCCAUUAGUUCCCAGAUCACAGCCCCCUCAACUAGACACAGUUGUAGAUGUUGAUGAUGACAUCGCAAUUUUCCGUACCCACGGGUUACGUCUUAUAAAUCCAGACAUUUUAUAUGAUGACCGACAACGGUAUGUUGAUAAGACUAAAUUUAUAUCUUUUAAGAGUGAAGUAUCAGUUGAAUGUUAUGACGGUCAACACAUUUCUAUACCUCUUGCUGAUGACGAAGUACAAAAAAGUAUUAGAAAGGCAAAUAUAGCACUUAUGCAUAUUGGAUUAAUUGUAAUAGGCAUAAAAGGGCUAGUACGUAAAAAACUAGGAUCUAAAGUACUCUUAAUGCCUUAUGACAAUAGACACAAAAAUAUAAUUGACGCAUCCUUAGGAUGUACUGAAAUAGAUAUGAAUUUUAAUGGUGGAAUAUUUUAUGUCGUUCCGGACUUUCUAAUGCCUUCAAUAGACUUUGCUAAUCAAAUUAAGAUUGGUAUACAAGUUAGAGGAAUAGAUUUAUAUGAAGGACAAAACUUUAGAAACUUACAAGUUUGCAUCGGAUUUACAGGUCUGUUAACACCUACUGCCGAAUCACAUUUUUUAAUGAACCCUUUAGGUGUAGUAGACUUAAUGGGAACACAAGGCAUGAAAUUAAUAGCACCAAUGGAAAUAGAUGCUAAAAAAUAUGCCGGCCUAGAAUGGAAUUUGGAUAAAUUUACACAAAUUAGACAAACAACAAUAGCUCCUGCUGACACUAUUUACUACCAAAAUGAACAAGGAAGGAACUCACUCAGAUUCACAGACUUUGAGACAAUUGAAGAAACAGAAAAUGACAAAGAUAGGACGACACCACUAAUACGAAAAAGAAAUAGUACACCAACCCAACCCGGUGAAUCAAGUACUCAAAGAAGAGAUUUUACUCUAUUACCCCAAGACCAACCACCAAACUUGAAUGUACCUUAUAAUCUAGAAAAACAACCCAAUAUCGAAUAUAAUUUUAUGGAAGAUAAUUAUAUUGACUAUUCUUCUGAAUCUGAACCUGAAGAUGAAGAAGAUGAAGAAUUUAGUGAUGAAGAAGAAAACCGUCUGAUAGAACAAAUCAGGCUAAAAAGACAAUUAAGAUCUGAAAGAGAUAAAAAAUUAGGAUAUACUAAACAAGAUGACAAGUUUAUCUAUAACCUAAGAGACGAAAUAAGAGAAAUAAACUUAGCAGAAGAAGGAGAAGGAUCUAAUCCUCCUGAAACACAGACUCCUCCACCAUAUCAUGUUGAACAUCCAUUAUCCACUCCUCCAACUCCACAAAGACCUCCUAGACCUCAAACAACAAAUCCUGGUUAUUCUCAUAUACCAUACUAUGAUACAGUUAGGAUGCCAGCAGAAACCUACAACACUGGUAAUUUUCCUAGACAUAGCAUCUCCUCAGCCCCAGAAGAACAAAUCUAUCCUUAUGGUCGCAAUGUUAGAUCUUAUGGCAAAAAAUAUCCUUUUGAAAAUCCUGUUAAUUUACAAGAAGCAGGAUCUGGAAAAAUAUUAAACAUUGCUGCUCAUGACCCCCAAACUUGGGAUUCUAUAAUAGACAUUUGGAAAGGUUUAGUUGUAGCGGAUUAUAUUCGUAAUCAACACUACAUGAAUACUGAUAAUGCCGAGGAAAUGUAUAAAUAUUUAGAGACUUUUCUAGGCGAAUCCACUAAAGGAAUGUGGGAACAAUAUAAAAUUCAAUAUGAAGAUGAAUUCAGACAUCUAUUAACACUAGGAUGUAAUCCUUGUAAUUUCACAAACAAAGUUCAUUCUCUCAUUACAGGCCAAGACCCUAAUUCUGGCCAAUUACUCCUACAAAAUCAAGCUCUUAUAAGCCUAGAACAACUUAGUAUUUCAACCUGGUUCCCUAUAAAAGACUUUCUACAAGCAUACUUAUAUUAUGCAAGUAUAAGUGGGAAUGCUUUUAGCCAAGACAUAGGACGAAAAUUAUUCUUAAAACUUCCAGGAGCCCUAGGCAGAGAAAUCCAAGACAGAUGGGAUACAAUGGAAAAAAAAACUAUAAGGCAAAACCCAGAUACUAAAUGGUCCAUAGGACAGAGUAAAAUUCAUAAUGAAUAUACUACAAGAGAAAUGUGCCAACAUACAAAUCACAAAACAACUAAAAAACAAUGAAUACUCUUUCUGUAAAAGUGUUGUGUAUACUCCCCAACAGUAUAGAAACCCAUUUUAUGAAACUCCAAAGAAAAAAUAUAAACAUUACAUCCCUCAAUACAAAGGAUAUAAGACAAGAAUGAAGUAUUCCUUAAGACGAUCAAAAGCCAAAAAGCCCUAUUUAAAUAAAGACAACCAUGUGAGAAAAUAUAAAUCAGACAGAACUUAUAAAAGCAAACUUCUUUGUUAUACAUGUAAUAGUCCAGGGCAUUUUGCAAAUGCAUGUCCAAGAAGACAACAUAAAAAACCGAAAUGCUUUACUUAUAGAAGAUACUGGCGAAACCCUGUUAGCAGUAGAUGAAUUUGUAUCAGACACCGAAACUAUUUACUCCAUUGAAAAUAAUAUAGUCUACGAAAAAGAAAGUGAAAAAGAAUCCUCCUCUGAUGAAGACAAUAAUAACUAUAAUACUUUUAUCUCAAAUAUGGUUGAAGGUACUAAGACAAAGCAAAAAGAACAUACAUAUUUUUUUGAAUCUGCAAUGAUUUUUGAAGACCCUGACGAAAACACAUCCAUAACCUCCCCACUAGAGGAAAAAACAUGGACUUCGUUUUCUGACAGUACCACUAUUCUUUUUGAAGGAGUCCAAACUCUAGAAGAACAAAACCCUAAUUGGGAAUUAGCCGCCCGAGACUAUAAAAUUCAAUUAUUAAGACAACGAGCACAAGAAAGAAUAGACAAACGAAUUUGGAAAAUAGCUAUGGAAAUACAAGACCAGAGUGGAUCAAGAAUACGGGAAAUAAUUGAAUAUGAACGCAAGCAAAGAUUGUUAGAUACCAAGGACCAAAAUAAAAUUAUUCAAGAUAUUAGAAUCCUUUUCAACGAUCUUUCAGAACAAGAAGAUAUUAUAAAAGACAUCAGACAUCUCUUUGACAUAUCCCAACCCUCAUUUCAUGACUCUACUAUUUAUGUUAUGACCCUUAUGAAUUUAAAUGAAGAAUGCAGCCAUGAUUGGCAAGAAAGACAAGGAUAUGACCAUAGACCUUGCACAUACUGUAAUUUCUUUCCCGAACGAAAAUUUAGAUGUAAAUGUCGCUUAUGUAAAAUUGAAGCAUGUUCAAUUUGCUUAAACAAAAAGUUUAAUAGACAGAUUACAAAUAUAGAACCUAAAAAGACUUUUGAAAUCGAACAUUUAAAUGCCCAUGAAAAACGAAUUAUAGCUUUAGAAGCCAGAGUCAGCCUUCUGGAAAAACAAGACAAUCCAAGAAAAAACAUUACAAAUAAAGGAAAAGGAAUUGAACUCCGUGAAAAUAUGACAGAACUAUCCGAAUAUUUUGAAGAAGAAAAUUUACGGGUAUAUGAAGAUAGUUACAUUUGUAACGAAGGAUUAAAACUACGAAGUCUUAUUGUUCCGUGUAAAAUACAAAUAGGAAACAAAGACUUUGAAACAGAAGCAGUAAUAGACACUGGCUGUACGACCUGUUUAAUACAUACAGAUUUAGUCCCUUUAAAUUACCGAAAGACAGCAAAAGAACCAACAAGUGGUAUCCAAAUGGACGGUACUGCCCAUAAAUAUACACAAUAUGUUUCUAAUGCAAAAAUUAGCUUCUUAGAUACAUGCAAUACAUUCAAUGAAACCUAUACCAUUCCCAAGGUUUGGUUACGAAAAAUGANCUAAAAAUUUGUGUUUGAUGUUCAGACAACAAUAUUUUUUGGGAAUUCUAUUUUUGGGAUUUCCGCACCUUCUUCUAAACCCUAAACCCUAAACCCUAAAGCUUAAACUUGGAACUAGCCAAGCCUAAACUCUCUAGCCCCUCUUUCCCCCCUUUCCCCUUUCCCCCCUCUUGGUAUCAGAGCAUCGAAAUCACUAUGCUAGAAGGUUAAAUUUAAUUUACUUGUCGUCGAAAUGAUACAAACCUACAGAUAAGUAGGGUUGGCAAAGGCUAGUCUGUACCCAAGGGCUUUUCUUAAGACAUAAACCUUGUUACAUUAAAGCCUAGUUGACCAAUAGUGACCACCCUUCAGGUUUAAUGUACAACAAGAGAUAGCCUUAAGAUAAGUUGAACAACCUUGUGAUUUGGUGCAAGGAAACCAAGAGAUAGCAGGACUAUAAGACGACACCACUAAACUCUCUACCCCCUCUUUUACACAUAAAUGAACUACUUAAAUUAGGAGUUAUAAGAAAAUCAAUAUCCAAACAUAGAUCAACAGCUUUUAUAGUUAUGAAACAUUCUGAAAUAGUACGAGGAAAAAGCAGAAUGGUCAUUAACUACAAAAGACUUAAUGACAAUACAAAAUUCGAUGGCUAUACUAUUCCAGACAAAUCUCAUCUAAUAAAUAGUAUACAAGGUAAAAAGAUUUUCAGUAAAUUUGACUGUAAAUCAGGUUUUUGGCAAGUAAAAAUGGACAAAGAGAGUAUAGAAUGGACAGCUUUUACCUGCCCAGAAGGACAUUUUGAAUGGCUAGUUAUGCCCUUUGGCCUUAAAAAUGCACCUUCUAUUUUCCAAAGAAAAAUGGAUACAAUUUUUAAUGAACACAGAGAUUUUGUUUUAGUUUAUGUCGAUGACAUUUUAGUUUUUAGUAAAAACAUGCAAGAACAUCUAGGACAUCUACAGAUAGUCUUUCAUGAAUUUAUUAAACAUGGGAUUAUUAUAAGUAAAAAUAAAGUUGAACUCUGUAAAAAAUACAUCAAUUUCUUAGGAGUAACUAUUGGUGAAGGAAAAAUAAAAUUACAACCCCAUAUAGCCAAGAAAAUCCUAGACAUGCCAGAUAAACUUGAAACUCUUAAAGAAUUACAAUCCUUCUUAGGAUUAGUAAAUUAUGCAAGAACAUUUAUCAAGGACCUGGGAAAAAUCGCAGGGCCUUUAUAUGCUAAGACUGGAAAAUCAGGACAAAGACAUUUUAAUGCUGAAGACAUAAAAUUGGUCAAACAAAUAAAAGCCCUUGUAUCUGAAUUACCAGACCUAGAUCUUCCGUUAGAUUCUAAUUAUAUUAUCAUAGAAACAGACGGUUGUGAUUUAGGAUGGGGCGCAGUCUUAAAAGCAAGAUCUAAUAAAUAUAGUGACACAAAAGAAGAAAAAUUAUGCGGAUACGCAAGUGGGAAAUAUAGAGAAAGAGGAAAAAUAAGCAGCAUAGAUGCGGAAUUAUUAGCAGUAAUAUAUGCUCUUGAUGCUUUCAAACUAAAUGUUAUUAAUAAACAGGAAAUAACAAUCCGGACAGAUUGUGAAGCUAUUACUAAAUUCUCUCAUAAAAAAGACGAAAAAGCUAGUUCUAGACGCCGAUGGAUUAAUUUUCAAGACAGAAUAUCUAUAAGUCACAUUAAAUUUGAACAUAUUAGAGGAAAAGAUAAUUUUUUCCCUGAUCAAUUAAGUAGAGGAUUUUUUGAAAAUACCACUUUUGAAAUUAACAUGGUACAUAUUGACAUUUCAGAUUCAGACAUUUCAGAUUCAGACAUUUCAGACACAAACAUGGAUCCAAUCAGACAACCUCGGAUAGCCUAUGGCAACGAAAAUCUCAUUUAUUUUUCCCAAAUUAUUUUCCGUUCUCGCAAUCCAAAUAUUUUAUUACCAGACGAACAAAAAUGUUUGAUUGACAAUCUAUGGCUAUGUUACCAUAGGACAUCAAAUCAUCAAGAACCAGACAAAAAAUAUUUUGUUGCCUGCAUAAAUUCCUUAAUAGAAUAUUUUCAGACAGUCAAACCCAAAGACUCUUUCCCUUUCUAUGUGGUACUUCAAGGUUUUAAAACCGGAAUUUUUGAUUCCUGGAUUGAUGUUAUUACCCAGCUUAAAAAUUUUCCUCACCCUCUCUACAAAGGUUUUCAUUCUAUCUCCGAAGCCUUAGACACUGCUCGUACCUACUUUGGUCCAAAUUUUUUUAUCUCCCCCAAUAUUCGCUCUUCUCCACAUAUUCAUGCCUCUACAUCCACCCACAAUCCUGAGAAAAUUAGUUUCUGUGAAAACUGCUCAACAACGGCAACACAGCUCCAAAAACUGAAUACUAUUUGUGAUGACUUGAGAACAAAGGAUCAGAAAAAUAUUCAAAGAAUUGCUGUUCUGGAACAACAGAUCAAAGACCUCAAGAACCCCUCACAACAAGGUAUUGUAUCUCUACCUCAAUCUUCCUCUUAUCCUCCUUCAAAGUAUCCUCCUAUAAUGACAACUACACCGAGUUUGGUCUUUCCUCCUAUGACCGACAUAAAUACUCCAUUUCAAAUUACUCCAUUUCAAAACCCACUAAUCCCAGUAGUCCAUCCCUCUAUCUCAGUAAAACCUUUUUUAUCUUCAGCACCACAAAAACCUACCCUCAAAAGAUAUCCACAGCCAAUUGCCAAACCUUUUAGGCAAAUUGAACCCUCUUCAGAACCAUUACCACACCCUAGUAUAGGAAACACUGAACAAAAACAAGGCGAUCCCAUGAUACUAGAAACAUCUUCUCCCAAAUGUGACAAUUUAGGCGAAAAUGCUUAGCCGCCUGAUUCUGACAUUUUGUACAUUUUUGUAAAUAUUUCUUUCAGUUCUGCAGUUUUAAUUGCGCCUUUUCAUUUCGACCUUGUAUUGGACACUGCUAAAAAAAAAAAAAAUUCAGAAAAAAGCAAAAGAGAAAAAUGAAAAAAAAAAAGAUUUUCCAGAGAAAAGUGGAAAUAUGAAGAAGAAGAAAGAAUCUGGAAAUUGAAAAAAUCAAAAGAAAAAAUUGAAAAAAUGGAAAAACAGAAAAAACAAGAGAAAAUUCAAGAAAAGAAAGAAAAAAUCAGAAAAAGAAAAAAGAAAAAAGAAUUAACCCGCUGUGAUCCUUUCACAGGCAAAAAUAAGGGUUUUUUAGUUUAGGGCUUUAAUUUCUGUUCUUUAACCACCUUGUGAUCCAACUCCAUCAUCAAAAGCAAGGUUCCAAAGUCUGUUCCCAAACAGACACCACCAAGUCCAACUUUCCACCUCCAGAGCAAUUUUUUGGCUUCCUCCAAGCAAGUCCCAAAGCGACACGUGGCCUCCAUUUGGACAAAUAAUAAUCCGACACGUGGACACCACUCAUGCACCAGUUCCAUGCACCAGGUCCACCAAGAAUCCCGGCAAGAAUGACAUUCAAAACCACUACGCCUCAAACCCCCUACGCCUCAGGUUUUUUAAAACCGUGGGCCCACGUCAUCAUUCCACCCAAUACCUCAUCCUGCGAAGCCAUGGUUUUUUUGAAAACCAGGUGCCGCCGCAGUAUUCUCCUCCCAAACCACCUCUUCCUUCGGCUAUAAAGGAAGAAAACCUCCUCCUCCUCUCAGAGCAUCGAAACCUCAGAGCAUCGAAUGCAUAGAGAAAGAAGCAGAGCAAGAAAAAAUCCUACUUAGCCCCUGCCUUAUGAAAAAUUCCGCUGAAGCUUAAAGGAAGAUCAUUUCGACGACAAGUGAAGAAUGAAGCAAGCCUCUUGUUAGAUAUACCAUCCUAGCUCCACAAAUAAUUCCCUAAUGGCCUUUAUUUUCCUAUCCUUCCUGUAAAAAUUAUCUUUUUUCUUAACCGCAUUCUGGCGUGAAGAGUCUGUACAAACAAGUCCUUCUUUCCCCCCGGGAAGUCCCGGAAGGGAAACCUUCUAGCAUUGUGAUGUAAGUUUUAUCUCUUGUUAAUAUUAUAUUUCUCGAACUCUUCUAUCCAUGGCAUUUUCUUUGCCCCAUGAUUCCCUUUCCUUGGACUCUUAAUGAAAAUUUAAGAGGUUCUCUCUGGAUAAUUAUUUCAGCUUAAGCAAGUGUAAAGCAUAUAUGCUUGGCAGAUUUGAUAAGAGAAAAAAUGCUCUGUAAUUUUCGCCAUUGAUAGCCAGAGGUGCUUUGCGGCGUUAGAGCGAGGUUCUCUGAAAACUGUACGCCAAGAGGGUCUUGUGCACCAACACUGUGUCUUAAGUGGUGUUAUCCACAUUAGAAAAUUAAAUUUCAUCAUAAGUCCGAGUUUUAGGAAAAUUGCAUCAUCGAAAAUUUAAUGAGAUAAAGAGUUUUAGAAAUAUAAAAAACAUCUGAAAAAUUUUUAUCUUGAUUUCUAGAAGGGAGUACCAGACGGGACCUACUUUAAAAAAGAUUUGGAAACUUAGUUUAUUUUCUAAAAACGGAAAUUUUAAAUUUGCACUUCAUCCUAUUUUUAUUCAUCCUACAAAUAUCAUUCAAGACAUAUAUUAUUUUCUUUCCGUUCCUCUUUUACUGUGAACUAUCUAUCAAACAAUUUCAUCUAAACAUCCACCUAUCCAUCCCAAUUAAAUUAAUAUUUAAUAACGACCAACAUCGUUUCCGCCUACAAACACACUUUAAUUUAAGUUUUUAAAAGCUUUCUCUUAAAGAAAAGUUUAAAAAGAUAAAAAAAAAAAGAGAAAAAACAACGUGCAUGUCACUUUGCGUAAUUAGCACUAAUUACGCCACUUAAAUUUUAGACCGGAAAAAUUUAUAAAAAAUCUUAAAAAAUCAGAAAUAUUCCCACGAGUCUUUUGCUACCCUUGUCCAGAGUAGCCGACAUAUAGUUUCCCCUUUGCAUUUUUCUGUUUGCAUAGUAAACUUAAAAAGUUAAAAAAAAAAAAAAAAAAAUUUCCACGUGAAGCCACUGUAUGCAUAGUUAUCGUGCAUAGUAACUUCACUAGUUUUCGACAGCAACAUUUCCAGACAGAAAAAAUACCAAAAAAUUCAGAAAAAUCUUACGAGUAUUUUGCCACCAUUCUUCAGAAUAGCCGACAUACGGUCUCUCCUGUAAAAAUCUUUCUUUCUUUCAAAUCACUAUUUGCAUAGUAACUUGCAUAGUAAUUUAUUUACGUACGCACUAUUUCUACUUAGUAUCCUACGCUAAUUAAGCUUUUUCUAGCUAUAUCAGAAAAAUUCUCCAAAAAUACCCAAAAAAUUGUUAAAAAUCCAACUUUCUCUUUCUUGCCCUUAUCUUUUUCAACCGGUAUUUUCUAAUACUUACUUUUCAAUAUAUUACAUAAUCUGACCCAACUCUACUAUUUCCGCAUUUCCCUAAAAAUCCUAAAAAAUCCAAAAAAUAUUUUAAAAAUCCUUUUUAGGUUUUUGCUUCUUUCAAAGGUUUGUUUUUCCUACUAUCUUAGGGUUUUUAUAAAUAGACUAGGGUUUUCUCCAUAAAUCCUAGGGUUUUUAUCUUAAGGGUUUUUUAUAACAACAGACUUGUAGUUUGUGUUUAAAGAUCAUUUCCGCACCUUCUUCUAAACCCGAAACCCUAAACCCUAAACCCUAAACCCUAAACCUUAAACUUGGAACUAGCCAAGCCUAAACUCUCUAGCCCCCCCUCUUUCCCCCCUCUUGGUAUCAGAGCUUAGACUUUCUUGGUCAAACUUACCCAGACUUUCUUGGUCAAACUUACCUAGAAUCUCUUGGUUUCAAGUUACUAAACUUAUAAAGACUUUAUUGAUUAAACUAGUAGAGACUUUAGCUUUAUCACUUAGCUAUUUUACUACAAUCAAUUCAACAGCCUCAUUCUCUUUUAAACAAGACAGAGAAAAGAAACGAAUACAAAUCUUCCUUGAAUGCAACCACAUUAUUGAUAAUAGUAAAAUCUUUUUAACAAUCAUCCUCAAUACCACCAUAUUAUGGAAUUUUCUACAUCAUCAUCUUCUCAAUCACACAGAUUUUCUAGGUCUAAUUCCUAUAGAUCUGAAGAUAGUGAAUCUACAAUAUCUUUAAGAGCUCCUAAGUCUAGAGCAAGGAACAUAGUUGAAAAAAUCUUUUGUAGACCAAAACCUCUUCCAUUAGUCCCCAGAUCACAGACACCUCAACUAGACACAGUUGUAGAUGUUGAUGAUGAUAUCGCAAUCUUCCGUACCCACGGAUUACGUCUUAUAAAUCCAGACAUCUUAUAUGAUAACCGUCAACGAUAUGUUGACAAGACUAAAUUUAUUUCCUUCAAGAGUGAAGUAUCAGUUGAAUGUUAUGACGGUCAACACAUUUCUAUACCCCUUGCUGAUGAAGAAGUACAAAAAAGUAUUAGAAAGGCAGAUAUAGCACUUAUGCAUUUAGGAUUAAUUGUAAUAGGCAUAAAAGGCCUGGUACGUAAAAAACUAGGAUCUAAAGUACUCUUAAUGCCUUAUGACAAUAGACAUAAAAAUAUAAUUGACGCAUCCUUAGGAUGUACAGAAAUAGAUAUGAAUUACAACGGUGGAAUAUUUUAUGUAGUUCCAGACUUUCUAAUGCCUUCAUUAGACUUUGCAAAUCAAAUUAAGAUUGGUAUACAAGUCAGAGGAAUAGACUUAUAUGAAGGACAAAACUUUAGAAACUUACAAGUUUGUAUUGGAUUUACAGGUCUGUUAACACCCACUGCCGAGUCACAUUUUUUAAUGAACCCCUUAGGUGUAGUAGAUUUAAUGGGAACACAAGGCAUGAAAUUAAUAGCACCAAUGGAAAUAGAUGCUAAAAAAUAUGCCGGCCUUGAAUGGAACUUGGAUAAAUUUACACAAAUUAGACAAACAACAAUAGCUCCUGCUGAUACUAUUUACUACCAAAAUGAACAAGGAAGGAACUCACUCAGAUUCACAGACUUUGAGACAAUUGAAGAAACAGAAAAUGACAAAGAUAGGACGACACCACUAAUACGAAAAAGAAAUAGUACAUCAACUCAACUCGGUGAAUCAAGUACCCAAAGAAGAGAUUUUACUCUAUUACCUCAAAACCAACCACCAAACUUAAAUGUACCAUAUAAUCUAGAAAAACAGCCCAAUAUCGAAUAUAAUUUUAUGGAAGAUAAUUAUAUUGACUAUUCUUCUGAAUCUGAACCUGAAGAUGAAGAAGAUGAAGAAUUUAGUGAUGAAGAAGAAAACCGUCUGAUAGAACAAAUCAGGCUAAAAAGACAAUUAAGAUCUGAAAAAGAUAAAAAAUUAGGAUAUACUAAGCAAGAUGACAGGUUUAUCUAUAACCUAAGAGACGAAAUAAGAGAAAUAAACUUAGCAGAGGAAGGAGAAGGAUCUAAUCCUCCUGAAACACAGACUCCUCCACCAUAUCAUAUUGAACAUCCAUUAAACACUCCUCCAGCUCCACAGAGACCUCCUCGACCUCAAACAACAAAUCCUGGUUAUUCUCAUAUACCAUACUAUGAUACAGUUAGGAUGCCAGCCGAAACCUACAACACUGGUAAUUUCCCUAGACAUCGCAUCUCCUCAGCCCCAGAAGAGCAAAUCUAUCCUUAUGGUCGCAAUGUUAGAUCUUAUGGCAAAAAAUAUCCUUUUGAAAAUCCUGUUAAUUUACAAGAAGCAGGAUCUGGAAAAAUAUUAAACAUAGCUGCUCAUGACCCCCAAACUUGGGAUUCUAUAAUAGACAUUUGGAAAGGAUUAGUUGUAGCAGAUUAUAUUCGUAACCAACACUACAUGAAUACUGAUAACGCCGAGGAAAUGUAUAAAUAUUUAGAAACCUUUUUAGGAGAAUCUACCAAAGGAAUGUGGGAACAAUAUAAAGUUCAAUAUGAAGAUGAAUUCAGACAUUUAUUAACACUAGGAUGUAAUCCUUGUAAUUUUACAAACAAAGUUCAUUCUCUUAUUACCGGUCAAGACCCUAAUUCUGGCCAAUUGCUACUCCAAAAUCAAGCCCUUAUCAGCCUAGAACAACUUAGUAUUUCUACCUGGUUCCCUAUCAAAGACUUUCUACAAGCAUACUUAUAUUAUGCAAGUAUAAGUGGGAAUGCUUUUAGCCAAGACAUAGGACGAAAAUUAUUCUUAAAACUUCCAGGAGUCCUAGGCAGAGAAAUCCAAGAUAGAUGGGAUACAAUGGAAAAAAAAACUAUAAGGCAAAACCCAGAUACUAAAUGGUCCAUAGGACAAAGAGUAAAAUUCAUAAUGAAUAUACUACAAGAGAAAUGUGCCAACAUACAAAUCACAAAACAACUCAAAGACAAUGAAUACUCUUUCUGUAAAAGUGUUGUGUAUACUCCCCAACAGUAUAGAAACCCAUUUUAUGAAACUCCAAAGAAAAAAUAUAAACAUUAUAUCCCUCAAUACAAAGGAUAUAAGACAAGAAUGAAAUAUUCCUUACGACGAUCAAAAGCCAAAAAACCCUAUUUAAAUAAAGAUAACCAUGUUAGAAAAUAUAAAUCAGACAGAACUUAUAAAAGCAAACUUCUCUGUUAUACAUGUAAUAGUCCAGGGCAUUUUGCAAAUGCAUGUCCAAGAAGACAACAUAAAAAACCGAAAUGCUUUACUUAUAGAAGAUACUGGCGAAACCUUGUUAGCAGUAGAUGAAUUUGUCUCAGACAUUGAAACUAUUUACUCCAUUGAAAAUAAUAUAGUUUACGAGAAAGAGAGUGAAAGAGAAUCCUCCUCUGAUGAAGACAAUAAUAACUGUAAUACUUUUAUCUCAAAUAUGAUUGAAGGUACUAAGACAACAAAGCAAAAAGAACAUACAUAUUUUUUUGAAUCUGCAAUGAUAUUUGAAGACCCUGACGAAAAUACAUCCAUAACCUCCCCGCUAGAGGAUAAAACAUGGAAUUCGUUUUAUGAUAGUACCACAAUUCUUUUUGAGANGAUAAAACUUACAUCACAACGCUAGAAGGUUUCCCUUCCGGGACUUCCCGGGGGGAAAAAAGGACUUGUUUGUACAGACUCUUCACUCCAGAUUGCAGUUGAUAAAAAGAUAAAUUUUUACAGGAGGGGGAGAAAAAUAAAAGCCAUUGGAUUUAUUUGUGGAGCUAGGAUGCUAUAUCUAACAAGAUGAGAGCUUCAUUCUUCACUUGUUGUCGAAAUGAUCUUCCUUUAAGCUUCAGCGCAAUUUUUACAUAAGGCAGGGGCUAAGUGGGAUUUUCUCUUGCUCUGCUUCCUUGCUCACCAUGCUUCAAGAGGAGGAGGAAGGCUUCCUUUUAUAAGAAAAAGGAAGAGUGGUUUUGGAGGAGAAAACUGCGGCGGCACCUGGUUUUCAAAAAAACCGCGGCUACGCAGGUUGAGGUAAUGGAAGGAAUGAUGACGCGACAUGAUGACGUGGGCCCACAGGCUUUUCAAAAAAAACCUCAGGCGUAGUGGUUUUGGAUGGUCAUCAUUGGCAUGACUUUUUGAAAAUUCGGUGGACCUGGUGCAUCAGUGAUGUCCACGUGUUGCUUUAAUAUUUGUCCAGAUGGAGGCCAUUUGUUGAUUCUUCAUUGGCUUGGUGGGGGCCAAAUAUUGCUCUGAAAUUUGGUGGUGUCUGUUUGGGAACAGACUUUGGAACCUUGCUUUUGGUGGUGGAGUUGGAUCACAAGGUGGUUAAAGAACAGAAAUUAAAGCCCUAAACUAAAAAACCCUUAUUUUUGCCUGUGAAGGAAUCACAGCGGGUUGAUUUCUUUUUUCUUUUUUCUUUUUCUGAUUUUUUCUUUUUUUUCUUGAUUUUUUCUUCUUUUUUGUUCUUUUUUCAUUUUUCAAUUUUUUCUUUGGUUUUUUCAUUUCCAGAUUCUUUCUUCUUCUUUUGAUAUUUCCACUUUUUUCUGGAAAUUUUCUGUUUUUUCUCCUUUUUUUAGCAGUGUCCGAAUACGCGGACUACAUGAAAAGGCAUAAUUGAAAAACAGAUGCAGAACUGAAGGAAAUAUAUACAAAUAUGUACAAAACAUCAGAACCAGGCGGCUAAGCAAUUUCCCCUAAAUUGUCAAUUUUGGGAGAAGGUGCUUCUAGUAUCAUGGGAUCUUCUUGUUUUUCUUCAGUGUUUCCUAUACUAGGGUGUGGUAAUGGUUCUGAAGAGGGCUUAGUUCUUGGAAAUGGUUUAGCAAUUGGCUGUGGAGGUUUUUUGUGGAAAGCUUUUUGUGGUGGAAAAGGUGCUGAUGAUAGUGGAAGCGGUUUUACUGAGGUGGAUGGAUGGACUACUGGGAUUAGUGGGUUUUGAAAAGGAGCAUUUAUGUUGGUAAUUGGGGGAAAGACCAAACUUGGUGUUAUUGUCAUUAUAGGAGGAUACUUUGGAGGAGGAUAAGAGGAAGAUUGAGGUAGAGAUACAAUACCUUGUUGUGAAGGAUGCUUGAGGUCUCUGAUCUGAUGUUCAAGGAUUGCAAUUCUUUGUAGAUUUUUCUGAUCCUUUGUUCUUAAGUCAUCGCAAAUGGUAUUCAGCUUCUGAAGCUGUGUUGCCAUUGUUGAGCAGUUUUCACAGAAACUAUUUUUCUCAAGAUUGUGGGUGGAUGUAGAGGCUUGGAUAUGUGGAGAGGAGCGAAUAUUGGGAGAAAUAAAAAAGUUUGGGCCAAAGUGGGUGCGAGCAGUGUCUAAGGCUUCGGAGAUAGAAUGAAAACCUUUGUAGAGUGGUUGGGAAAAAUGCCAAUUUUAAAACCUUGAAAUACUACAUAGUAAGGAAACUUAUUUAUUUAUUUAUUUAUUUAUUUAUUUAUUUUUUUUUUUUUAUAAGUUAAGAGUUCCAAUUUGGAUUUAUAAUAAAAGGGAAAAAAGGCAUCAGGUUGUAACAUAGGUGGUGACAUAAGAUUCUAGUAAGUUUAUAUUGAUAAUCUAAACUAUAAUCUUGGAGGUUGAGUUUGUCCAAAANGAAUUCGUUUUAUGAUAGUACCACAAUUCUUUUUGAGAGAGUACAAACUCUAGAACAAGAACUGAACCCUAAUUGGGAAUUAGCUGCCCGAGACUAUAAAAUCCAAUUAUUAAGACAAAGAGCACAAGAAAGAAUAGACAAACGAAUAUGGAAAAUAGCUAUGGAAUUACAAGAUCAGAGUGGAUCAAGAGUAAGAGAAAUAAUGGAAUAUGAACGCAAGCAAAGGUUAUUAGACACUAAAGACCAAAAUAAAAUUAUUCAAGAUAUUAGGAUUCUGUUCGAUGAUCUUUCCGAACAGGAAGAGAUUAUAAAAGACAUCAGACAUCUCUUUGACAUAUCCCAACCCUCAUUUCAUGACUCUACUAUUUAUGUUAUGACCCUUAUGAAUUUAAAUGAAGAAUGCAGCCAUGAUUGGCAAGAAAGACAAGGAUAUGACCAUAGACCUUGCACAUACUGUAAUUUCUUUCCCGAACGAAAAUUUAGAUGUAAAUGUCGCUUAUGUAAAAUUGAAGCAUGUUCAAUUUGCUUAAACAAAAAGUUUAAUAGACAGAUUACAAAUAUAGAACCUAAAAAGACUUUUGAAAUUGAACAUUUAAAUGCCCAUGAAAAACGAAUUAUAGCUUUAGAAGCCAGAGUUAGCCUUCUGGAAAAACAAGACAAUCCAAGAAAAAACAAAGAAAUCACAAACAAAGGAAAAGGAAUAGAGAUCCGUGAAAAUAUGACAGCACUAUCUGAAUACUAUGAAGAAGAAAACUUAAGAGUAUAUGAAGAUAACUAUAUUUGCAAUGAAGGAUUAAACCUACGAAGCCUAAUUGUUCCAUGUAAAAUACAAAUAGGAAACAAAGACUUUGAAACAGAAGCAGUCAUAGACACUGGCUGUACAACAUGUCUAAUACACACAGAUUUAGUCCCUUUAAAUUAUCGAAAAACAGCAAAGGAACCAACAAAAGGAAUCCAAAUGGACGGUACUGCCCAUAAAUAUACACAGUAUGUUUCUAAUGCAAAAAUUAGUUUCUUAGAUACAUGCAAUACAUUCAAUGAAACUUAUACCCUCCCCAGAGUCUGGUUACGAAAAAUGAAAAUAAAUGCAGACUUUGUAUUAGGUUUAAAUUUCAUGCUCCACUUUUUAGGCGGAAUAAGUAUCAAUAGAGAUUAUGUUAAAUUCUACAAACAUGUCACAAUGACUCCAGUACAAAAGAAAGCAAAGAAACCCUUAAAAGACAGAAUAGAUUGCUGUGACAAUUGCUCUAAAGGAGAACCUUGUUCUCUAGAUAAGAUAACAGACGAAACAGACUUAUUAGAAUUUGACACCUGGCAUGAUGAUUUUUCUUAUAAUCUAGAAAAAUUAUUAGACACCAACUCAAUUUGCAUGGAUUAUGACUUUGUAAAUUGGGAAAAAACCCUCUUAAAUAUAGGUUUUAUUAGAAACCAGCAAGACAUAGAUGAAAUAUUACAUAAACUUGACAAAUUAGAAAUUAUGGGAGACAACCCAAUUAAAUAUUGGGAAAACGAUAAAAUAUAUUGUAAACUGGAUAUAAUUAACCCAGAAUAUAUAGUUAGAACUGCCUCUAUAGACUUCACUAACGAAGAAAGAGAACAAUUUAAACUACACAUAAAUGAACUACUUAAGUUAGGUGUUAUAAGAAAAUCGAUAUCUAAACAUAGAUCAACAGCUUUUAUAGUUAUGAAACAUUCUGAGAUAGUACGAGGAAAAAGCAGAAUGGUCAUUAACUACAAAAGACUUAAUGACAAUACAAAAUUCGAUGGCUAUACUAUUCCAGACAAAUCUCAACUAAUAAAUAGUAUACAAGAUAAAAAGAUUUUUAGUAAAUUUGACUGUAAAUCAGGUUUUUGGCAAGUAAAAAUGGACAAAGAGAGUAUAGAAUGGACAGCUUUUACCUGCCCAGAAGGACAUUUUGANUUUGAAUAUUUUUAUGAAAACCGAAAGUAAAGGUAUGGAAUUCUCCUGUGAGAUGGUAAAUAAUGAAAGGAUAAGGAAGGCUUAGGUUUGACAAAGUCUUAUCAUAUAAUGUUAAAAAUGCAAAAUAAUAAAAGGGCUUUUUGCUUUUUUGUUUUUCUUUUGAUUCUAGCCGUGGUUGUAAAUUUAGAGAAAACAAGUACGGUUUGGAGGAGAUUCUAUGAUUAAUUUAUUAAGUAAGUCUAUCUGAGAUUUGGUAUUCUUUUCUAUGACUACUAAAAUUUGUUGAAUGCUGAAAAGGAUGAUUAAAAUGCUUAAAAGAAAUAUGGAUGGUACUAGCAUUAAAAUCUUCGUGGAGGCUGAGGAGGUCGUCUGGAAAGAAUGUCAAAUAGAUGAGGGUAGUGUAUAAGUUCUUUAUCUAGAGUAAGUAGGAUUAAAGAAAGUAAAUCUAGAUACCUAUGAGUUUCAAUGUAAAAUGUUUUUAAGACACGAAAAUGUACUAAAGUCCCGAUAGGAUGAUUAGCGUAAAUAGGAUUGUUAAUAGGAUUAAAAGUGAAAGCGUCUAUGUCAAAAGCGUCUUCGACUGUUACUUCUAAAAAUCUUCGUCUUCCAAUAUGAACAAUGUUGUAUCGCCAGUUAAAUUGUCUUGGGCUGGUGGUAUUAUCACUAUAGUCUGAACUGUCAUCACUAUUGUUAUUGUCUUCGUAUUCUUCGUAAUCUGGUAAAAUUUCGUCUUCGUUUGGAUUAGCCAGUGUAUUUAUUAUUGUCGAAAUAUCUGAAAAACAAGAAAAGGGUCUAUUUCCCAAAGCUGAGAUAUAAGUUGUAGGAAAAUAAUUAUUAAGGGGAGUGGAACUCCUAAAGUUAAGGAAUCUAUAAUAAAAGUUUCUAUAUAAUAGGGAGUGUAGAGAAAGUUUAGAAUUGGUUCGAUGAGAUAAUAUAAGCACACUAUAAGAAAUCUAAAUAUAGAUUCGAUUAAUAAAUAUAAUGCUAUGUCUUUAUCCAGUUUGAAAAAUGUUAAAUAGGUUGAAAAAUGUUAAAUUAUUAUUUUCUUCCUAUAUAUUGAAAAGGCCAAGUAAUAAGGUAUCGGUCAAAAGUUUCCCAAUAUAUUAUUAAUAUGUCUAAAAUAUUGUAUAUGAUGUCUUCUGGAAAUCCUAACAGAAAUAAUGUUAAAAUAAAAGUUGUCAAGGAAAAAGGUUGAUCGAUGAUAUUACAAAAAAGUUGGUCUGUAUUAUUAUCCGGUGCUUUCCUUUUUGGCAUAAAAAAGUUUUACUAUUUAUUAAAUAUGUGGUUGCAUUGAGGACUUUAGUUAAGAAAAUUUAUUUUCUUUUCUUUUCUCUGUCUUGCUUAAGAAGAAAGCGAGGCUGUUGAAUUGAUUGAAAAAAGAUAAUUAAUAUGGUGUAGCUUUAAGAAAGGAAACUAAAUGUCUUAUAGCUAAAUUAAGAGUAUAAGUGUAUAAUUAAAAGUCUUUGCUAAUUGUAACCAAGAAAGUCUUAGUCUACCAAGAAUGUCUUAGUUUACCAAGAAAGUCUUAGCUCUGAUACCAAGAGGAAACAAGAAAGUCUUAGCUCUGAUACCAAGAAUGUCUAAUUUUAACUUUAUCUUUCCUCCUCCUCUUGAAGGAUGGUGAGCAAGGAAGCAGAGCAAGAGAAAAUCCCACUUAGCCCCUGCCUUAUGUAAAAAUUGCGCUGAAGUUUAAAGGAAGAUCAUUUCGACGACAAGUGAAGAAUGAAGCUCUCAUCUUGUUAGAUAUAGCAUCCUAGCUCCACAAAUAAAUCCAAUGGCUUUUAUUUUCCUGUCCUUCCUGUAAAAAUUUAUCUUUUCAACAACUGCAAUCUGGAGUGAAGAGUCUGUACAAACAAGUCCUUNUUAGUUUCUGUGAAAACUGCUCAACAAUGGCAACACAGCUCCAAAAACUGAAUACUAUUUGUGAUGACUUGAGAACAAAGGAUCAGAAAAAUAUUCAAAGAAUUGCUGUUCUGGAACAACAGAUCAAAGACCUCAAGAACCCCUCACAACAAGGUAUUGUAUCUCUACCUCAAUCUUCCUCUUAUCCUCCUUCAAAGUAUCCUCCUAUAAUGACAACUACACCUAGUUUGGUCUUUCCUCCUAUGACCGACAUAAAUACUCCAUUUCAAUUUACUCCAUUUCAAAACCCACUAAUCCCAGUAGUCCAUCCCUCUAUCUCAGUAAAACCUUUUUUAUCCUCAGCACCACAAAAGCCUACCCUCAAAAGAUAUCCACAGCCAAUUGCCAAACCUUUCCGGCAAAUUGAACCCUCUUCAGAACCAUUACCAUACCCUAGUAUAUGAAACACUGAAGAAAAACAAGGAAAUCCUAUGAUAAUAGAAGCAUCUUCUCCCAAAAGUGACAAUUUAGGGGAAAAUGCUUAGCCACCUGGUUCUGAUAUUUUGUAUAUAUUUGUAAAUAUUUCUUUCAAUUCUGUAAUUUUAAUUGCGUCUUUUUCUUUAGUCCUUGUAUUGGACACUGCUAAAAAAAAAAAAAAAUGAAAAUUCAGAAAAAAGCAAAGUAGAAAAAUGAAAAAAAGAAUUUCCAGAGAAAAGUGGAAAUAUGAAGAAGAAGAAAGAAUCUGGAAAUUGAAAAAAUCAAAAGAAAAAANUUUAGUAAUUAGAAUAGGUUCGGGGAUUCGGCGUGGACACUUCUGGAUAUUCAUCGAGCAUCAUUAAGGCCAUUUCGUUGUUUUCCUUACGUAUUACAUUUAAAGAAGUUAGUAAUGUGUUUACAUCAUUUCUAGGAAGAAAUAUAGCACGACGCGUGUAUACACUACCUCUUACCAUUAUAAACUCAAAUAUAUCAUUUGAUUCUAAGACCCUAUAUUCCCACUCCUCGAGCAUCUGCUCAUGUACCUGUUGGGAAUAGAGAGCGCGAACCAGUAUUGGGUACGAGAACCUGUCGUCUUGCUCAAGUGCCCAUGGCCGCCCCGCUACAUCGUGAAUGCACUUGGGAGUGUAGGUAUAUAAGUUUUUUACCUCAUCCAUUGUCAAGAAAUAUAGAUUGGUUACAAAUGCAAAUUAAUUAAAGGCCAUCUAACAUAUAGUGGGUAUUUAUAUGUGCAGCUAUGGGUGUGCCAAACAAGGAGUAAAGUAUACCUAACCGGCGUAUACGUGUUCCGUUGUUGCCUAUCACUGGUAGUUACAUAGAUUGGCUGUCAUGUAUAUGGGUGUGCGAGAGGUGUGCGGGACAGAGCGAGAUAGCUAGUUUAAACUAGGUUUUAAACCUAGUUUAAACUAGGUUUUAAACCUACUCAAAACUGGGCUAAUAACUGCAGCUGAGAGAGCUACCUGCAAUGUAGGUUGCUGAGAGAGGUUGGCAUGGGCGGCGAAUGCGGGGGUCGACGGCGACCGGCGCGGGCGACUUCAGCAGGGGCGGCGGCGACCGACGAGGGCUCCUGGAGAGAGAGGGGCAGAGAGAGAGAGAGAUAGAGAGAGAGAAAGAGUAGAGAGGGCGAAAGCAAGACAGGGAGGGAGAGGUGUCGGGGUCGGGCUAGGCUUUAGGUAUACCUAAUGAAGACGAUGAAUGGUUCACCGUCUUUAUAAGGCGGUGAAUCGUUCACCGCCUUACGAAGACGGUGAACGAUUCACCGUCUUCUCUAGGACACGGCCCGCCUUCGAAGGAGGUGCUGCAACAAGGACACGGCCCGCCUUCGAAGGAGGUGCUGUUGUUGCACUAAAGACGAUGAAUCGUUCACCGUCUUAUGAACACGGUGAACGAUUCAUCGUCUUAUCUAGGCCACAACACCCAGGACUUGCAAUGUUUCAGGGAGUGUGGGGAUUUGCUGUGAGGCGGUGGCGGUGAACCAUUCACCGCCUUCACAGCAGAUAUUACAAAGACGGUGAACGAUUCAUCGUCUUAUCUAGGCCACAACACCCAGCACUUGCAAAGUUUUAGGGGGUGUGGGGAUUUGCACUGAAGGCGGUGAAUGGUUCACCGUCUUCAGAAGGCGGUGAACCAUUCACCGCCUUCACAAAAGAUAUUACAAAGACGGUGAACGAUUCACCGUCUUUAUGAGAAAUAUCCUACGUGGCGCCCACGUGACGAAAGGAGGGUUAGUUUUACAAAUAAAAUUUUCACAAGGUCAUUUUGCCAAUUAUAAAUUUUUGGAGGGUCAUUUUAUAAAAAAAGCCCUAAUAUGUAUCUACUCCUGUUAUUUAUAUAUAUAUGUGUGUGUUGUGUGUGUGUGUGUGUGUGUGUGUGCAGAUUUUACACAAUAGUCCCUAAGAAAGCAACAAAAUAGAAGAAAGUUCCUAGUCAACAAGAACAAACCUUCAGCUUCCAUAUCAACAACACCACCAAAUAGUACUGCCCUUUUCUUGUGGACGCACAUAGAAAAUCCAGCACGAGGACCAGGAGGCAUCCCACUCUUCUUAAUCUAUUCACAAAAUAGUUUAUGCAUGUAGCAGCCAAAAAAAAAAAAAAAAAAAAAAAAANCCCAACCCCUAAUAUUUCCGCAUUUUCUAAAAUUCUCAAAAAAUCCCAAAAAUAUUGAAAAACUCCUUUUUAGGUUUUUGCUUCUUUCAAAGGUUUGUUUUUCCCUUAAUACCUUAGGGUUUUCAUAAAUAGACUAGGGUUUUCUCCAUAAAUUCUAGGGUUUUAUUUCUCACAGGGUUUUUAUCACAAUAGACUUGUAGUUUGUGUUUAACACUACUUCUAAACCUUUUCCUAAACCCUAAACCCUAAACCCUAAACCCUAAACUUGGAACUAGCCAAGCCUAAACAAGCUAGCCCCCUCCCCCCUCUUGGUAUCAGAGCUUAGACUUUCUUGGUAUAGACACUUAGCCUCUUGACUAACAUUGUUUAUUUAAAAGACUUUUUGAUUAGAGACUUUCUUGGUAAACUAAGACAUUCUUGGUUACAAUUAGCUAGGACUUUUUAAUUAUAAACUUUGUUAGUUAUGGACUUUCCUACAUCAUCUUCUCAACAACACAGACUAUCUAGAUCUAAUUCUUCUAGAUCUGAAGGUAGUGAAUCUACAAUAUCUUUAAGAGCUCCUAAGUCUAGAGCAAGGAGCAUAGUCGAAAAAUUUUUUUGCAGACCAACACCUCUUCCGUUAGUUCCUAGAUCCCAGACACCUCAAUUAGAUAAUGUUGUAGAUGUUGAUGAUGACAUUGCAAUAUUCCGUACCCACGGGUUACGUCUUAUAAAUCCAGACAUUCUAUAUGAUAAGCGACAACGAUAUGUUGAUAAGACUAAAUUUAUUUCUUUUAAAAGUGAAGUGUCAGUUGAAUGUUAUGACGGCCAACACAUUUCAAUACCCUUAGCUAAUAGCGACGUACAAAAGAGUAUUAGAAAAGCAGACAUAGCUCUUAUGCAUUUAGGAUUAAUUGUAAUAGGCAUAAAAGGACUAGUACGUAAAAAAUUAGGAUCUAAAGUUCUCCUAAUGCCUUAUGACAACAGACACAAGAAUAUAAUUGAUGCAUCUUUAGGUUGCACUGAAAUAGAUAUGAAUUUUAACGGUGGAAUAUUUUAUGUUGUUCCAGACUUUCUAAUGCCCUCAUUAGACUUUGCAAGUCAGAUUAAAAUUGGUAUACAAGUUAGAGGAAUAGACUUAUAUGAAGGACAAAAUUUUAGGAAUUUACAGGUAUGUAUUGGAUUUACAGGUCUGUUAACACCCACUGCCGAGUCACAUUUCUUAAUGAACCCUUUAGGUGUAGUAGAUCUAAUGGGAACACAAGGCAUGAAAUUAAUAGCACCAAUGGAAAUAGAUGCUAAAAAAUAUGCCGGCCUUGAAUGGAAUUUGGAUAAAUUUACGCAAAUUCGACAAACUACAAUAGCUCCUGCAGACACUAUUUACUACCAAAAUGAACAAGGAAGAAACUCACUUAGAUUUACAGACUUUGAGACAAUUGAAGAAACAGAAGAUGACAAAGAUAGGACUACACCAUUAAUCCGAAAAAGAAGUAGUACAUCAUCCCAACUAGGUGAAUCGAGUACCCAACGAAGAGAUUUAAAUCUUCUACCCCAAAAUCAACCUCCAAAUUUAAAUGUACCUUAUAACUUAGAAAGCCAACCCAAUGUUGAAUAUAAUUUUAUGGAAUACAACAAUAUUGACUAUUCUUCUGAAUCUGAACCUGAAGAUGAAGAAUUUAGCGAUGAAGAAGAGAUCCGUCUGAUAGAACAGAUCAGACUAAAAAGACAAUUAAGAUCUGAAAAAGAUAAAAGAUUAGGAUACACUCCUCUCAAUGACAAUUUUAUUUAUAACCUAAGAGAUGAAAUUAGAGAAAUAAACUUAGCAGAAGAAGGAGAAGGAUCUACUGUCCAUAAUCCUCCUGUUACACAUACUCCUCCACCAUAUCAUGUUGAACAUCCAUUAACUACUCCUCCAGCUCCACAGAGAUCUCCUAGACCUCAUGCAUCCAAUCCCGGAUACUCACAUAUACCAUAUUAUGAUACAGUCCGAAUGCCAGCAGAAACCUAUAAUACUGGUAAUUUUCCUAGACAUAGCAUCUCCUCAGCCCCAGAAGAACAAAUUUACCCAUAUGGUAGAAAUGUUAGAUCAUAUGGCAAAAAAUAUCCUUUUGAAAAUCCUGUUAAUUUGCAAGACGCAGGAUCUGGAAAAAUAUUAAACAUAGCAGCACAUGACCCCCAAACUUGGGAUUCUAUAAUAGACAUUUGGAAAGGAUUAGUUGUAGCAGAUUAUAUUCGGAAUCAGCACUACAUGAACACAGACAAUGCCGAAGAAAUGUAUAAAUACUUAGAAACCUUCCUAGGAGAAUCUACUAAAGGAAUGUGGGAACAAUAUAAAGUUCAAUAUGAAGAAGAAUUUAGACAUCUUUUAACACUAGGAUGUAAUCCUUGUAAUUUUACAAACAAAGUUCAUUCUCUUAUUACAGGCCAAGACCCUAAUUCUGGCCAAUUACUCCUCCAAAACCAAGCUCUUAUCAGCCUAGAACAACUUAGUAUUUCAACCUGGUUCCCUAUUAAAGACUUUCUACAGGCAUACCUAUAUUAUACAAGUAUAAGUGGAAAUGCAUUUAGUCAAGACAUAGGAAGAAAAUUAUUCUUAAAACUUCCAGGAGCCCUAGGCAGAGAAAUUCAAGACAGAUGGGAUACAAUGGAAAAAGAAACCAUAAGACAACCCAGAUACUAAAUGGUCCAUAGGACAAAGAGUAAAAUUCAUAAUGAAUAUAUUACAAGAAAAAUGUGCCAAUAUUCAAAUCACAAAGCAAUUAAAAGACAAUGAAUAUUCUUUCUGUAAAAGUGUGGUAUAUACUCCCCAACAGUAUAGAAACCCAUUUUAUAAAAAUCCAAAGAAAAAAUCUAAACAUUACAUCCCUCAAUACAAAGGAUAUAAGACAAGAAUNAAUCAUGUAUGGCAAGUAAGAACCUUUCAAGUGUAUGGAUGGUAUUAUUACAAAGCAAACAGGUAGUAGAUUAAUACUAAAGCUAGUUGGUGACUACUUGGUGACCCAGUGUGGCACCUCGCCAUGGUCCUCUCGCCAGCCCAAAAAGGCACAUAGUGGAACCAAGAGGAUAGCUGACGAAAGGGGAAAACAAUGGCUAGUUGGCGACUAAAGAUUACACCUCACAGUUAAUGGGAAAAAAAAAUUGACACAAGAAAAGAGACUGCAAGGAAAAAGAAGGAUUUUCAUUUGUCUGCACAUUGCUCUAUUGCUCUGUGCCUAAAUUACAUCAAAUUUGAAUUCUUAACUGUCCACUGAUUACCAAGUUAUCAAGUUAAAUAGUUUGUUCUUGAGGACUACAAGCUGAAUACGAAAACAUAGGGAAAACAUCAGAUAGGAAUCUCUAGUUAGUCAAAAAUAGUAUAUUUCACGUCUUCACAAGAAUCCAAGGUACUAAUUCCACAUUGCAAAAUAGCAUAGUGAUAAACAUCUUUUGAAUUCAUAUGCUAGUAUGCUACAGUUGCUACCUCAAUCCAUGUUUCAUUUUGACUUGCAAAGAUUGUAGAAAAGAAUCACAAAGCAUGCAAGCAUUCAAGAAGAAACAACUUGUCUAAUCACCUACAUCAUCUAAAAAAAGUGUAGUAACAAACUUAAACCAAUAGGUAAAUUACCACAAGUGGCUGUAAAAGACGAAUGCUUAAAUGCUUUGUACGUAAAAAAUUAUGUUUCCCUCAUAUUACUAUAAUAAAGAAAUUGAAACUGCCAAAGAAAAUAACCUUGUUCCAUUCCCAAGUACGAGGAUCGAGAGACCACAUGUCUGAAUGAACUAUUCCUUUCUCUGACCCAAUUUUAUCAGGGAUAGCUUCUUUAAAAUAGCCACCAUACAGAAAUAUCUGCUCAUGUCCACAAAUAGGAGGAUGUGCUAAGAAGAACAUGCAUACUGAAAAAUGAAAACUCACAACCAACAGUGGCAUAUAGGAGCAUAUAAAUGAAAAAUAAACAUCUUGAGAAAAUAAGCAAACCAAAGUAGGUCAGACAUAAGGGUCUUAGUCAAGAAUUUAAUUAUUUACGAGACUAUCUGAGAGGGUAAGCAACAAAAACAAAAACAAACAGACAAAGGGCAACUCUUGGAAGGACAACUUAAGAAAAAUAGUAGCCUGCUAGGUGAAAUUGCCCAUGCCAAACUACUAUAGGUUGGCAGCAUCAUCGUGAGGUACCAGGGGGUUCGCCAAAAGCAGAACAAGGAGUUGCAGGGCCUACUAGCAGCUCGUAAUGGUACUACGAAAGGACAAACUAACAUGUUGCUGGCACAAUUACCUUUGUUCAAACUAUAAAAACACCUUUGACACGAGAGGUUUUGAUACCUCUUGGUAAAAAUCUAGUCAGAUUGUUCUUAGAAGUACUUCUAAGAAUCUUUACUCAACUAAUAGAAUGAUUACUAGUAAUGUAAAAGAUGUGAAAUAACCGUUGUUCUCUAAAGCUUAAGCUACCAGAGAACUAUUUUUUUUAAUUUUAUCUUCAAUACUUACCCCUCACACGUGGGCUUGAGACGUUUUGAUAGACUCAAGGCGUAAGUUUAAAUUAAAUGGAAGGAAAUUUAAUGAGGGUAGGGACCUAAUAGGAUUCGAACUUAGGACUUCCUGCUCUGAUGCCAUGUAGAAAAUGUGAAAUAACUGUUGUUGUCCAAAACCUUAAACUAUCAAAGAACUGAUGUUUUUAUAUUUUAUGUUCAACAACUAAUAAAAUAUCUUAAAUUGGUCUUGGGCAUACAGUCUUCACUCUUCAGCAUAUAAUAAGGACUAAAAGUUUGUGAAACUCCAAACUUCCAAAAAUUGGCCUUCAGUGUUCUUUCAAUCUUUCAUAAAAAUAAUGACUGCACUGGCAAACAUGAAAAGUGUAGCCAUUAUUCUCAUUAAUUUAAUCAAAUUUAUUCUAAUCACAUGAAAUUGUGAUAAUUGACAGUUACUAAUCGGGAGAAUCAAUUUCUUCCCAAAUCAUUAUGAGCUUGGAAAAAAAUAUAAUUUAUAUUUAGUUUUUAUUUUCCAUGAUAUAAUGAUAUAAAUUUCCAAACAAUUUCUAUUAUGCCAUCAUAGACUUGUAGGCUAUCAACGGUUGUCCAAAUUCCUUUUCUUCCGGAUCACAGAUUCAUGCACCUGCCUAAGUUUAGGCACUAUUUGGGGCCUUGAUUGUUUCGAAAACAAUUGGCAUCAACUCCCCUUAUUGCAAAGUACACACUUCUUGAUACAUGUGUAAUCAUAUAUAACAAAAAUCUUAAUGGCCCUACACAAGACGAAGUAUUCACUAGAACAUACUUUAUUAUCAAAGUAUCAAACCCACUUACGGUGGCCCAUUCCCUAGAACCAGCGGAGUCCACCCAUACAUGACAGAUUCUAAAACUUAUUAUAACCGCUCAAUGCUAACAGAAUUAUAUAAUCAAGCAUGUACAUAUGUAAAGAGCAUUUAUAUUUUCUACUGAACUAUAUGUUGUGCCUCAAGCAUAUUACCAUCACAAUAUGCACAAAUAUGAAGGCCCAUCUUUUUUAAGGGCAAGUUUGGGCCUUUUAUAAAUGCAAGUUUAGCCAGUAAGAUGAAGUCUGCAUCCUCAAAAUAUAUGUAAUAACAUAAUUAAAAUUACCAAAAGAAACUUACUUGGUCUUGGAAAACACAAAGCUGAAAACCGCUCCUUGCACUUGGCCAUAAAGCUCCAGGCCGGGGCUUUAUUUCUUCCCACUACAAGUAAAAGAUAUUAAAUGAUAAAGAAACUAAUGUCAAACUAUCGGAUCACCUACUUCAGGACUGGUUGAAAGAUACCACACCUAUAAUAUAUGGCAAUAAGAAAAUCUGCAAUGUAUUUCUGUUCAUAUUUUAGUACUCACCUUAAAAUGGUCCAGAUCAAAGACAUGCAAAUCAUUGAAAUAUCUGCAAAUAACAAAGCAUAGUCCCACUUAAUUUGAAAUUCUACGAUCUUAAAAAUGUAGCUUCCUUGGACUAUCAUUGACCAAGAUACUGAUAGUCAAAGAAAUUGUCCAAAUAUUUCUAAACUCUAAGGCUCCGUUUGGAUCGGGAAUUAGUAGGAACUAGUUAUACCGGGGAUAGGUACAAGUAUGGGUUUUUGUAGGAACAAGGGUAUUUUUUUGGUUUGGAUGAAAUUGUGAGUAUAAGCUGGAACUAGAAAAAUUGUGUUUGGAUGGUUUUUGGGAAUAAGAGGAAUAGUUGGUAGUUAUAAAUAGAAAAUAAUAAUAUUAUCCCUAUAAUUGAAUUUUAAACUUAUAAUUUUAAAUUUAAAAUUUUAACUUUUUAAUUUUAAAAUUAGAUAUUAAAUUUUUAAAUUUUAAUAUUAAAAAUUUUAAUUUUAAAUUUCAGACCAAAUUUAAAUUUCAAAGUUAUAAAAUAACAAAUUUAAAAUUUAAAAACUAANCAAUGAAUACUCUUUCUGUAAAAGUGUGGUGUAUACUCCCCAGCAGUAUAGAAAUCCAUUUUAUAAAAACCAAAGAAAAACAUCUAAACAUUACAUCCCUCAAUACAAAGGAUAUAAGACAAGAAUGAAAUAUUUCUUACGGCGAUCAAAAGCCAAAAAGCCCUAUUUAAAUAAAGACAACCAUGUUAGAAAAUAUAAAUCCGACAGAACUUAUAAAAGCAAACUUCUUUGUUAUACAUGUAAUAGUCCAGGCCAUUUUGCAAAUGCAUGUCCAAGAAGACAAAACAUAAAGAACCGAAAUGCUUUACUUAUAGAAGAUACUGGCGAAACCUUGUUAGCAGUAGAUGAGUUUGUAUCAGACACUGAAACUAUUUACUCCAUAGAAAAUAAUAUAGUCUACGAAAAGGAAAGUGAAAGAGAAUCCUCCUCUGAUGAAGACAAUAAUAACUGCAAUACUUUCAUAACAAGUAUAACCGAAGGCAACAAACACCAAGAACCUACAUAUUUUUAUGAAUCUGUUAUGAUGUUUGAAAACCUAGAAGAAGACGAUCCAUCAGAAGAAAAUACAAAAUGGACUUCGUUCUACGACAAUACCACUGUUCUGUUUGAAGGAGUACAAACCUUAGAACAAGAACAAAACCCUAAUUGGGAAUUAGCCGCCCGAGACUACAAAAUCCAAUUAUUAAGACAAAGAGCACAAGAAAGAAUAGAUAAACGAAUAUGGAAAAUAGCUAUGGAAUUACAAGACCAGAGUGGAUCAAGAGUAAGAGAAAUAAUGGAAUAUGAACGCAAGCAAAGGUUAUUAGACACUAAGGACCAAAAUAAAAUUAUUCAAGAUAUUAGGAUUCUAUUCGAUGAUCUCUCAGAACAGGAAGAUAUUAUAAAAGACAUCAGACAUCUCUUUGAAAUAUCUCAAGUUUCAUUUUAUGACUCUACUAUUAAUUUUAUGACCCUUAUGAAUUUAGAUGAAGAAUGUAGCCAUGAUUGGCAAGAAAGACAAGGUUAUGACCAUAGACCUUGCACAUACUGCAAUUUCUUUCCAGAGAGAAAACUCCGAUGUAAAUGUCGUUUAUGUAAAAUUGAAGCAUUUUCAAUUUGUCUAGACAAGAAAUUUAACCGACAAUUUACACAUUCAGAACCUAAACGAACAUUUGAAAUUGAACAAUUAAACAUUCAUGAGAAACGUAUAAUAGCAUUAGAAGCUAGAGUCAGUCUUUUAGAAAAACAAGACAAUCCACGAAAAAAUAAAGAAAUCACAAACAAAGGAAAAGGAAUAGAAAUCCGUGAAAAUAUGACAGCACUAUCUGAAUAUUAUGAAGAAGAAAAUUUAAGAGUAUAUGAAGAUAGUUAUAUCUGUAAUGAAGGAUUAAAACUCAGAAGCCUAAUUGUUCCAUGCAAAAUACAAAUAGGAAAUAAAGACUUUGAAACAGAAGCAGUAAUCGACACUGGCUGUACGACAUGUCUAAUACAUACAGAUUUAGUCCCUCUAAACUAUAGAAAAACUGCAAAAGAACCUACAGAAGGAAUCCAAAUGGACGGUACUGCUCAUAAAUAUACACAGUAUGUCACAAAUGCAAAAAUUAGUUUCUUAGAUACAUGUAAUACAUUCAAUGAAACCUAUACCAUUCCCAAAGUCUGGUUACGAAAAAUGAAAAUAAAUGCAGACUUUGUAUUAGGCUUAAAUUUUAUGCUCCAUUUUUUAGGAGGAAUAAGUAUCAACAGAGAUUAUGUUAAAUUUUAUAAACAUGUCACCAUGACUCCAGUACAAAAGAAAGCAAAGAAACCUUUAAAGGAUAGAAUAGAUUGUUGUGACAAUUGCUCCAAGGAGAACCUUGUUGCCGAGACAAGAUAACAGACGAAACAGACUUAUUAGAAUUUGACACUUGGCAUGAUGAUUUUUCUUAUAAUCUAGAAAAAUUAUUAGAUAACGACUCAAAUUAUACGGAUUACGACUUUGUAAACUGGGAAAAAUCCCUCUUAAAUAUAGGUUUUAUUAGAAACCAGCAAGACAUAGAUGAAAUACUACAUAAACUCGAUAAAUUAGAAAUUAUGGGAGACAACCCAAUUAAAUAUUGGGAAAACGAUAAAAUAUAUUGUAAACUAGAUAUAAUUAAUCCAGAAUAUAUAGUUAGAACUGCAUCUAUAGACUUCACUAACGAAGAAAGAGAACAAUUUAAACUACACAUAAAUGAACUACUUAAAUUAGGUGUUAUCCGAAAAUCAAUAUCCAAACACAGAUCAACAGCCUUUAUAGUUAUGAAACAUUCUGAGAUAGUAAGAGGAAAAAGCAGAAUGGUAAUUAACUACAAAAGACUUAAUGACAAUACAAAAUUUGACGGAUACACUAUUCCAGACAAAUCUCAAUUAAUAAAUAGCAUACAAGAUAAAAAGGUUUUUAGUAAAUUUGACUGUAAAUCAGGUUUUUGGCAAGUAAAAAUGGAUAAAGAUAGUAUAGAAUGGACAGCAUUUACCUGCCCCGAAGGACAUUUUGAAUGGCUAGUUAUGCCUUUUGGCCUUAAAAAUGCACCUUCUAUUUUUCAAAGAAAAAUGGAUACAAUAUUUAAUGAACACAGAGAUUUUGUUUUAGUUUAUGUCGAUGACAUUUUAGUUUUCAGUAAAAACAUGCAAGAACAUUUAGGACACCUACAAAUAGUCUUUCAUGAAUUUAUUAAACAUGGAAUUAUUAUAAGUAAAAAUAAAGUCGAACUUUGUAAAAAAUACAUAAAUUUCUUGGGAGUAACUAUUGGUGAAGGAAAGAUAAAGUUACAGCCCCAUAUAGCCAAGAAAAUCCUAGAUAUGCCAGACAAACUUGAAACUCUUAAAGAAUUACAAUCCUUUUUAGGACUAGUAAAUUAUGCCAGAACAUUUAUCAAAGACCUAGGAAAAAUUGCAGGACCUUUAUAUGCUAAGACUGGAAAAUCAGGACAAAGACACUUUAAUACUGAAGACAUAAAAUUGGUUAAACAAAUAAAAGCCCUCGUAUCUGAAUUACCAGACCUAGAUCUUCCAUUAGAUUCUGAUUAUAUUAUUAUAGAAACAGACGGUUGUGAUUUAGGAUGGGGUGCAGUCUUAAAAGCAAGAUCUAAUAAAUAUAGUGACACAAAAGAAGAAAAACUAUGUGGAUACGCAAGCGGAAAAUAUAGAGAAAGAGGAAAAAUAAGCAGUAUAGACGCUGAAUUAUUAGCUGUAAUAUAUGCCCUAGAUGCUUUCAAGCUAAAUGUUAUAAAUAAACAUGAAAUAACAAUUAGAACAGACUGUGAAGCUAUUACUAAAUUCUCUCAUAAAAAUGACGAAAAAGCUAGUUCUAGACGCAGAUGGAUUAAUUUUCAAGACAGAAUAUCUAUAACCCAUAUUAAUUUUGAACAUAUUAGAGGGAAAGAUAAUUUUUUUCCUGACCAAUUAAGUAGAGGAUUUUUUGAGCAUACCACUUUUGAGAUUAACAUGGUGUAUGUUGAUAUUUCAGAUUCAGACAUUUCAGGCUCAGACACAGACAUGAAUCCAAAAGCUUCUAAAUCCCUCAUAAAACCACCACCUAUUAUAAGACAACCUCGGAUAGCCUAUGGCAAAGAAAAUCUCAUUUACUAUUCCCAAAUUAUUUUCCGUCCUCGAAACCCUACCAUAAUAUUACCAGACGAACAAAAAUGUUUGAUUGACAAUCUAUGGUUAUGUUACCAUAGGACAUCUACUCACCAAGACCAAGACAGAAAAUAUUUUGUUGCAUGCAUAAACUUCUUAAUAGAAUAUUUUCAGACAGACAAGCCUAAAGACUCUUUCCCUUACUAUGUGGUAUUUCAAGGUUUUAAAAUUGACAUUUUUGAUUCCUGGAUUGAUGUCAUCUCCCAAAUCAAAAAUUUUCCACAACCACUCUACAAAGGUUUUCAUUCUAUCUCCGAAGCCUUAGACACUGCUCGCACCCACUUUGGCCCAAACUUUUUUAUUUCUCCCAAUAUUCGCUCCUCUCCACAUAUCCAAGCCUCUACAUCCACCCACAAUCUUGAGAAAAAUAGUUUCUGUGAAAACUGCUCAACAAUGGCAACACAGCUUCAGAAGCUGAAUACCAUUUGCGAUGACUUAAGAACAAAGGAUCAGAAAAAUCUACAAAGAAUUGCAAUCCUUGAACAGCAGAUCAGAGACCUCAAGCAUCCUUCACAACAAGGUAUUGUAUCUCUAUCUCAAUCUUCCUCUUAUCCUCCUCCAAAGUAUCCUCCUAUAAUGACAAUAACACCAAGUUUGGUCUUUCCCCCAAUUACCAACAUAAAUGCUCCUUUUCAAAACCCACUAAUCCCAGUAGUCCAUCCAUCCACCUCAGUAAAACCGCUUCCACUAUCAUCAGCACCUUUUCCACCACAAAAAGCCUUCCACAAAAAACCUCCACAGCCAAUUGCUAAACCAUUUCCAAGAACUAAGCCCUCUUCAGAACCAUUACCACACCCUAGUAUAGGAAACACUGAAGAAAAACAAGAAGAUCCCAUGAUACUAGAAGCACCUUCUCCCAAAAUUGACAAUUUAGGGGAAAAUGCUUAGCCGCCUGGUUCUGAUAUUUUGUACAUAUUUGUAUAUAUUUCUUUCAGUUCUGCAUCUGUUUUUCAAUUGUGCCUUUUCAUGUAGUCCGCGUAUUCGGACACUGCUAAAAAAAAAAAAAAAAAGGAGAGAAAAAGGAAAUUUCCAGAGAAAAGUGAAAAUAUGAAAAGAAGAAGAAAGAAUCUGGAAAUGAAAAAACCAAAGAAAAAAUUGAAAAACAAGAAAAAAGAAGAAAAAAGAAAAAAUCAAGAAAAGAAAGAAAAAAUCAGAAAAAGAAAAAAGAAAAAAGAAAUGACCCGCUGUGAUCUUUUCACAGGCAAAAAUAAGGGUUUUAGUCUAGGACUUUAAUUUUCGGUUUUUAUUUUGUGUUUUUUCCUAAUCACCUUGUGAUCCAACUCCACCACCAAAAGUAAGGUUCCAAAGUCUGUUCCCAAACAGACACCACCUUCAGGAAACCCAACUUCCCAAUUUGUCAAGAGCAAUUUUCGGUCUCCUGCAAGCAAAUAGCGAAUCAACACGUGGCCUCCAUCAGGACAAAUAUUGAAGUGACACGUGGACAUCACUAGUGCACCAGGUCCACCGAAUUCCCAAAAAAUUCCGCCAAUGAUGACCAUCCAAAAACAUCUUCGCCCCAGGUGGUUUUUGAAAAAUGGUGGGCCCACGUCAUCAUGUCGCGUCAUCAUUCCUUCCAUUACCUCAACCUGCGUAGCCGCGGUUUUUUUGAAAACCAGGUGCCGCCGCAGUUUUCUCCUCCAAAACCACUCUUCCUUUUUCCUAUAAAAGGAAGCCUUCCUCCUCCUCUUGAAGGAUGGUGAGCAAGGAAGCAGAGCAAGAGAAAAUCCCACUUAGCCCCUGCCUUAUGUAAAAAUUGCGCUGAAGCUUAAAGGAAGAUCAUUUCGACGACAAGUGAAGAAUGAAGCUCUCAUCCUGUUAGAUUUAGCAUCUUAGCUCCACAAAUAAUCCCCUAAUGGCUUUUAUAUUUCUCCCCCUCUCCCCCUCUUGGUAUCAGAGCAUUUGGUAUAGACACUUGGUAUCAGCUCUGAUACCAAGAGGGGGAGAGGGGGCUAGCUUGUUUAGGCUUGGCUAGUUCCAAGUUUAGGGUUUAGGGUUUAGGGUUUAGGGUUUAGGUCCUUUAGGAGAAGGUUUAGAAGUAGUGUUAAACACAAACUACAAGUCUAUUGUGAUAAAAACCCUGUGAGAAAUAAAACCCUAGAAGGCUAGCUUGUUUAGGCUUGGCUAGUUCCAAGUUUAGGGUUUAGGGUUUAGGGUUUAGGAGAAGGUUUAGAAGUAGUGUUAAACACAAACUACAAGUCUAUUGUGAUAAAAACCCUGUGAGAAAUAAAACCCUAGAAUUUAUGGAGAAAACCCUAGUCUAUUUAUGAAAACCCUAAGGUAUUGAGGGAAAAACAAACCUUUGAAAGAAGCAAAAACCUAAAAAAGAGUUUUUCAAUAUUUUUGGGAUUUUUUGAGAAUUUUAGAAAAUGCGGAAAUAUUAGGGGUUGGGUCAGAUUAUGUAAUAUAUUAAGUUGUAGAAAAUUCCUAAGAGGAAAAGUGAGAGUAAGAAAAAGAAAGUUGAAAUUUUAACAAUUUUUUGGGUAUUUUUUGGGAAUUUUUCUGACGCUAAAAAUAUAUUAAUUAGUGUAGAGUACUAUGCACGAUUAGUGCGUACGUAUAUAGAAGUUACUAUGCAAAAAACACUAUGCGAGUUACUAUGCAAAUUAGUAAAGAAAGAUUUUUAUAGGAGAGACCGUAUGUCGGCUACUUUGAAGAAGGGUGGCAAAAUACAAGCAAGAUUUUUCUGGAUUUUUUAGUAUUUUUUCUGUCUGGAAAUGUUGCUGUCGAAAAUUAGCGAAGUUACUAUGCAUGAUAACUAUGCAUACAGUGGCUUCACGUGAAUGAGAUUUUUUUUUUUUUUUAUCAAAAACACUAUUCACGUAAGAAUUAUGGUUUUACUAUGCAAAUAGUGAAAGUAGAACAGAAAAAUGUGCAGAGGAGAAACUAUAUGUCGGCUACUCUGGACAAGGGUAGCAAAAGACUCGUGGGAAUAUUUUUGAUUUUUUAAGAUUUUUUAAGAAUUUUUUCGGUCUAAAAUUUAAGUGGCGUAAUUAGUGCUAAUUAUGAAAAGUGACAUGCACGUGGGGGGUUUUUUAUUUUUUAUUUUUUAUAUAUUUCUUUUUUUUUUUAUCUUUUUGAGUUUUAAAAACUUAAAUUGAAGUGUGUUUGUAGGCGGAAACGAUGUUGGUCGCUAUUAAAUACUAAUUUAAUUGGGAUGUGUAGGUGGAUGUUUAGAUGAAAUUGUUUGAUAGACAGUUCGCAGUAAAAAAGGAACGGAAAGAAAAAUAUAUAUGUCUUAAAGGAUAUUUUUUCUAGUAUGAAUAAAAAUAGGAUGAAGCGCAAAUUUAAAAUCGCCGUUGUGGAAGAUAAAAUUUUAAAAUCUUUUUUAAAGUAGGUCCCGUCUGGUACUCCCUUCUAGAAAUCAAGAUAAAAAUUUUCUCAGAUGUUUUUUUUAUAUUUCUAAAACUCUUUAUCUCAUUAAAUUUUCGAUGUUGCAAUUUUCCUAAUACUCGGACUUAUGAUGAAAUUUAAUUUUCUAAUGUGGAUAACACCACUUAAGACACAGUGUUGGUGCACAAGACCCUCUUGGCGUACAGUUUUCAGAGAACCUCGCUCUUACGCCGCAAAGCACUUCUGGCUAUCAAUGGCGAAAUUUACAGAGCAUUUUUUCUCUUAUCAAAUCUGCCAAGCAUAUAUGCUUUACACUUGCUUAAGCUGAAAUAAUUACUCAGAGAGAACCCAUAAAUUUUCAUUAAGAGUCCAAGGAAAGGGAAUCAUGGGGCAAAGAAAAUGCCAUGGAUAGAAGAGUUCGAGAAAUAUAAUAUUAAACAAGAGAUAAAACUUACAUCACAACGCUAGAAGGUUUCCCUUCCAGGACUUCCCGGGGGGAAAGAAGGACUUGUUUGUACAGACUCUUCACUCCAGAUUGCAGUUGUUGAAAAGAUAAAUUUUUACAGGAAGGACAGGAAAAUAAAAGCCAUUGNGGGAUAUCGCCCUUAUCCCCCCCUUUAUCCGAGCCAAACGGGGUGUAAAGAUCACCAGAAUGCACAUUCCAUUAGGUGAAAGACGUGUCAGUAACACAGGUACAGUAGAUGCAUGGAGAGGAACAAGAAAAAAAAAAAUGUAAAAAGCACACAUAGUGACUAAGAAGAGUGUCAUCUCAUAUCCAUAAUCCAGAAAAAGAAAGUGUGCUAUAACAUAAAAUUAAACAUGGAAACACAUUAAAACACUCCAUAUAAUUCGAUUGUGUUUCUUAUCUCGCAAGUUUUUGUACUAGCAAAAGUUAAAUCAAUUUAUCAAUUCAGGCCAGUUAAGCCGAUCUUACUUCCCUGAUUAUGAUAUACCGACUUAUGAAUGCAGCACGGAUUACAAAGUGAGGACUCCUGGCAUGAAAUGUAAAUCUAAAACUUACUCGAUACAUUGCACUGUUUCAAGUCAAAGGAUUAAAUCAGGACAUAUUAUCUCCUAAUAUUCCAUGAAAUACCAAAAACUGUGAAACAUGCUUGUGCCCUUUUUAUCAACUUGCAAUUAAAUUGGAUGAAACAACGAACAAGAAACAAUUAUAAGCUCAUAGAAAAAGGAGUGAAGGAAAUGGAAAUGAGACAAAGCAAGCAUAAGUUUUGAGUGGUAUCCAUUUAUUCAAGUGAAUUUUGAAGCAAGGAAAAAACGAGACAUGUUACUUCCGCAACGUAACGAUAUUUGAUUCAAUUAGUUGUGGCCUCCCUUUCAUGCCAGGUUGGGUUAGCCAUAUGAAUCAUCAAAAGAAACUGCAUGUGAUCAGUCAAAUGGAUCUUCUUUACUAUUGUCAUCUUGAGCUAUGCCCUCUCCCAAACAAAGUGGAAUUAUAUCUUGCCUAACUUCCAGUCAUGUCAUUUGUACCCCCGUCUACCUCUUCUCACAUCAUACGCUUGGCUUGCCUUCCUCAUAUAGACUUGGGGACUUUAAUCACCACAUCAUAUAUGGGUAUUAUCUUUGAAAAACCUCCAUCGGAAGUCACUCCUACCUCACAGUGAGCAUCUUCAUUCCUAAUUCUACCAUACCAUACAUACUUACCAAAUAAAACAUUCUCAUCUCAACUACAAUUGCUCUGUGUGCACGUUGUUUGUUAAUGACUACUGCAUAGAGCAAAGUGGGCUUAUAGAUCGUUAAGGUGAAACAUUCUAUUUGCAUAAAGCAAAGUGGGCAUAUAGACAAUGUAUAAAACUUGACCUGAAAGUUCCCAAGGUAUCUAACUAUCACAAAGGGCACACACGGGAUCCCACAUUUAUUUGAUGUCUUACAUACUUCUCGAUAAUCCCAUCAUUUUAAAUAACUAAAUAGAUAAAUAGAAAUGCUCGCUGCCUAUUUUUGGCCAUAUAUUGGCAAUACUUCUUUGAUUAACCUUUAACCUUUCUAACCUUCACCCUUUCUCCUGAUUCUAGUAAACAAAAUGCACCAGUUACUCAAAAUGCUCCACUUAUUUGGUCUAUACUCCAGGAGUCCUACUUAUUUUCAAGUUUAAACUCACAUAACUACCAAAGUGAACAGAAAGAAACACAUGCCAAUAAGUUAGCCACAAAAUGGUUAAAUCCACAUAGAGAUUAUCUACAACAAUGCAAGCUUGAUAUCUCUGGAACUCCAUCACGUCAAAUGGCAAAUUUCAAACCUAAACAAAACUAUGCCUAAAUUAUUAUCUGGCUUAGAUUGAAUAAAAACUUGGACCAAGUUAAGCACAACAUAGUGAUAUUCUAGCUGGUUAUCUACAACAAUGUGAGCUUGCUAUCUCCGUACGUUUCUUAAUUAACAAAGGCUAAAAGAGAGUAUGCCAAUAUGAUCAACGUUAGAAGACAAAAGAACUAAAAUUGUAACACAAUGAAUGAGGUGUAAUUAAUUAAAAAUGAAAUCCAAAUGAAUGUAGGAUUUCAUAAAAGCACAUGCAAUUAAAUGAUUUGUUCAUUUGAUGGGCUACACUAUUCCUAGCACAUGUGGAAAGGAAUAAGAAUAACACAAAUAAUGAAAGAAUAGUAGAUGAUGUCACCAAAAUCUGUGAGGAAAUGACUAUCAAUCUGGUAGUCUCACACGCUGCCAUACUACUGCAGUUUUAACAAAUAGAAUCAAUACUAAACAGAAGCAUGAUUUUAAUUCACAUGUUCAAGACUCACAGGCUUUUAUCUGGAAGGAAUUUGAUUCUAAUGAUUAAUUGAAAGAACAUGAUAAAUGAAUCAGCUCAUAAGUAAAGUUCCCUUGACUGUCUUUAAGCAAAGUUUCUUGAGACAUUCCUGGUUCAGGCUUAGAACAUUUUAAGGACCUGGAACAAACAUACAGUAACCUAUUCCCAAAAAAUUGUGAAUGCAAAAGUGCAAGAUAGAUUCAGUGUGUCAUGCAGGCAUAUUCAGCAAAUGAAGUUGAACUCAAGAGCAAUCUACAUAAAAAGCAUUUUCUUCUUGAUCUAGAAAAUUUUAACUCUAACAGUGAGCCCCCAGUAGCUAAGAGUACCAAUUGCUAAGAUAACAAGCCCAUUAUGUUUGUAUAAUAUUAUGUAAUUACAAUGUUCUGAUCAAAUGAUCUACAUGUGCAAGCUGACCUGCCAACACAAGAGUAUGAAGUACCAACAGCUUUAAAUCUAGUGACUUCAAAUUAUAAUAAAUAAAGUUAUAAAUUAAUAUCUUCAAAAGUUACAUAAGUAGAACAAAUUACCAACCUGACUUCUCUAAGAGUGUCAUAGAAGCCGCCAAAAACUAUAAUUUUGUGCUUGUACAGUACCUGAUAACAGGCAAAAAAAAAAAAGAGAGAGAGUGAGAAUAACUACUAUGCAUUAUCCUAGCAAGGAUUUUAAGUGUCAUGGCACAGGGUCAAACUGAGAACUUGUCAGCCCAGCCCGGCCCGCGCCGUGCCAUGCCGAGCCGAUGUGUGGUGAUCAUAAAAAUACCUAUGUGCCGACACACUACGACAUAAAAUAUAUUUCUUUGGCACCGAUAUAUUCUAAUUGCUUAUUAUAUUUCUUUACCAAAUCUUCUGCACUUUAUUGAUAACUACCUAAUAAUUUCAAAGAAAAAAGGAUGUUGAGCCAUGCCACUGGCACAGGGGUCGUAUCGUGCCGAUAUCUUGUCGGCACAAUACAACACUAUGGGCCGAUACAAACUUUGCUAAUAAGUAUAGCAAGUGAAGUAUUCACUAUGCCAUGUAGAAGUACCAUAGUAAGGUAGAACUAGCUACACAUGACUGGGAAGCUAUGCAUGCAUAUAUGCGCAAAAAUGGUCAAAAUUUUUGCUGGAAUAGUAAUACGUUCCCAAACGAGUCAGAAAAUAAAUAUACAGUAGUUACCUUGAUCAUGGUAAAAAACUUAUAAUGGCUUGUUUUGCGAUUUCUUUGGUUUUUCUCCUAUAAUUUCUUCUUAUUUUAACAUUUUUUUAGGGGGGGAACACCUUAGAGCUUUAGGCCGACCUUUCCCAUGUUGAAGUUCUUUAAGAUUGUCUUCUAGCCAAACUUUUACCAUUUUGGAUUUUGAUUGAGGUGAUGACUCAAAUGCCUCCAAGUUUCCUACAAUUAAAAUGAUCUAUCAUUGUCAAUUAACUUGACACAUUUCUUUCAUUUGACAUAAUGCACAUGAGAAUAUUGUAGUUUAUUAUGUUGUGAAUUGUGAUCAUGCUCCUAUAAUUGCAUACUAUCGUGGUUAAUUAACUUGGAACAUUACUUUCCUUUCCUAUAUCGCACAAGAGAACAUUGUGGCUGAUUAUGUCGUCAAUUGUGAUCGUGCUUGCAUAGAGUGCACAAUCAAAACUGAUAUGUUUAGUUGUAGUUAUAAACACUAAUAAUUGGACAUAACAGAUAGCAAUCAUGUUGAUUAAUAUAUAUUUAGUUUUCUUGGCUUCACUUAGUCUAGACUUAAAGGUACCUCCAUUUAUAGGACCUAUUGAGCCAUAAUCUGACAUAGAUUACUUAUCCCGCACUUGACCUCCAUAGGUAGUUAACUAUGUGUAUUUAUUAUUGACCGAGUAUUAUCCUUUGACUGGAUACCUGGCGAUUUUUUUUUCUUUUAAUUUUUUUGUGUUACUCUUGGACAUCAUGAGGAUGAUGUACAUCAAAUGGCAUUCCUAGUUUGCUAUUACUCACUCCGGUAUAAUUACGAAAUUAUCUCAACAAUAUGAUAUGAAAAAGCCUAUUGUGAUACAGUUAUGCAGUAUGGCUUUUGUAAUAUAGUUACUAGAUGAGAAGUCAUGUUAUGGUAGUAUGAUCCCAGACUAGGGGUUCCAAAGAAACUAAGGCGCUCAAACUCAAGCAGUUUUAGUAAUAUUGAAAGAACACCUCUUUUAAAGAGCCAUUCCCUUUAUUGCGAUGGCGGAGAUUCAAGGAUUCUCGCAUACCCCAAACUGAAAACUGGUCCAGAAUUAUUGUAAGAACUCGUCAUUUAAAGGGCGCAGUUUCCCUGCAUCGCAUUAGCUGGGUUUUGAGGAUGGUGGGUCUAUCUCAGACUAAAAAUAUUUGUUUGCACUGAAAUGGGAGAUGUCUAUUGAAAGUUCGAGAAAGUUGCCAGCACACACGUUCGAUGCAAUGCGAGCUCAAGAUCUCUAAUCUUGCACUCACAACAGCACGGAGAUCGGCCUUUUGACUUCGAACUCCCGCUCACACCUUUGUGCUUCCAAACAGUUGCUAAUGUAAGAACACCUCUUUCCACGGGCAGCUCCCCUGUUGCAGUUGCUAGCUGAGAAGGACCAUGGAAGUACUCUUGUACAGCACUACUUCUGGCAUUCUAUUGCUAUCAUUCCACAAUAGAUAUGUGAUAUUGCAAGAGUUAUGGUCUAUGGCAGCUUGUGGUACUCUAUGAUGGCCAUGUUUUCUGUCAUGGUAGGCAAUUUGAGACGACUUUGGGAUUCUAAUAUGGUGUCAAUAUUCUUUUACAAUUGGGAUUAUGAUGCAGUCAUUCCUGUUUUACUGCUACCAUUCAUCUUAGGCCAUGGACUGAUCCUGCAUAUUGUUCGGAUAGUUAUAAAUAUUACAUUAUACAAUUGUUUACAUAGUUAUAAAUUAAUUAAUUAUCCAACUCUUUGGGAUAAUACUCCUAAUCAGCUGAGCAUUUGCACGUAGGCACUUCUGACGUAAGCAAAGACCUCUAUCCUUGCUCAACAGUAUAAGCGUGGGCAUGUUUGUUUCCACGGAAGUCCAGCAUGAAGUCGCCACUUCGUGGAGCUCGAGAUAGCCGGCGUUUGGACGACGCUACAAUCUUGGAAGUUGGUGGGGCCCACACGGCCCGCACACGUGAGAUAGUCUCACGCCAUCACGUGGUCAUGAGUUCGCAUACAGCGCGAUCUUGCAACUUCGCGAUCAUCAGGCACAAAGUUGAGUUUGCCGUACAGACGGAAGUCGCCGUCUUACAUGGAGUUGAGCUCGUGUUAACAAACACGCCCUUGCUGUGGAACCUUCUGCAUAGCCCUGUAGUGACGGAGCCUGAGCCCGAGAGUUACAACACGAGCAACAUGUGGCACUUUUAUUAUAGUUUAGUCAUAGACAAUAUAUAGGUUAGGGUGCAUGUUAUAUUUGUAUCAUUUAUCCAUAGCGCGUAUCUUUUCAUAAUUUAGUUUUUAAUCUAUACUUGUAAGACCUGUCAGUUUUACUUUUUAGAUAUUUGUUCUUCUCUUUGAAUUAAUUGCUGUUGAGCUGAUGCAUUCGGUGAAGUCUUGCACAGUCAUACGGCUGAGCCCAAAGAAAGGACUAUUCUACGAUUAAGUGGCGGCCUGGUUACAGCAUAGGAGGUAUAGGGGCAUGAAAACUUCCAUGGUAAGUCUCUAGCACAAAGCCACAUCGGCAGUUUGAAAUUGUUUCAACAAUCUUAACAAACUAGAUCAUAAUUUAUCUACUAGUCCAGAUUUCCAACAAAAGAAAUCACAAAGAAUGUAAGUUUACCAAACAAGACUAAUUUAUCAAUAUAUUUGUCUAGAGAACCAAGGAUGCACAUAAUAGCACCAAAUAAAUCACGACAUGUAGACAAUGAAAGGAAAAAAGAUACCAUCCUAUGUCCCGAACGAGCACUCGGAUAUCCUUUUAUUUGUAAUUGUUCCCAUUGAUUUGUUUUUAGAUCCAACAUCCAAAAAUCCUGCAAAACAGAAUUUUCUCAGAAAGAGAGGUAUGAAGUCAAAAAUAACUAACAGCUCUAAAAGAAUGGCGUCCAUCAAAAAGUACUGUGCUACAAAAAAGUGAGAGAGAAUUUCUUUGCGAGGCUAGAUGGGAACAUGGCUUUUCUAAUCGCCAACUUUGAAAUCAUUAAGCUAGUGCAGCCAUAAAAAUAAACCAGGUGAUAUAAUUUUCUAUACUAUACCUGGUAAAACAAACAAUUUAACGAAAAAGCCAAAAUGAAGCAAGAAUUAAUGAAUAGAGCUAUUAAGCUUAUUUAAUCCUUUGUUUGCAUGCAGAUACUUUCCAUGAAAACUCGUUAGCUAUAUGAGAGAGCUGUCACAAAUGGGUGAACAACAUAUGUAGCUGAACAUUGACAAGCUCACAAGCAUGAGACAAUCCUCUUCGUAGUUGCAAUUGGAGAGAUUGGGCAAUAUAUGGAGAACAUUUAGAAAAUCAACUUCAUUGAUUCAUAGAAAUAAAAUAAAAUAAAAGUUUCUCAAAACUUCUGUCAUAAUGUUAGAUCAUGCAAAUAAGAAUAUUCAACAGUGAGCUACUGUUUAAAUUGACUCAAGAAAAUACUGCAUGAAAGAAAAACAUUAAGAAAAAUCAAAGACUAAAUAAACUGUUAAUGGCGGAUAGAAGCAUAAUAAAAUGUGCUCUAUCUUAAGCCCCUGCCCUGGUCAUUUAGAUCAAACUAGAAGUUUCAAUUAGAUACCGGCAUUCUACGGGAUCUAAAAAUUGCCAUAACAUUUUUUGCAGCUCCUGUUACAGACCCGCAACUGUAAAUAGUCCAGAAAAAGAGUUGGAAGCCAGCCUGCUUUUGAAGCCAUGAAAACUAGUUUGAUGAUCGACAGCUAACAAUUUUUGGGGAAAAUCAAGCAGCCUUCUCCUAGACAUCCUCUUUAACUCAUAGGUCUAUUCCUUAUACAAGAUUCCCCCUUCUACUACAAUCCAUAUGAAUUUGGCCAUUUCAUGAAUUGUAUAUAUGAGAGCUAACCACAUGAAUGAGUUAAGCGCAAAGAAGAGUGUACGUAGGAUCAGAAGAGGAUCAGGGCCUGAACUGUGUUUAGAUUACUCAUUAAUUAUGAGGUGAACAAAUUAGUUUGAGCAAAAAUGACUUGAUUGAUGAGAUUUAAUGUGAUAUAUGCUACAAUAACUAUCUAAGAUCUUCCCUUGGCCCUUUACUAUAAGGAAAGCUAUCUCCAAGUCUUAUCCAUGUAGAUGAGCUUUGAAUAGCAGUUCUAUAUGCAGCAUAAUAAUUGUCAAUCAUUUAAAGUUGUUGAUGAUGUUAUCUUGAUGUGAGACAUGAAGAAGAGUAAAUACAGUACAAUAAGAAGAGUGGAGAUAAGAAUUAUAUAUCAAAGAUCUUGGGGGCAAGACAAGCAAUGACUGAAACAUAGAGGCAGAGAAUUAGAAGAAAGAACGAAAGCUCAGCAAACGUUUAUGGCGAAAAGAUACCUCAGAUAAGGGCUCUGGCAUCUUACGACAAUAUCAAGGCUAACAAGGAUAAGACUCAAUAAUGAAGUGCGAUGUUGCAAGCGUCUAGCGUAAUAGAUGGAUAGCUCCAAAGUUUAUAUGUUUAGAGAAUGCCAUUGCAUUCUACCAUGCUUUAUUGUACUAAAUAAAUAUUGGGACGUUAAGAAACAAACCCAAAAUAUCAAGCAUAAUUAUAACAAAUGAAAGUGUUCAGCAGAGUUUGCAAAAAUACAAGAAAAUAUUGGAUGCGAAAUAAAGAUAACCAACCUAAAGCACGAGCAGCCUCAAGCCCUCAACUUAAGAAGAAAAUGAGGAAAGACUAAUAGGUAUGGUCCGCACAUAUAAAUGUAGAGAUGCAUACGCACCAAUCCAAAAGAGUUAGGCUAUCCAAAUAGAAGAUUUAAAAAAAAAAAUACAGAGGAAGGUUGAAAAUAAUAUAAUUAAUAUGAUUAGAGGACUAGAACAAGGCCAAUUAGCAACUACAAAUUAUAAGUAGAUAUAGCUUAAAAAAGGAUUGAUUGAUAAUAGAGGUCAAAUAUAAUAAUAAAAACUAAAUUUCUUUUGUCAAUUCAUAUAUCCAAACCCAUUCUGUAUGAAGUUAAAGAGAGCAGUUAAAGUAAAGUUGAUUUGAGAAAGAACCAAGUCCAAAGUUUAAUCUAAGAUACAAGCUUAUAAAUAAUUGUUAAUUCAUAAUCAAAUUACAUUGCCAUAAUGCCAUAUCAUUCAAGCUUAUCAAAAAAAUUUCUUCAUAAUCAAAUUACAUUGCAACAAUGCCAUAUCAUUCCACAUCAAUCAAAAAGAAACAUGCAUAACUGUGUGUAAGAAAAGGGUAAACAGACGAAGAGUGGAAAAGGAGAACCAUAUUCCCGUUAUUACCCUAUAGUGGUGGAAACGUUCCUGAUUGGGGGAAGUGAAUUCGCCGCCUGAAGCAUAAUAUGAAUCUCCCUCAUUAGCUGGUAAAUGUAGUUAUAGAGGAUACAAAUAGGCUUGGAUGAAGUUGAUUACCAAAGAUGUAUACAUGGUUUUUCCAAGCAACUGCUUGGUGAGCACUACGAGGAGGCGGACUAUUCGGACUUGAUAUUAAGUUCCAUUCUUUUUUCUCUACAUCAUAGCGAUAAAGAUCACCAUAAACACAAGUCUGCAGAAACAAAUUACUUAAACUAUCAUUCGAUCUUGAAUUCAGACUUAAGGGUUAAAGGUACCAGAAAAUACCAAAUACAGAAUGGAGCUGAGCCACUAUAAUCAAAUAAAUGCAAUUACAUUAGAAUGAAAAAAAACAAAAUACAGGGUUUCCACAGAGUCAAAACGGACCAUAUGUAUUCUGACAAUUUUCUUUCUGAAGAUGAUAAUUAAUGCAAUCAUAAACGAAAUGAACGCUAUCUGUCAUCUCGAUGUGACAGAAAGUUUGUAAACUAUUCUAUGCUAAAAUGCAAAUAAUCCUACCAGACAACAAGGCAGUAAUAGUCCUCACCUUUUUGCCAUUAUAAAACUCUCCACCAUACAAAAUCAAUUCUGUAUCUUUCAAAGGAUUAAUCGUCAGCUGCAAUAACGGAUAAGAUAUUAUUAGAUCAACUCCAAGGAACACGGAAAUCACAGUAUAACAGAAGUAGGAAGACAUUUUGCCAUGAAAUUCUCAAUCAAACCAAAUCGAACUCUCUGCAAAUAACGCUGCUAAUCGAACUUAAUAAGCGAUUAAUCAAUCCCAUAUCUGGCGAGCAAACAUAGAAUUGGCAAAACAUGCUAACUUUAUUACCUGGAUGUAGCUAUUAAAAUCAUCCGACCAGUGAAAAUUUAUAGUAUUCACCUCAACAACUUGACUCAAAGAUGUCAUUGUGAUCAUCCGACAAGCCCACUAUUAGUAAUUUCAUAAUUUGUUGUGCCAAAUUAUUGAAGCAAAAUGCUUUAACCCAUUUACUUGUAAAGUUCUAUGCACCAUACUAGAGUCACAAGUUGUUACUAUCCAAUACGAGAGUACUGGAGCGUCACAAUAACAAAAAAGGAAGAAUCCUUUUCACAUAAACUUGAUUUCGCUGGGAAUCACCACACUUAUAAAAAGGGAAAGACAAGUUUAGGCUUCAUUUGGUACUAUUAUGCUUUUUUAAAAAAUAGAAAUUUCAUGUGAAAAAAAAAAGAAACAAAGCAAGCAGUGCAUUGCAAGCCAAACAACUACAUCUCAUUACACAGAACUUGUAGUACAAUAUCAAAGAAGGCCUUAGGGCUUGUUUCGAUGCAUAUCUUGAUCAGCAUAUCUCCUUGAUUUACUCAACAAAUUUAUAUAUAUUAUUCGGUAGAUGAGAAGUGUGACAUGUGUCUAAAAUGGAGUGAAAAUCGAACUCCUAGCUUCCAAUCACCUAAGAAAAGCUUAAGUUACUAUUAGAUAUUUAAACCACUGACCGAGCAGUUGGAUCGCGGCGACGGAGCGGGCACGUUCUCCUCGACGUGAACCUCCUUCUUCUUCGCCUCCUCCUUCUGAAUGCUUUUCUGCAAUCAAGUUUUAAGUGAUUGAAACAAAUUCUUAGGGUUUGGAAAAAGAAUCGGGUUUAGGGUUUUAGAGAGGUUGGGUGGGGUGGGCGGGAGAGAGAGUACGAGGAUGGCGUCGAUGUCGUCCUCCUCGGAGACUUUCUUGCUGUCCCUGCGGGCGCGCUUCUCCUCCGCCUUCGCCGUCUUCCUCUCCGUCUUCUCCUUCCCCCUCCCGGGCUUCUUCGCCUUCUUCCCCAUCGCCUCCUAUUCCGUGGCCUCCCCUUUUCCCUGCCGCCGGCUUCCAAUCGCUCGCUCGACCAAAGAUGGCUUUCUCUUUCUGUAAAGAACUGACAACUCUAAUUAUUCGGUUUUAAAAAUCAAAAUUUUUAUUUCUUAUGAAUGUUGUGUAUCUGUAAAUGCACAAAGAAUAUUCUGUAUGAAUCUAUUCAAAUUAUUAUAUUUAAUUUAGUUUGAAAAUAAUUUGGUUAGUAAUAGAGUAUUAGCGAAUAGUAAUGACAAAAAAAUAUAUAUCUAAAAUAUUACUAGAAAGGGAAAGAUAUUUUGGUAAAUAUGGAUUAUUCUACAAUUUAUAAAAAAUUUUAAAAUUAUCUCUCUCCUCUCCAGAUAGACGUAUGUCACGCGCACAAGCCUAUUAAACAAGUAAAAUUUUCUCCACCGCCAAGAAGCGUACACAAAAUUUAUAUAUUGCAUUUUAUAUAGAAAUAAUAUAUUUAUACUCUAUACCUACUUACCAAGAACUAGGCUAAUAUAUACUAUUAAUAGCACCAAAGUCAUUGGUGCUACCAAGUUUUUGGCUAUUGGAUUAAGAGAUAUGCGGUUAGGAUGAUGUGGGCCCCCUAAGGUUGAGUGGGUGGUUGGUUGAAUAGCAUGAUCUAACGGAUGAAAAUGAUCAAAAUGGUAGAUCUAACGGUGGAAAACUUGGUAGCACCAAGUGCUUCGUGCUAUUAAUAGCAUAGUAGCCGGACUCCUAUACCUAUACAUUUCUAUCUAUUAACAAUUAACAUUAACAAUAUAUGAUUUCUCAAUAAUUUUGCUGAUGUGGCACAACCACAUUGCUUUAGAAGUUUUUUUUUUUUUUUCCUUACUUAGGGAGGCUCUCCUAUCCUCUCUCUCUCUCUCUCGAAUAUUCUUCCAAGUCCUCUUGUUUUCCCUCCCCUCUCUCUCAAGCCUUAACUUCCACCCCUUCACCUUCCCCUACUAACUUCUCUCUCUCGAAUCUUCUUCCAUAUCCCCGUCUUCCCCCUUCUAGCCUUAACUUCCACCCCUCCACCUUCCCUUUACAGCAAAGAUAUAUAUUGCACAACUCAUUACUUUAUUAGGUUAGAGCAUAUUCACAUAACCAGCCGUUAGCAACUUGCUAAUAAAAUAUUUUUAAAGAGUUAAUGCAAGAACCACAAUUUUCAAUGAAAAACAAUGAAGGACAAAAAGAACUAUAGGAGAGGAAAAUUUGUUACACAAAAAUUGGACCUCUUUGUUCCCUCGUUUAAGGCAUCCUCUACCGACAGCAACAAUUUCGUGAGAUACAACAGCGCUUUCAACCUAGCCUCUUCCCGGCAAUUCCAUAUCCUAGCCAAUACUUCUCAUUCUCCGGAGCUAUUAGAUAAGGAGGGAGCACCUCUUUCGCAUUAUAUUACAAAUUUAAAUAUAAAUAUUAUACAUCUUCCAUAUAUAUAAUAUAAAACUAACAAUAAAAAAAAUUAUAUAAAAAAGGAAAAAAAAAAAAUACUGAUUUAGAGAAAAAAGAAUAAACAUCAUCAAAUUUCCCAAUUAACCAUUAAAAAAAAUUUGGUAAAGAAGAAAUAUGGUACCUAGCUUGUGCGGCCAUUGAAAUUAAUUAAUUAAGAAAAAUAUCCUGAAUUGAUGGAAUUGGUGAAGGUGGAGAGGUGCGUGGCGAAUUUUAUAUACAAAAUAAAUUAUUUUAACAUAUUCUCGAUCUCACCCCUUAUAAAAGAUUUAUAAUGUUAAAUUAAAGACUAUUCAUGAAACGGAUAAAAAUAAAUCAAUCUAAUGACUUGACUUAUCAUUUCAAUUUUCAUUACAAUCUAAGAUGUAGAGCAUCAAAAGGCAUUGAUUUUUUUUCCAUUUGCAAAUAUAGUUUAUAUGGAAAGUUUUUUUAAUUUUCUUCAACAGGACAAACCCCUCCCUUCAAACUUAACUUUGAAGUCCUAACAUUGACUAACACAUGUCGAAGAGAAAUAGAACUUGGCAGAGGUCCUUAUGAUAAAAACUGUGCAAUGCUAUCUGAUUUUUUUCAACCAAAGUAAAACAGAAACAUACAAAAAAAAAAUAUAACAUAAUUUCCAAUGAAGAAAUUUUAGGGGCAUGGACAUGAGUCGUGCUACCCAUACACCCCAUAUUGAGUUGUAGAUCCUACAACUCUUUGAUCCAACGGGUAAUAUAAACUUGGUUUUUUUAAAAAAAAAAAACAGUGUUAACCUCACUCCCACAUUUUAGCCCCUCACCUUUUCCCUCUUUUUCCCUAAUUUUUGGCCCCAGCGAGCUAAAGAGAGAGAGAGGCGAGCGCGCCAGCGACUGAGAGAGAGAGGCGAGCGAGCGAGCCAGCGACCUAAAGAGAGAGAGGCGAGCGAGCGAGCGACCGAGAGAGAGAGGAGAGCUCGAGCGGGAGCUGGAGCAGGGCGCGAGAGAGAGCGAUGGCAGGGCGCGAGAGGGAGCGAGAGGAGUUGUGCUGUGCUAGAAACAGGGAGAAUGAGAGGAAGAGAAAGAAGCGCGAAGGCGGAUUCUGCGAUCAAAUUGGACGCGGCAAGUACGGAGGCGACAAUCGAGGAUGNAACAAAAGCUACUUAAAAUCGAACAAGAUUUACAUAACAGUCUUCAGAGGUUAGCAGAAAUUAAACAAAUUUCUCUUGGAUGACUAAUCCCGAGCACCUUGAAGCUGAAAUUUUACAUAAGACUUUAUCAAAAGUACAAAACUAUAGUCCAGACAAAACCUCUAUAGGCUUUUCAUCUCAUCUCCCACAAGCCAUAUCUGAACAAGUUAUAAUCAAACAAAACAACUCUAUUAUCCAACUAUUAUUAGGAUUACACAGUAGAAUACAUACAUUAGAACAUUUGGUAAUGCAACAAAGACAAGCUGAAAGCAUUACUCCUACCAUAGACACAACUCCUAUCAUACAGGAAGUAACAAAACACUUUUCUGCACUCCAAUUUCAAGAACACUCAAAAGGUACUCUUCCAAAGAAAAUUGUCCAACCAUGGACCUUCCACAGACAAAUUCCACGCCUUUUAACUCCACCAGAACUUAGAUCUCCUAACACUCCUGGUACAUCUAAAAAUCAGACUCCCAGUUCUACUACUAAUAAAACCCUUUGACUUUGAAUUUUUCAGAAGUACAAGGUCUUACAAAAAUGUGUCUCCAGACUCAUGAAGACGAACUUCUAGAAUUCACUAAUCCAGACUUUUACAAUACCAUAACCGCUCAAGAUGAAGUAGACAUAUGGUUCAUAGAAGAAGACACAUUGGAAACAGAAGACAUGGACGAAAGAGACAUGACCCAUUACCAGACACAACGAAUGUUUUUUAUUUUAGACACUAUCCCAGAGGAAAAUGAAGAUUUUGAAAUAUCUGAAUUCAGUCAAAUCCUCUGUGAAUUAUGCUUUCAAGACAAUAUCCUUAUAGACAUUUGGAGACUAUUUGAAGAACCUUUAGAUAAUAUUAUAUCUGAUAUCUGAAGAUUAUUCAUUUAAAAGAAUCUUCUCUAGACAUAAUAAUAUUAACAUAAUGUAUAUUGGUCCAGACAUUUCAGGUUCAAAGACAUGGAUCCACAUUAUUGCCCAUUUUGCACUGACGUUUUCCUUAAACCAUCUGAAGAAACUCUUGAUGAUAUAAUCCAAGACAUACACAGGUUAUUUGAAGACCCAUUUGCUGUUAUGCCCUUUCACAUUAUCCUUUCUAGCUUUAAGCAUUUAGGUGAAGAAAAAGCCUUAGCAGCAGCAUGCAAAGAAUACAACAGACAGACUCUUUAUAAAAGGCUAGAAAACUCACAACAAAAACAAUUAUGGUUAGAUAGGAUCCAAGACAAAUUUGAUUUACAACUUUGGUUUUCUGGCAUUUGUCACCUCCCUGAACAUGAUUGGGAAAAUUAUUACCAGCAAUACUUUCGAGACGAGCUAAACUUUCAAUAUUAUGAUUUACAAGAUCAAAAUAGUAUUAUUAGAGACAUUAGAGUACUAUUUGGCUAUCCACUUGAAGGAAUAACAGAAAAUGAUGACUGGGAAGAUAUUUGCCAGCAAUAUAUUUUGGACAAACUCAACCUCCAAGAUUAUAGUUUAGAUUAUCAAUAUAAACUUACUAGAAUCUUAUGUCACCACCUAUGUUACAACCUGAUGCCUUUUUUCCCUUUUAUUAUAAAUCCAAAUUGGAACUCUUAACUUAUAAAAAAAAAAAAAUAAAUAAAUAAAUAAAUAAAUAAAUAAAUAAGUUUCCUUACUAUGUAGUAUUUCAAGGUUUUAAAAUUGGCAUUUUUCCCAACCACUCUACAAAGGUUUUCAUUCUAUCUCCGAAGCCUUAGACACUGCUCGCACCCACUUUGGCCCAAACUUUUUUAUUUCUCCCAAUAUUCGCUCCUCUCCACAUAUCCAAGCCUCUACAUCCACCCACAAUCUUGAGAAAAAUAGUUUCUGUGAAAACUGCUCAACAAUGGCAACACAGCUUCAGAAGCUGAAUACCAUUUGCGAUGACUUAAGAACAAAGGAUCAGAAAAAUCUACAAAGAAUUGCAAUCCUUGAACAGCAGAUCAGAGACCUCAAGCAUCCUUCACAACAAGGUAUUGUAUCUCUAUCUCAAUCUUCCUCUUAUCCUCCUCCAAAGUAUCCUCCUAUAAUGACAAUAACACCAAGUUUGGUCUUUCCCCCAAUUACCAACAUAAAUGCUCCUUUUCAAAACCCACUAAUCCCAGUAGUCCAUCCAUCCACCUCAGUAAAACCGCUUCCACUAUCAUCAGCACCUUUUCCACCACAAAAAGCCUUCCACAAAAAACCUCCACAGCCAAUUGCUAAACCAUUUCCAAGAACUAAGCCCUCUUCAGAACCAUUACCACACCCUAGUAUAGGAAACACUGAAGAAAAACAAGAAGAUCCCAUGAUACUAGAAGCACCUUCUCCCAAAAUUGACAAUUUAGGGGAAAAUGCUUAGCCGCCUGGUUCUGAUAUUUUGUACAUAUUUGUAUAUAUUUCUUUCAGUUCUGCAUCUGUUUUUCAAUUGUGCCUUUUCAUGUAGUCCGCGUAUUCGGACACUGCUAAAAAAAAAAAANNNNNNNNNNNNNNNNNNNNNNNNNNNNNNNNNNNNNNNNNNNNNNNNNNNNNNNNNNNNNNNNNNNNNNNNNNNNNNNNNNNNNNNNNNNNNNNNNNNNNNNNNNNNNNNNNNNNNNNNNNNNNNNNNNNNNNNNNNNNNNNNNNNNNNNNNNNNNNNNNNNNNNNNNNNNNNNNNNNNNNNNNNNNNNNNNNAACUGCAUUCUGGCGUGAAGAGUCUGUACAAACAAGUCCUUUCUUUCCCCCCGGGAAGUCCCGGAAGGGAAACCUUCUAGCGUUGUGAUGUAAGUUUUAUCUCUUGUUUAAUAUUAUAUUUCUCGAACUCUUCUAUCCAUGGCAUUUUCUUUGCCCCAUGAUUCCCUUUCCUUGGACUCUUAAUGAAAAUUUAUGGGUUCUCUCUGGGUAAUUAUUUCAGCUUAAGCAAGUGUAAAGCAUAUAUGCUUGGCAGAUUUGAUAAGAGAAAAAAUGCUCUGUAAAUUUCGCCAUUGAUAGCCAGAGGUGCUUUGCGGCGUAAGAGCGAGGUUCUCUGAAAACUGUACGCUAAGAGGGUCUUGUGCACCAACACUGUGUCUUAAGUGGUGUUAUCCACAUUAGAAAAUUAAAUUUCAUCAUAAGUCCGAGUAUUAGGAAAAUUGCAUCAUCGAAAAUUUAAUGAGAUAAAGAGUUAUAGAAAUAUAUAAAAAAAAACAUCCGAGAAAAUUUUUAUCGUGAUUUCUAGAAGGGAGUACCAGACGGGACCUACUUUAAAAAGAUUUUAAAAUUUAUCUUCCACAACGGAGAUUUUAAAUUUGCGCUUCAUCCUAUUUUUAUUCAUACUAGAAAUAUCCUUUAAGACAUAUAUAUUUUUCUUUCCGCUCCUUUUUUACUGUGAACUAUCUAUCAAACAAUUUCAUCUAAACAUCCACCUACACAUCCCAAUUAAAAUAAUAUUUAAUAACGACCAACAUCGUUUCCGCCUACAAACACACUUCAAUUUAAGUUUUUAAAAAAACUCAAUAAAGAUAAAAAAUAUAUAUAUAUAUAUAUAUAAAAUAAAAAAUAAAAAACCCCCCACGUGCAUGUCACUUUUCAUAAUUAGCACUAAUUACGCCACUUAAUUUUUAGACCGAAAAAAUUCGUAAAAAAUCUUAAAAAAUAUAAAAUAUUCCCACGAGUCUUUUGCUACCCUUGUCCAGAAUAGCCGACAUAUAGUUUCCCCUCUGCACAUUUUUCUGUUCUACUUUCACUAUUUGCAUAGUAAAACCAUAAUUCUUAAGUGAAUAGUGUUUUUAAUAUAAAAAAAAAAAAAAAAAGAUCAUAUGGCAAAAAAUAUCCUUUUGAAAAUCCUGUUAAUUUGCAAGACGCCACUUAAUUUUUAGACCGAAAAAACUCGUAAAAAAUCUUAAAAAAUCAAAAAUAUUCCCACGAGUCUUUUGCUACCCUUGUCCAGAAUAGCCGACAUAUAGUUUCCCCUCUGCACAUUUUUCUGUUCUACUUUCAUUAUUUGCAUAGUAAAACCAUAAUUCUUACGUGAAUAGUGUUUUUGAUUAAAAAAAAAAAAAAAAUCUCAUUCACGUGAAGCCACUGUAUGCAUAGUAAUCGUGCAUAGUAACUUCGCUAAUUUUCGACAGCAACAUUUCCAGACAGAAAAAAUACUAAAAAAUCCAGAAAAAUCUUACGAGUAUUUUGCCACCCUUCUUCAGAGUAGCCGACAUACGGNNNNNNNNNNNNNNNNNNNNNNNNNNNNNNNNNNNNNNNNNNNNNNNNNNNNNNNNNNNNNNNNNNNNNNNNNNNNNNNNNNNNNNNNNNNNNNNNNNNNNNNNNNNNNNNNNNNNNNNNNNNNNNNNNNNNNNNNNNNNNNNNNNNNNNNNNNNNNNNNNNNNNNNNNNNNNNNNNNNNNNNNNNNNNNNNNNNNNNNNNNNNNNNNNNNNNNNNNNNNNNNNNNNNNNNNNNNNNNNNNNNNNNNNNNNNNNNNNNNNNNNNNNNNNNNNNNNNNNNNNNNNNNNNNNNNNNNNNNNNNNNNNNNNNNNNNNNNNNNNNNNNNNNNNNNNNNNNNNNNNNNNNNNNNNNNNNNNNNNNNNNNNNNNNNNNNNNNNNNNNNNNNNNNNNNNNNNNNNNNNNNNNNNNNNNNNNNNNNNNNNNNNNNNNNNNNNNNNNNNNNNNNNNNNNNNNNNNNNNNNNNNNNNNNNNNNNNNNNNNNNNNNNNNNNNNNNNNNNNNNNNNNNNNNNNNNNNNNNNNNNNNNNNNNNNNNNNNNNNNNNNNNNNNNNNNNNNNNNNNNNNNNNNNNNNNNNNNNNNNNNNNNNNNNNNNNNNNNNNNNNNNNNNNNNNNNNNNNNNNNNNNNNNNNNNNNNNNNNNNNNNNNNNNNNNNNNNNNNNNNNNNNNNNNNNNNNNNNNNNNNNNNNNNNNNNNNNNNNNNNNNNNNNNNNNNNNNNNNNNNNNNNNNNNNNNNNNNNNNNNNNNNNNNNNNNNNNNNNNNNNNNNNNNNNNNNNNNNNNNNNNNNNNNNNNNNNNNNNNNNNNNNNNNNNNNNNNNNNNNNNNNNNNNNNNNNNNNNNNNNNNNNNNNNNNNNNNNNNNNNNNNNNNNNNNNNNNNNNNNNNNNNNNNNNNNNNNNNNNNNNNNNNNNNNNNNNNNNNNNNNNNNNNNNNNNNNNNNNNNNNNNNNNNNNNNNNNNNNNNNNNNNNNNNNNNNNNNNNNNNNNNNNNNNNNNNNNNNNNNNNNNNNNNNNNNNNNNNNNNNNNNNNNNNNNNNNNNNNNNNNNNNNNNNNNNNNNNNNNNNNNNNNNNNNNNNNNNNNNNNNNNNNNNNNNNNNNNNNNNNNNNNNNNNNNNNNNNNNNNNNNNNNNNNNNNNNNNNNNNNNNNNNNNNNNNNNNNNNNNNNNNNNNNNNNNNNNNNNNNNNNNNNNNNNNNNNNNNNNNNNNNNNNNNNNNNNNNNNNNNNNNNNNNNNNNNNNNNNNNNNNNNNNNNNNNNNNNNNNNNNNNNNNNNNNNNNNNNNNNNNNNNNNNNNNNNNNNNNNNNNNNNNNNNNNNNNNNNNNNNNNNNNNNNNNNNNNNNNNNNNNNNNNNNNNNNNNNNNNNNNNNNNNNNNNNNNNNNNNNNNNNNNNNNNNNNNNNNNNNNNNNNNNNNNNNNNNNNNNNNNNNNNNNNNNNNNNNNNNNNNNNNNNNNNNNNNNNNNNNNNNNNNNNNNNNNNNNNNNNNNNNNNNNNNNNNNNNNNNNNNNNNNNNNNNNNNNNNNNNNNNNNNNNNNNNNNNNNNNNNNNNNNNNNNNNNNNNNNNNNNNNNNNNNNNNNNNNNNNNNNNNNNNNNNNNNNNNNNNNNNNNNNNNNNNNNNNNNNNNNNNNNNNNNNNNNNNNNNNNNNNNNNNNNNNNNNNNNNNNNNNNNNNNNNNNNNNNNNNNNNNNNNNNNNNNNNNNNNNNNNNNNNNNNNNNNNNNNNNNNNNNNNNNNNNNNNNNNNNNNNNNNNNNNNNNNNNNNNNNNNNNNNNNNNNNNNNNNNNNNNNNNNNNNNNNNNNNNNNNNNNNNNNNNNNNNNNNNNNNNNNNNNNNNNNNNNNNNNNNNNNNNNNNNNNNNNNNNNNNNNNNNNNNNNNNNNNNNNNNNNNNNNNNNNNNNNNNNNNNNNNNNNNNNNNNNNNNNNNNNNNNNNNNNNNNNNNNNNNNNNNNNNNNNNNNNNNNNNNNNNNNNNNNNNNNNNNNNNNNNNNNNNNNNNNNNNNNNNNNNNNNNNNNNNNNNNNNNNNNNNNNNNNNNNNNNNNNNNNNNNNNNNNNNNNNNNNNNNNNNNNNNNNNNNNNNNNNNNNNNNNNNNNNNNNNNNNNNNNNNNNNNNNNNNNNNNNNNNNNNNNNNNNNNNNNNNNNNNNNNNNNNNNNNNNNNNNNNNNNNNNNNNNNNNNNNNNNNNNNNNNNNNNNNNNNNNNNNNNNNNNNNNNNNNNNNNNNNNNNNNNNNNNNNNNNNNNNNNNNNNNNNNNNNNNNNNNNNNNNNNNNNNNNNNNNNNNNNNNNNNNNNNNNNNNNNNNNNNNNNNNNNNNNNNNNNNNNNNNNNNNNNNNNNNNNNNNNNNNNNNNNNNNNNNNNNNNNNNNNNNNNNNNNNNNNNNNNNNNNNNNNNNNNNNNNNNNNNNNNNNNNNNNNNNNNNNNNNNNNNNNNNNNNNNNNNNNNNNNNNNNNNNNNNNNNNNNNNNNNNNNNNNNNNNNNNNNNNNNNNNNNNNNNNNNNNNNNNNNNNNNNNNNNNNNNNNNNNNNNNNNNNNNNNNNNNNNNNNNNNNNNNNNNNNNNNNNNNNNNNNNNNNNNNNNNNNNNNNNNNNNNNNNNNNNNNNNNNNNNNNNNNNNNNNNNNNNNNNNNNNNNNNNNNNNNNNNNNNNNNNNNNNNNNNNNNNNNNNNNNNNNNNNNNNNNNNNNNNNNNNNNNNNNNNNNNNNNNNNNNNNNNNNNNNNNNNNNNNNNNNNNNNNNNNNNNNNNNNNNNNNNNNNNNNNNNNNNNNNNNNNNNNNNNNNNNNNNNNNNNNNNNNNNNNNNNNNNNNNNNNNNNNNNNNNNNNNNNNNNNNNNNNNNNNNNNNNNNNNNNNNNNNNNNNNNNNNNNNNNNNNNNNNNNNNNNNNNNNNNNNNNNNNNNNNNNNNNNNNNNNNNNNNNNNNNNNNNNNNNNNNNNNNNNNNNNNNNNNNNNNNNNNNNNNNNNNNNNNNNNNNNNNNNNNNNNNNNNNNNNNNNNNNNNNNNNNNNNNNNNNNNNNNNNNNNNNNNNNNNNNNNNNNNNNNNNNNNNNNNNNNNNNNNNNNNNNNNNNNNNNNNNNNNNNNNNNNNNNNNNNNNNNNNNNNNNNNNNNNNNNNNNNNNNNNNNNNNNNNNNNNNNNNNNNNNNNNNNNNNNNNNNNNNNNNNNNNNNNNNNNNNNNNNNNNNNNNNNNNNNNNNNNNNNNNNNNNNNNNNNNNNNNNNNNNNNNNNNNNNNNNNNNNNNNNNNNNNNNNNNNNNNNNNNNNNNNNNNNNNNNNNNNNNNNNNNNNNNNNNNNNNNNNNNNNNNNNNNNNNNNNNNNNNNNNNNNNNNNNNNNNNNNNNNNNNNNNNNNNNNNNNNNNNNNNNNNNNNNNNNNNNNNNNNNNNNNNNNNNNNNNNNNNNNNNNNNNNNNNNNNNNNNNNNNNNNNNNNNNNNNNNNNNNNNNNNNNNNNNNNNNNNNNNNNNNNNNNNNNNNNNNNNNNNNNNNNNNNNNNNNNNNNNNNNNNNNNNNNNNNNNNNNNNNNNNNNNNNNNNNNNNNNNNNNNNNNNNNNNNNNNNNNNNNNNNNNNNNNNNNNNNNNNNNNNNNNNNNNNNNNNNNNNNNNNNNNNNNNNNNNNNNNNNNNNNNNNNNNNNNNNNNNNNNNNNNNNNNNNNNNNNNNNNNNNNNNNNNNNNNNNNNNNNNNNNNNNNNNNNNNNNNNNNNNNNNNNNNNNNNNNNNNNNNNNNNNNNNNNNNNNNNNNNNNNNNNNNNNNNNNNNNNNNNNNNNNNNNNNNNNNNNNNNNNNNNNNNNNNNNNNNNNNNNNNNNNNNNNNNNNNNNNNNNNNNNNNNNNNNNNNNNNNNNNNNNNNNNNNNNNNNNNNNNNNNNNNNNNNNNNNNNNNNNNNNNNNNNNNNNNNNNNNNNNNNNNNNNNNNNNNNNNNNNNNNNNNNNNNNNNNNNNNNNNNNNNNNNNNNNNNNNNNNNNNNNNNNNNNNNNNNNNNNNNNNNNNNNNNNNNNNNNNNNNNNNNNNNNNNNNNNNNNNNNNNNNNNNNNNNNNNNNNNNNNNNNNNNNNNNNNNNNNNNNNNNNNNNNNNNNNNNNNNNNNNNNNNNNNNNNNNNNNNNNNNNNNNNNNNNNNNNNNNNNNNNNNNNNNNNNNNNNNNNNNNNNNNNNNNNNNNNNNNNNNNNNNNNNNNNNNNNNNNNNNNNNNNNNNNNNNNNNNNNNNNNNNNNNNNNNNNNNNNNNNNNNNNNNNNNNNNNNNNNNNNNNNNNNNNNNNNNNNNNNNNNNNNNNNNNNNNNNNNNNNNNNNNNNNNNNNNNNNNNNNNNNNNNNNNNNNNNNNNNNNNNNNNNNNNNNNNNNNNNNNNNNNNNNNNNNNNNNNNNNNNNNNNNNNNNNNNNNNNNNNNNNNNNNNNNNNNNNNNNNNNNNNNNNNNNNNNNNNNNNNNNNNNNNNNNNNNNNNNNNNNNNNNNNNNNNNNNNNNNNNNNNNNNNNNNNNNNNNNNNNNNNNNNNNNNNNNNNNNNNNNNNNNNNNNNNNNNNNNNNNNNNNNNNNNNNNNNNNNNNNNNNNNNNNNNNNNNNNNNNNNNNNNNNNNNNNNNNNNNNNNNNNNNNNNNNNNNNNNNNNNNNNNNNNNNNNNNNNNNNNNNNNNNNNNNNNNNNNNNNNNNNNNNNNNNNNNNNNNNNNNNNNNNNNNNNNNNNNNNNNNNNNNNNNNNNNNNNNNNNNNNNNNNNNNNNNNNNNNNNNNNNNNNNNNNNNNNNNNNNNNNNNNNNNNNNNNNNNNNNNNNNNNNNNNNNNNNNNNNNNNNNNNNNNNNNNNNNNNNNNNNNNNNNNNNNNNNNNNNNNNNNNNNNNNNNNNNNNNNNNNNNNNNNNNNNNNNNNNNNNNNNNNNNNNNNNNNNNNNNNNNNNNNNNNNNNNNNNNNNNNNNNNNNNNNNNNNNNNNNNNNNNNNNNNNNNNNNNNNNNNNNNNNNNNNNNNNNNNNNNNNNNNNNNNNNNNNNNNNNNNNNNNNNNNNNNNNNNNNNNNNNNNNNNNNNNNNNNNNNNNNNNNNNNNNNNNNNNNNNNNNNNNNNNNNNNNNNNNNNNNNNNNNNNNNNNNNNNNNNNNNNNNNNNNNNNNNNNNNNNNNNNNNNNNNNNNNNNNNNNNNNNNNNNNNNNNNNNNNNNNNNNNNNNNNNNNNNNNNNNNNNNNNNNNNNNNNNNNNNNNNNNNNNNNNNNNNNNNNNNNNNNNNNNNNNNNNNNNNNNNNNNNNNNNNNNNNNNNNNNNNNNNNNNNNNNNNNNNNNNNNNNNNNNNNNNNNNNNNNNNNNNNNNNNNNNNNNNNNNNNNNNNNNNNNNNNNNNNNNNNNNNNNNNNNNNNNNNNNNNNNNNNNNNNNNNNNNNNNNNNNNNNNNNNNNNNNNNNNNNNNNNNNNNNNNNNNNNNNNNNNNNNNNNNNNNNNNNNNNNNNNNNNNNNNNNNNNNNNNNNNNNNNNNNNNNNNNNNNNNNNNNNNNNNNNNNNNNNNNNNNNNNNNNNNNNNNNNNNNNNNNNNNNNNNNNNNNNNNNNNNNNNNNNNNNNNNNNNNNNNNNNNNNNNNNNNNNNNNNNNNNNNNNNNNNNNNNNNNNNNNNNNNNNNNNNNNNNNNNNNNNNNNNNNNNNNNNNNNNNNNNNNNNNNNNNNNNNNNNNNNNNNNNNNNNNNNNNNNNNNNNNNNNNNNNNNNNNNNNNNNNNNNNNNNNNNNNNNNNNNNNNNNNNNNNNNNNNNNNNNNNNNNNNNNNNNNNNNNNNNNNNNNNNNNNNNNNNNNNNNNNNNNNNNNNNNNNNNNNNNNNNNNNNNNNNNNNNNNNNNNNNNNNNNNNNNNNNNNNNNNNNNNNNNNNNNNNNNNNNNNNNNNNNNNNNNNNNNNNNNNNNNNNNNNNNNNNNNNNNNNNNNNNNNNNNNNNNNNNNNNNNNNNNNNNNNNNNNNNNNNNNNNNNNNNNNNNNNNNNNNNNNNNNNNNNNNNNNNNNNNNNNNNNNNNNNNNNNNNNNNNNNNNNNNNNNNNNNNNNNNNNNNNNNNNNNNNNNNNNNNNNNNNNNNNNNNNNNNNNNNNNNNNNNNNNNNNNNNNNNNNNNNNNNNNNNNNNNNNNNNNNNNNNNNNNNNNNNNNNNNNNNNNNNNNNNNNNNNNNNNNNNNNNNNNNNNNNNNNNNNNNNNNNNNNNNNNNNNNNNNNNNNNNNNNNNNNNNNNNNNNNNNNNNNNNNNNNNNNNNNNNNNNNNNNNNNNNNNNNNNNNNNNNNNNNNNNNNNNNNNNNNNNNNNNNNNNNNNNNNNNNNNNNNNNNNNNNNNNNNNNNNNNNNNNNNNNNNNNNNNNNNNNNNNNNNNNNNNNNNNNNNNNNNNNNNNNNNNNNNNNNNNNNNNNNNNNNNNNNNNNNNNNNNNNNNNNNNNNNNNNNNNNNNNNNNNNNNNNNNNNNNNNNNNNNNNNNNNNNNNNNNNNNNNNNNNNNNNNNNNNNNNNNNNNNNNNNNNNNNNNNNNNNNNNNNNNNNNNNNNNNNNNNNNNNNNNNNNNNNNNNNNNNNNNNNNNNNNNNNNNNNNNNNNNNNNNNNNNNNNNNNNNNNNNNNNNNNNNNNNNNNNNNNNNNNNNNNNNNNNNNNNNNNNNNNNNNNNNNNNNNNNNNNNNNNNNNNNNNNNNNNNNNNNNNNNNNNNNNNNNNNNNNNNNNNNNNNNNNNNNNNNNNNNNNNNNNNNNNNNNNNNNNNNNNNNNNNNNNNNNAAAAGAGAGCAUCGGAAUAUCUGGUGAGGCUAAAGAGCACACCCAAAAUACCUCCACAUCUAUAUGUCCACUUCUAUAUGAUACCCUUUACUUUUGCUUGUUAUAGCUUAAAAUAGAACAGUUAUACCACUCCUCGGAACAUCUGUAGGGCUAAAGAGUAACCCAGUAUACCUGCCACUUGUAUCUAUCUACUUUUAUAUGGCACCUUGGAUUGUGUGAUUAUAGUUAAAAUGGAACUGUUAUACCAUAUUCCGGAACAUCUGUAGGCUAAAGAGCACACCCAAAUAUCUGCCACAUUUAAAUGUCCACUUCUAUAUGGUACCCUUUACUGUGCUGUUAUAGCUUAAAAUAACAGUUAUCAUCCACACACGCUCGGAAAUCUGUAUGCGCUAAAAGAGUACACCCAUAAUACCUGCCACUGUCUAUCUAUUUACUUCUAUAUGGUAGUCUUGAGUUGUGCGGCUUACAGCUUAAAAUGGAACAGUUAUCCACACCUAGGGGUGGAACGAGCUGAGCUCGAGCGAGCGCUUAUGUCAGCUCAAAUUCGGCUUGAAAUUAAUUUCGAGUCUAAUCUAGCUCAAGCGGCUGAAAUUAAUUCGAGCCGAGCUCGAGGAGCCUGAAUUUCGAGUCGAGCCAGCUCGGCUCUAAACGAGCUCAUUAAAUUCUCGACAUUAUAUAAUCAUAGUUUAAUUUUUAUAGAACAGAUUACCUACAGAUUUGAAUGCAACAUGUCCAAUAGUUUAAAAUACAAAAUAAUUAUAAGAAAUGUGAGCUAGGAUGACUUCUUGACUAGACAGCGGUCUGUGAGAGAGAGAGGAGAGAGGAGAGGGAAAAAAGUAGAAAUUUGAAAAUUUGAAAUGUUAUUUUUUAGGGUUAUGUGCACAGUAAAAGUCUGAAAAGAGAGAGUGUGUUAUGUAAAUUUAAGAUGGGCUCAAUGUGCCACGGUUGUACUUGUUGGGUUUAUUUUAUGGCGCAACAAUAAUGACCCAAAUUAAAUUAAAACCUAUAUAUAAUUAAAGAUACAUUAUAUAUAUAUAUAUAUAUAUAAGUUGAGCUAUGAUACUUUUACAAGUAUCACCAUCAUGGUGCCUAUUAGGUUUUAAGCCAUUAGAUCUUACUUUGGAUUAUUAAUGAGCCCUUGAUUAAACACUAUUCCACCUACCACCACCUACCACCACCUACCACACAUCUCAACCUCACAUCUCUCCAUCCAAGGGCUAAAAACACACAAGUAUCCCCCAUGAUACUUUACAAGUAUUCUAGCUCCUACUACUAUAUAUAUAUUAUAAUAUAUUAAUAUAUCUCGAGCUUUUCGAGCUUUCGGCCUAAUUCGAACGAGCCGAGUAAUACUCAACUCGGCUUGAAAUGAAUUUCGAGCCUUUUAUUUUGUUCAACUCGGCUCAUUUAAUUUCGAGUCGAGCUCGAGCGAGCCAAAUAUCGAGCCGAACACGAGCUCGAACGCGAGCCGCUCGCGCGUUUGCCAGCCCUAACCACACCCGACGAUAUCUGUAGGGCUAAGGAGCACACCACCGGCAAUACCUGCACAUCUAUAUGUCCACUUCUAUCUGAUACCUUUUACUUUUGCUGUUAUAGCUUAAAAUAGAACAGUUAUACCACUCCUCGGAACAUUUCUGUAGGGCUAAAGAGUACACCCAUAUACCUGCCUCUUCUAUCUACUACUUCCUAUAUGGCAGCCUUGGAUUGUGUGAUUAUAGCUUAAAAUGGAACUGUUAUACCACAUUCCGGAACAUCUGUAGGCUAAAGAGCACACCGCAUAUCUGCCACAUCUAAAUGUCCACUUCUAUAUGGUACCCCUUUACUUGCUGAAGCUGUUAUAAAGCUUAUAAACAGUUAUACCACUACUCUCGGAACGUCUGUAGGGCUAAAGAGUACACCAUACUACCUGCCACUCUUCUAUCUAUCUUAUUUUCAUAUGGAGCCUUCUCAGGUUAGUGCGGUAUAAAGCUUAAAAUAAACAGUUAUAACCACACCUCGUGGAACAUCUGUAGGGGCUAAAAGCAGCAACCCACAAACUACUGCUACAUCUAUAUGUCCAAUUCUAUAAGGGUACCCUUUAUUGUGCUUUAUAGCUUAAUUAUAGAACAGUUAUACCACACCUCGGAACAUCUUGUAGGGUUAAGAGUACAUCCGUAUACCUGCCACUUCUAUUAUAUCUACUUCAUAUAUGGUAACUUUGGGUUGUUACGGUUAUAAGCUUAAAAGGAACAGUUAUACAACAUCCCGGAACAUCUGUAGAAUAAAGAGUACACCCAUAUACCUGCCACUUCUAUCUAUCUACUUGCUAUAUGGUAGCCUUGGGUUGUGCGGUUAUAGCUUAAAAUGGAAUGUUGUACCACACCCUCGGAAUAUCUGUAGAGCUAAAGAGCACACCCACAAUAUACCUGCCACAUCUAUAUGUCCACUUCUAUAUGGUACCUUUUACUUUGCUGUUAUAACUUAAAAUAGGACAGUUAUACCACUCCUCGAACAUCUGUAGGGCUAAAAGUACACACCCAUAUACCUGCCACUUCUAUCUAUCUACUUCUAUAUGGUAGCCUUGGAUUGUGCGGUUAUAGCUUAAAAUCGAAUAAUAUUACAACACUCCGGAACAUCUGUAGGGGUAAAGAGCACACCCAAAUACCUGCCGAUCAUAUGUCCAAUUCUAUAUGGUCCGCUUUACUUGUGCUGUUAUAGUUUAAAAUAGAACAGUUAUACCACUUCUCGGAACAUCUGUAGGGCUAAAGAGUACACCAUAUACCUGCCACUUCUAUCUAUCUACUUCUAUAUGGUACCUUGGGUUGUGCGUUAUACCUUAAAAUGGAAUAGUUAUACACACCCCGGAACAUCUGUAGGACUAAAGAGCACACCACUCACUCACUCUAUAUGUCCACCUCUAUAUGGUACUUUUACUUGUGCUGUUAUUUAAAAUAGAACAGUUUAUACCAUCCUGGGAACAUCUGGUAGGGCUAAAGAGUACACCAUAACCUGCCACUUUUAUCUAUCUACUUCUAUAUGGUAGCUUGGGUUGCGCGGUUGCUUUAAAAUGGAACAAUUGUACCCACCCCGAGAACAUCUGUAGGGGUAAAGAGCACACCAAAUACCCGCCACAUCUAUAUGUCCAAUUCUAUAUGGUCGCUUUACUUUGUGCUGUUAUAGUUUAAAAUAGAACAGUUAUGACACUCAUCGGAACAUCUGUAGGGCUAAAGAGAGUACCCAUAUACCUGCCACUUCUUUUUAUACUUCUAUAUGGUAGCCUUGGGUUGUGCGGUUAACUUAAAAUGAAAUAGUUAACCACACCCCGGAACAAUCUGCAGGGCCUAAAGAGCACACCCAAAUACCUGCCACAUCUAUAUGUCCACUUUCUAUAUGAUACCAUUUACUUUUGUGUUAUAGCUUAAAAUAGAACAGUAUACACUCCUCGAACAUCUGUUAGGGUAAAGAGUAUACCCAUAUACCUGCCACUUCUAUCUAUCUACUUCUAUAUGGUAGCCUUGGGUUGUGCAGGUUAUAACUUAAAAUGGAACAGUUAUACCACACCCGGAACAUCUGUAGGGCUAAGAGCACACCAAAUACCUGCCACAUUUAUAUGUCCAAUUCUAUAUGGUCUCCUUUGCUUGUUCUGUUAUAGCUUAAAAUAGGAACAGUUAUACCACUCCUCGGAACAUCUGUAGGGCUAAAGAGUACACCCAUAUAACCUGCCACUUCUAUCUAUCUACUUCUAUUGGUAGCUUUGGGUUGUGCGGUUAUAGCUUUAAAAUGGAAUAUAUAUCACACCCCGGAACAUCUGUAGGACUAAAGAGCAACCCAAAUACCAGCACAUCUUUAUACCACUUCUAUAUGGUACCCUUUACUUGUGCUGUUAUAGCUCUAAAAUAGAACAGUUAUACACUCCUUGGGAACAUCUAUAGGCUAAAGAAUACACCCAUAAAGUGAUUAAGGAGGACUGAGCGCUAACAGAAAGGUGAAUCUGACCCUUCGUUUGCUGUUGUAGUUCGACGACACUCAAUACUUACCUGCGCCUCCUCAACCGCCAGGGAUCAUCAAUCUCAGCAGGUGCCAUUGCACUUUCUGAAUGUCUAUCUCCGAUACGAUAACUCUCAUAAAAUUAUUUUGCCAAACAUAAUAAACUUUGGAUAACAUCUCAUCUAUGAUAAAAUCGCGAGAAAAUGACAUCACGGUAAAUUGACAUAUUACAUCAAUAGGAUAAAUUAACUAGACUCUUAUCAACAACUCACAUUACACAAAAUAAAUCAAGAAUAUGAUUAAGCAAAAUACAAGAUUACCAGUCAUAAAUUUCACAUUGCACAUUCACAAUCAUAUAUGAAAAAUCUGUGAACGACCACUCACACUGUGCAUAAUUGUACAUUGAAAAUCAUAUAUUAUACAAAUUGCCAGUACAUUCACAAUUGCACAAUAAUAUAUAAACACACUGUACAAGUACCAGUUAACAAUUGCAAAAUCCUAUAACAUUCAGACAUCAUCUCUUGCGACUAUGCACUCAAUCAUAGAAGUAUAUGUCAGACAAUAGGAUCCUUUAAGAUCGCACUGACCAUAUGAGUACGGAAGAAGGGAGGUCAUUAUCGACAAUGAUAGAUCGGGGAGGCCGUUUCUUACGAUUCUUUCGGCAAAAAGGCAUGUGUACAUGCCACAAUCAACUUCGAUGGAACCCUGUUGUUGACAUUCCUUAUGAAAUAUGACGUAGACGCGCCGAUCCAGGGAUUUGAAGGAUGUGCUCAAAAUAGAACGCAAACCAUUUCGCCUUUCCAAGACAAAAAAAAGGGUUAAUUAAUUCAAACGAGUAGAUAGUAGAUGUUAUUGUCCGCGUGAAUAAAUAACUAAAACACUCUGUCUACUGAGAAUAAUAAAAUAAUACCAGCCAGCUUGUGCCGCGUCCUGUGCCCGCGUGUGGCUCACAAAGAGUUCCAACUCUUUAAAACGCCGUUCUCUUCAAAUCAAUCAAUAGCAAAUGCCAACGCCAAUUACUAUAUAACGGAAUAAGUACAUAUCUACAAGUGUUGCAGGUUUGUGUAUUUAUUUCAUCCAGAAAGUGACGUAUAGAUGCGGAUCCAAAUGCAUAUCCUUCCACAAAAUCAGUUUGUUACUGGAUUAAUAUAUAGUGACGUAUAGAUGCGGAACAAGAAAGCGAUGUUCAGAAAACAAGAUAACAUAGAAACAGAAAACAAAUAGAUAACAACUAAUAUAAUAGAAGGCAUCAAACUCACCGCAUACUUCAGUUCGCAAGAAAAUAGCCCCGUUGACUAAAUUUAUGUAAUACUGUACAAAAUAUGUCUUAAUUUCGACUAUCGCAUGCCGAUAGUCACCAUCGAAUAUAUUAUCAAGCGUGCUCGACUUUACACUCUUGCUCUGCCAUUCUAUGGUUUCCCUCUGCUGGCAGCUCUACCAAAAUGGAUAUUUCCUCUGAACUAAAAGGAAGAAAUGUUUCUAAAUUCUAAAACAGUGUUCACAACUAUAAACUUAUUAGAGUGUUCUAUUAACCUUUACAUCUAUCUAUUAUUAGAUCAAAGUGUUCAUAAUUCUGCCACUGAUAGGAGUUUCUAUUUGCCCUAGGAUUGUUAUAUUAUGCAUAAGAGGGUACGAUUGCAAUUCAUACAUGUUCGGAACCAUAAAAAGAACAUUCUAAACCCUAAACCCUAAUAGAACUGCUCACUGUCACAUGGAUUGUGAAUAUAUCCUAUCAGCUGGCCUAAAUAGAACAUUCUAAACCACAAGCUUGCAUAAUAGAAUUCACAAUCAAUGGAUUGUGAACACUCCUAUCAGGUGGCAUAAUAGAACAUUGUAAACUCUAAACCCUAAUCCUAAUCAUAAAUUUCUUAUCUUAAAAUGCAACAUAAAAUAUAAUAUACCAGCAAAUAUACCACCAGUGUCCUAAAAUAAAAUUAAUCACCUAUUCGGCGACGAAAUCGGAGCACGCAAAGAAAAUCCGCAGCUGCAACCCUAAACCCUCAAAAUAUACAUUUUGUAUUAAAUUAAAAAUUGAAAAUAAAAGAUUAUAGAAAUUUUAAAAAAAUGCCUGUUUGAGUUGAAUCAUCUGUUUCGGUUGUGGCCGAAUUAGCUCCGAAAUCGUUCCCAAUUUCGACACGCUCACCGACUGAAGGAAUGCAAGCAGGUACUGGGAUGGACAGGGGAGCAGUUGAGAGGCGACCUCCUACCAAUGGAGAAAGGCGAGGCCGAGAGACACCUUCGAGACGGCUUCGGACACGAGAUGUGUGGAACGAGCGCUGCCGAACUUCUGCCCGAUGGAGUGGAGUGCCCUGCGAGCGAGAGUGAGACAAAGAGAAAGGGGAGAGCGCGAGAUGACGAGAGGCGAGGGAGCGAGAGAAAGAGAGGAAGCGAGAGAGAGCGAGAAACAGAGAUAGCGAGAGGAGCUGUGCAGGAGAGAGAAGUGUAGUAGGGUUUAAUUUAAGUUAGCUUUAGCAAGAAGUAAAAAAGGUGUGAGGUUAGAAGCUACUGUGCUAGUGGGUUAAUAUCAGCCAUUGGAUCUGAUAGUUGUAGGAUAUACACCUUCCUAUAGGAGUACAGGUAGACUUUUCCCAUGGACAUUGAUGCUUAAUAAAAAAUAAAAAAAAAAGCUACAUAACAAUAAAAAGAAUAUAUACCAAGUAACAGGACGAAGAUGUAUCCAAUGCCGUAAAAAAUAAAAGAUAUAUCAAAUGCAGUGUUAAUACAUCAAUUUUAAUACCCAAUUGAUCAGCCAUAUUCAAUCAGGUAAAAAUUCUUGAAAUUUGAUGUCAUAAUAAUAAUUUCUCAAAGAAGGAAAAUUAUUUUUCAUGUACCAGUUAUAACAUGAAAAAAUGACAAAAUCAAAGAAAAUGAUUUAGAAACAGAAUUUAUAUAGAGAAUUUGGAUGAAAGGUCUAAUUAAUAUUUUCUCAAACAAAUUAAGUGCAGUAAGAAUAUCAUAUGAUGGAUAUGAUCUAAUAUUUUAUAUUCUAUUGGUAAAAAAAGAUGCAGAACUUAAAAAGAAAAUAUAAAAAAUAAAAAUUAUUAUAAAGUUUCAAAAUAUUGAGAGAGAAGACUCAAAUUGACAUUCUAUUGAACAUAUAGAGAGAACAACCAAAUCUUCCUUAUGUAAGUUAUGUUGCUCUCACCACAUAGCAGAAGAGAGAAAUCCUGCAAAGGGAGAGGAGCAGAUGGGCGACGUACUAAGAGAGCGGCAAAGUGAGCUCACCUCUGCCUCAUGCAUAGUUCAGCUUAAUUAACAGAAAAACACACUGCACUCAUAAAUAAACAAAGACAAAUAUCGAAAAGUAAAGAACAUAAAGCAGUAAAAUUAAUAAAUAGAUUUAUAUGAAAGCAAAUUAGCAAAUAGUUGAGAGAAUAACAUCUCCAAUCUAUAAAAUCCACUAAUCAAAUACAUAUCAUGGUAAAUAAUAUUUCAUAGUAGACAAUAUUAAAGAAGCACAGUACAUUAGAAUGAAAGGGCAAAACAGACUUAAAAGAAUAGAAAAAUAUCAACAAAUAUUAAAAAGUAUUCUACAUUUCACUAUAUUAAAGAAGAAAAUAAAGCAAAUAUAAGAAAAUAGGCAGGUAAAAACACAAAAUAAAAGAAACACUAAAACAUUAGUAAGAAAAACAUCAGAUCAUCAUUUAGAAUAAAAAAGAAGAACUCAAAAAUAUAGUUCCAUAUAAUAAACCAAAAUAUACAAUUCAAAGAAAAACAAAUCAAAAUAACACAUAUUUCUAUAUACCAUGAAGUUAGGAAAAAAAACACAUAAUCAUUUUAGCACAAAAUUAAGUUAUAUUUACUGAAAAAAUAAUCAAAGGCUCAAAAUGUUUAUGUAAAUCAUAUACUCUUUUUCUUAAGAAAAAGAAAAGUCUCUUUCUAUUAACACAUAAAUCAAAUUUUGUGCAUGUCUAAUGGCUGCAGUAAUUUUCAUAAGGCGAGUCGUAUUUUCAUACCUUUUUAAUACCUUUCUUGAUGGAUAAUAUAAAUAUAAAUAUAAAUAUAUAUAUAUAUAUAUAUAUGAAAGUAGAAGAGAAAAGGCCUUAUCUUCACCGACUUACAUCAAAGAGUGAUAGGGGCUUAAAGAAAACUUUAUAACUCAACCCCAAAAGGUAGUAUAAAUGAAAAUAAGGAACAAAAAAUGAGCAAUCUUUUUUAGAAUAUUAACUCAAAUUAUACAUCAAAAUGUUAGUUCACAAGAAAACUCAUUUUGCAAAAUAACAAAUAACUACAAAUAGUUGUUCACGAAGGAAUAGACCAUCCAAACUUAUUCCAGUCAUCUAUUGAAAAGUCUAGAUCUGUAUCCUAAAUUAGCACUUCCAAAUUAGAAAAAUUACAAUCCAUGCUGAGAAAGGGGCCAUAUCAUCAUAGCUUUAAGAAAGACCAUCUAAGAAAUAAUAAAUUAAAGAGAAAAGGAAGAAAUUUUUUUUAGCUUACAUACUACACUAACCUAGGGGCAAACCAUGAAGAAAUGAGAAAUAAUAAUUUCCAUAUGAAGCACAGAGGGAAAGGCACAUGAGAGUAAAAGAGGAACAUAUAUUUUCAUUAAUAAGGUAGGUCUUAUCAGCCCCAAGAAUUAAUGUAGAAAGAGCUCCAAACUUAUUUCAAGAUUUAGCUUUUAUAUAUCUUUAAUACCUUCUCUUUCUAACAUACUACUGUAAAGUAGAGAUUUCAUAUUUUCAUUGCUCGAAGCUCUGCUAAUCUGCUUAGGAAGGCCUUGCAAGACAAAUUUUGCAACUUAUUGCUCUAUUAUUUUUUUAGUGGUAUUUGAAAUGAUACCACCUAAAAUAAAGGUCGAUGUGAAUUAUCGUAAGUAUUGACAUCCUUUACUUACAGUUCGAUACACCGGGUGAAUGGGCAAUUUUUUUAGCAAAUUUCUAUAGGAAGUUUUUAGAUAUAUAUUCUUUCGUAUAUGCUAAGAUCAAAAACUUAAUAGAGUCAUAGAUUAAAAAGAGACUUUCAAAUAAGUAAUUCAAACAAACUUAUAAUUAUAAUUAGUUACAAAUUCAGACCUACAGUGAUCGAGGGUUUCAAUAUUGUCCAUUAAAAAUUUCAAUUAUGAUAAUUUAGUCUCCGUACUUUUGCCGCACAAUUAAAACUCAACGACUUAGUCAUAUAAUUAAAUACUCAAAAAAGAAAAUAGUGCAUUCUUUUUUUUUCACUGCAGAUAUCUACUGAAAAAAAAGAGAAGCAUUUAAGUGUCAAGUAUUACAUCAAGUUGAGCACAAAUUUAAAGUGUCAAAAAGAGAAGCUUUCCUAGACAUCUCCCUUGCCUUGUCCCGAUUCCCUAUCACUCGGCACAUGAGCCCCGCGUCGACCAUGGCGGCAGUCGGAACAACUCAAGGAUGCGGUAGGAGUUGGUGCUAUCACUGUCGUGGCCAUUCUUGCAGCGCUUGCCCCACCGGAGGAGCACCACGGUCUCGCAUAACGACCGCAGUAUGCUGUACAUCGUGCUCGCGACGCAGAGGUCAUGCGCGUCAAUGACUUUAGUGUUGACGAUAACCAACAAAAAGGUCACAGCCGUCGGCGGGCUCGAUGCUCGGCAGCUUCGUUGAUGAGGCAGGAAUGAAAGAGGUUGUGAGAUAGUGAUGUGAUGGGGAAGGCGGGGGGAGGGGGCGCACUAUAAAGGAGUGGGGGAAGUGUGAUGUGAGUAGAGAGUAAAAAUUAAUGAGGUGGAAAGCCGUGGAAAGACAAAGCGAUGGUAAUGAGAUGGAAAGCUAAAGAGCCACGACGUAAUAGACGGGGAAGGUGAGCAGACACUAUGGAGAAGGGAAGCACCGUGACGUUACAGACGGAGAAAGCGGCGUGGAGAGUGGGAAUUGAGAGAGGGAGGACUCAGGUGGGUCCCACGGCAGAAUUUAAUUUAAAGAAAAUAUAUGCCACAUAGAUUAAGGUAUUGAAUGCCCCAAAUUAAGCCAAAAAUGCCACAACUGACAGGUGGGUCUCACAUCCCCCAAAUUAAGCAAUGGUUAACGAAAUAUGAAUCGGAGACUAAAUUUACACACACACACACACACACACACACACACACACACACACACACACACAAACACAAAAAAACUAAAACCAAUACGAUGCAAAAAUGAAAAAAAAAAAUCAGUAGAAGAUGCAUGAGAUAAUAAAGAGAGAGAAAGAGAGAUGAAUAAAAUGUUUACGUAAUGAAAAUAAAAAAAAAAUAAGUAGGAGAUGAGAUAAUAAAGAGAGGGAGAUAAAAUAAAAUACUUUUUACAUUAUAUGAUAACUAGUGCAGUAACCCGCGCGAUGCGGCGGGCAGAUAAUAUUCAAUAUCUAACUUUGAUUUAUUUUUCUUAUCUUUGAAAUCUAUUAAAUUACCAAUUACCACCAAAACCAAAAUUUAAGAUCAAAAUGUGCACUUUAAGCUGAGUAGAAUGCUCAUUGCAGAAUCUUAGAAGAACCAAUAUGAAGUAAGAAAUAAACAUGUGCCCAUAUCCUCGAAGCAUGAGGGAUACUAAAAAAAUAAUAAUACGAAACGAAGGAAAAACUCUGAGAGAAACCAUCCAAACAUGAAGCACUCUAUCACCUACCAGAAUACUAUUUAACUAAUUAAUGUCUCUCAACUAUCGAUUCCAAUCAAAUUGAGCUCAAAACACAACGAAUUUGAAUCACUCCAACACAAAGUUCUCAUUUUUAAACAGGAAUAUGCAACCAAUUACUAUCGAAAAUCAAAAUUUGAAACCACAAUGUGUAAUUAAACAGAAUUGAGUUGAUAAAAUCAAAGGAACUUUUUUAAACCUUUACCUCAAUAGCCGAUUUACCGGUUUCUGAAGGAAACAAAUAUUUGUAAUGAUUGUAUAAUUGCCAUCCAAAAUGCCUCACUAUAUUUAAAUAAUUGAAAAGCAUUUAAAAAAAGCCAAAUUAGGAGCAAAAUUAAUAAGAGAAGAAGCAGUAGAAAAAAUAUACCAUGCAAAAAGAGAAAAAUAUGUAGUGAAGCUUACAAUCAUGGUAGCAAGAAAAUUAUAAAUUAAUGCAAAAGGCUCCGAUAGAAAUUAACUCACAUAUAUGUCCUAUGUAGAAAAAUACAAUAAGAGAAAGAACAGAAUAGUUGAUGGAUAAGAAAAGAAUCCAAUACCUGAUACAAGGGUAAAAAGAAAAAGCAAAAUGAAAGAAACUUCAGAUUAAUUAGAAGUUGCAGAAACAACAACACCAUAUAAGGUUUUGUGCAGUCGAUAGACUUGAUUUUCUUUUCCUUCUAUAAUAUAACCUUCAGGUUGUUCAAUGUAAACUUCUUCUUCAAUUUCUCCGUUUAAAAAUGCCGACUUAACAUCGAGUUGAUAAACUAACAAUUCUAGUUGGCUUACUAGAGCAAAAACAGUUCUAACUGUCUCCAUGCGUACAACAGGUGCAAAAGUUUCAAUGAAAUCCCUAAACAUCAGCACUAAGAGAAGAAAAACUAAUAGUAAAACAGGCAACAUUAAUAAUCAAGCAGCAGUAACAGAGGAAUUAGUAGUGGGUCAAGUGCAAAAAAUAAAAAAUAAAAAUAAAAAAGAGUAAAAAUAAUAUAGAUGUAUUGUCUCAGAUAAUCAAUAAGUUAUAUCAUUAAUCAACAAAGGUGAUUUCCACAUUUGAACGUCAUUGAAACAAAUUAUAUGAUAAAUCAAUAGUUGCAACGGUUGCCUAAAAAAGGCCAUCCAAGUUGCCAUACUAUGCCAAAACUUUAUUUUUUUAAUAAUUAUUUUAAACUUUGUUUAAUUAAUUAUUAUUUUUUUGCAUUAUGCCAUCAUCGCCAAUUAAGUAAGAAGCGAAAAUUUAUACAUAAAAAUUAUGAAACUUAUUAAAAACUAAUUGAAAACAUAAAGAUAUUAUUAAAAUGUAGUAAAAGUAAGUGAAAAUAUUAAUUUUAAAAAUAAAUAAACUAUAAGUAGUAUAUAUAUAAAAGAUAAAUAAAUCGUAGUGUUAUUAUCUAUGCAAAUAAUUAAUUUCUUAAAUUAAUCGAAAAGUAAUUGUAAACAUAAAGGAGAAAAAACAAAUAAAACAAAUCUAACGCAGAAGUAAUAGAAAAGCUUGCAAAACUUUAUAAAAUUUAAAACAGCUAAGAAGUAUAGAAGAAGUCGCAUAACUGGAAGCAGAAAGAAAAUCGAAUAUUAAUUAAAAGGAGCUGAUGCUUCACCAUAAAAUUGGUAGCAGUAACAAUAAUUAUAAUAUAUUUUUUUAACUUUGUAUUAUCAUACUCACAUUUACUUUUGUAUAGUAAAAUUUUGAAAGUUAAUUCGAUGUGGCGAAGGGAGAUGAAACCAUAAUGAAUCAAAACCAUUUUUCAGCCUGUAGGUGGAUCAACCGUUGGAAAUGAAGCAGCACUAAUGGAAAGAGCGAGGAAGGAAGAAGGAUUGACGUCACACCUUCAAUUUUUCUUUAUUAGAAAAGGCAUGUUGGCUGUUGAAGCGACGACAAAGAAAGAAGCGAGCUGGCGAACCGGUUCAAAGCUGAGAAAAGGAUCCAGAUUUUUAGAGAUCUCAAAAACCGGUUCAAAGCUGCGACCUUCCGUAAUCUCUUGGCUCAGAGAAAAGGAUAUGGAAGUUCUUCUUAGAAGCGGAGAUGUCGUAGGAUGCAUGGCAAAAGAUAGCGUAUGACCAUUAUAUAAGCAUUGAGAGAUAUGGGAGAAGUCGGACAACCCUUCGGCCCUAAUGGAAACGGCGUGAAGGGAAGCAGGAUCGAUGUCGUUUGUGGCCCAAAUUUUCGUCCAUAGAAGAGGAACGACGGUUUUCGAAGCGGCGACAAAGAAAGGAAUAAACCGACGAACCGAUCCCAUGCGGCUUUGGAAGACGUAGCGAUAAUGAAUUGAGAGCAUUUUAGAGUCGAGAGGUAGAUCAUUCGACGGGAAUGAAGUGGAGCCAAUGGAAAUGGUGGGGAGGGAAGCAAAAUCGGUGUCGCACUUGGCCCUUUUUUCUGUUCAUAGAAGAAAAACGAUGGCUUCCAAAUUGAUGACAAAGGAAAAAAUGAACCGGCGAUCCGGUUCAGAAGAGCACAUGUUUUUUCAAGAUAAGGAUCUAGUUCAGAAGAGUAUUUUCUCUCUAAACCCUAUAACCAAUAGGUGGGUCCCACAUGCCAUAAUAUUUAAAGAGAAUCGAAAAAAUGAGAGGCAGGUCUCGCAUGCUUGAAGAUAAGGAUCCGAUUCAGAAAAAGAUUUUUUUUCUAAACCCUAAAACAAUACGUGGGUCCCACAUGCCCUAACAUUUAAAGAGGAAUAAAAAACUGACAUGUUGGUCCCACAUGCCCCAAAUUAAGCCAAACAUGCCACAACUGUCAGGUAGAUCCCACAUGGCCCAAAUUAAGCAAAACUUGCCAUGUGGACUUAAAAUUAGAUUUGAAAAAUUGCAAAUGCAGCAAAAACAAAAGUGAGGAUUAAAGAAAAGGAGGGAAAAAGAGAAGAAGCAAAACCAACAAAAAAAAGAGUAAAAACAACAUGAUGUGUAGGCUCAGAAAAUCAAUAAGUUAUAUCAGAAAUCAACAGAGGGGAUUUUCACAUGUAAAACAUCAUUGAAACAAAUUGUAAGGUUGAUCAAUGGUUGCAACAGUUGCAUAAAUGCCAUCCAAGUUGCCAUACCAUGCAAAAUCGUUGUUGAUAUUCAAUCAUUAUUUUUUUCAUUCGGUCAUCAUCGCCAACACCAAAAGGAAAAUCAGUGAAACAGCAGCAGUAGAGCCAACAAUAUUUUUUUAAAAAAUAAAUUCAAAAAGAAUGAAAAGAAACCAAACCUAAAGUAAAUCAUAACCAUUAUUUCGCUAUAUUUGCAAAGGCAGGAAAAAGAAGUAGAGAAGCAAAACCAACAAAAAAAGGAGUAAAACAACAUAGAUGAUAGGCUCAAAUAAUCAAUAAGUUAUAUCAGUAAUCAACAAAUUUGAUUUCCACAUGUGAAAUGUCAUCAAAACAAAUUGUAAGGGUGAUCUGUGGUUGCAACAGUUGCCUAAAUGGCAUCCAAGUUGCCAUACCAUACAAAAACUUUAUCGAUACGUAAUUAUUAGAUUUUUUUCGUUUGGUCAUCAUUGCCAACACCAACAGCAAAUUCAGUGAAAUAGCAGCAGGAGAGCUAAAAGCAUUUUUAAAAAAAUUAAACACAGAAAGAAUGAAAAGAACAAAACCUGUAGCAGUAUAUCACCAUUCUUGAGGGAACCAUUUUUCUGGGACCAUUUGUCCGAAACCUGUAGCAACAGUGGGACCAUUUUUCCAUCUAGAGGCGAAUCAUUUGCCAGGAAUGAAGCGGUACUAAUUAUAAAUUUUUUUUUUCGUCCAUAGAAGAGAAUAGACGGUUUUCGAAGCGACGACAAAGAAAGGAACGAACCGGCAAACCGAUCUGAUGCGGCGUUGGAAGACGAAGCGAUAAUGAAUCGAGACCAUUUUAGAGUUGAGAGGGGAAUCAUUCGAUGGGAAUGAAGCGGCGCCAAUGGAAACGGCAGGGAGGGAAGAACGAUGGCUUCCGAAGCGACGAAGCGAACCGGCCCGAAGCGACGACAAUGGAAAAGGCAAACCGACAACGAUGGCUUCCGAAGCGACAAAGCGAACUAGCAGCGAACCGGCCCAAAGCGACGAAGCGAACCGGCAGCGAACCGGCCCAAAGCGACGAAGCGAACUGGCUCGAAGCGACAUCAAUGGAAAAAGCGAACCGGCGAACCGCUGGACCCAUUUUUUCAAGAUUGGGUUCAAAAGAGUGUUUGCACUCUAAACCCUAAAACCAAUAGGUGGUCCCCACAUGUCAUAUAUAAUAUUUAAAGAGAAAUGAAAAAAUGACAGGUAGGUCCCACAUGCUAAAAUAUUUUCUCUAAACCCUAAACAACAGGUGGGUCCACAUGCCCUAAAUUAAGCCAAACAUACAACAACUGACAGGUAGGUCCCACAUGCACAAAUUAAGCAAAACUUGCCAUGUGGAUAAAAUUACGGGGAUUAAUAUAGGAUAUAGAUAUAGAUGAUAUCGUAUUAUAUUAUAAGAUAAUGAUAUCAUAUUAUAUUAAUCCUACUCAUAAUCAAAACAUCUAAUAAAAUAAUAUUUGAAUUCUAGUGUAAUCGGUUCAGCGUAUCUGGACUUGAAUUCGGAUUAGUCAUGAAUUUUUAUUUAUUUAUUUAUAAAUUUUUAAAUAAAAGGAUAUAAGUAAAAAGAUUAAAAUAAAAGAUAAAAGUAAAAAAAAGACAAAAGAGAAAAUUAGAGAUAGAUGUUACAACAUGCGAUUUUUUUUUUUAAAUGAAAAAAAAUUUGGCAUUGGAGUAUUUAUUAUUGUAAAAUAAAUUUGUAUUUAUCUUUUUAUGUUUUACAGGUUACGUUUUAUUUGAGUUUUUUAUUUUGGUGUACUUGGAUGGCAGUUAAUUAUUUUUUUAUAUUUCAAAUUAUUUUACAAACUUAGAUUUAAUAAUUUAUUUUAAGAUAAAUUUAUUUUAUAUGGAUUAUGUAAUCAAUUUUAAAUUAACGCAGCAAUUACUUUACAGUAAAGAGAAAAGACAUGUUUUGAAAAAGUUUAAAAGAAAACAAUUUUCUCAAUUUUAAUAUUUAAAAUUUUCAUUACUUUUAAUUUUUUUAAAUUUAAAAUAAAUUUAUCACAAUGUAUCUUAGCUGUAUUAUCGUAAUUUAAGGAAUCUCUGCACUUUAAAAUAUUUUGCACCCUUUAAUUUAUUUUUUUAUUUUAGUGAGCUCAAGAAUUUGGAUACUAAGAAUCAUAAUAUAAUGGCAACAACUCGAACUACUAAUUAGGUUUCUUUUAUUUUUAUAAAUAUCUCUUAUAGUUUAAAUUAUUUAAAUCUCUUACAAUGAUCUAACAUAUAAUUUUAGACUUAUCUAUAUAAAGUAUAUUUAUUGUUAAAGUUGUUGCUUAUGAAAAGCUAAGUUAUCUUUUACCCCAAAAAAAUAUCUCAAGGAGAGAUUAUUGCAAUCGAAUGAGAUUAGUACAAGCCUCGAGUAUGUGUUAUAUUCUAACUAAUACGCUCUGCAUCUUUAUAGACGAUGCAAUCUAACUCUAAAAGUCCUUUGUCAUUUAGCACCCGUUUGGUUUUAAAGACUAUCUAAUACUUUUAGACAAAACAUAGUUAUCUAUACCUCUAUACCUAUACAUUAUUUCUCCUAAAGUUUUGCCAUGUGACGAAUCCUCCUGCACCGUUGGCUUCUCUCUUCUCACUCCCAUCUCCAUCCAAUGCUUCAUCUUUCUAACCCCCACCUCUCAAUUAAUGUAUUUAUAUAGUCCCAUCUUCACCCAAUGCUUCAUCUUCCUAACCCCCACCUUUCAAUUAAUGUAUUUAUAUGAUCUCAUUUCCACCCAAUGCUUCAUCUUCCUAACCCCCACCUCUCAAUUAAUGUGUUUUCAUGGUUUUAUCUCCAUCCAAUACUUCAUCUUCCUGACUUCCACCUUUCUAUUGCUUUUACAAGAACAAAUGAGUAAAAUAAAGUUUCUUCAUACUUUUCUUUUCAUAUUGUUUUUUUUUUUUUCCUUUUUUUCUUGGCGCACAAAAAGGGCUCAUGUUUCGUAACUUUUUUAAAUUUUUUUUAAAAUUGUGUGUGGAUUGAAAUUAGGGUUUCGAGGAUCGCGAUGGGCACGGCAAGGGAAAACGAUGAUAAAUUUAGAGUCAGUAAGGAGGAAGAAGCAGUGGAUGUGGAAAAAAUAUACGGGAUUGACAUGGUUAUGGCUAAGGAGGAGAUCGACACUAGUGGCGAAGGCAAUGUAAAUAUUGGAAUUUGCCUUUUCGAUGUCGAUAGUACGAUGAAGGUGUGUAUGGGUAAAAUUUUUUUUAUUGCUUCUUUCAUUAUUGUUAUGUGUGAUUUAUUUAUCGAAAUUAUAAAUUUUGCUAUAUCUAUACCUAUAUCUAUUUUAUAUAUUAUAUUUAUGUUAUUGAAGUCUCAUGUCAAAUCAAAAAAUUUAUAGUUUUUAUUCUAUUUAUAUUUUAUCUUUUAUAGUAUCAUUCCGCCGCAAUGCGCGGGUGAUUUCACUAGUAAUGAAUGACUACAAUAUGAUUUCUCAAUAUUUUGCUGAUGUGGCACAACCACAUUGCUUUAGGAGUCUUUUUUUUCUCACUUAGGCAGGCCCUCCUACCCUUUCUCUCUCGAAUAUUCUUCUUCCCCCUGUCUUUCUCCCUCUCUCUCAAGCCUUAACUUCCACCUCUCCACCUUCCCCUCCUAAUCCCUCUCUCUCUCUUUCGAAUCUUCUUCCAUGUCCCCUGUCUUCCCCCCUCUCUUUCUCAAGCCUUAACUUCCACCUCUCCACCUUCCCCUCCUAAUCCCUCUCUCUCUCUUUCGAAUCUUCUUCCAUGUCCCCUGUCUUCCCCCCUCUCUUUCUCAAGCCUUAACUUCCACCCCUCCACCUACCCUUUACAACAAAGGUAUUAAUUGCACAAACUCACAAUAAAGGUAAAUUUAUAUAGCACUAUUCUACCAAUCCUUAAAAAUGUAUAUUUGUAACCAAUACAUGUUCCACAUUAAAACAAGCAAAAUUUAAAAUAUCACAGUACUGUUCUAUUAUACCUUAAUAAUGUAUAUUUGUAAUGAAUACAUAUUUUCUAUCCUAAACCGAACAAAAUUUAAUAAAAUGCGUGAUGUAUAAGUGUGUGACUGUGGAAGCAACUUCUAAACUUUAAACCCUAACCUUAACCUUAACCCUAAACUCUAAAUUUAUAUAAAUGCAAUAAAAAAUAAUAUAUACCAAUAGUUUCUAAAAUUGAGUGAAUCUGCUACUCGGUGAUGAAGUCAGUAGUGCGGCAAAGGCGAAUGUAAAUAUUGAAUCCUAAACCCUAAAAAUAGAAAUUUUAUAUUAAAUAAAAAAAAAUAAAAGAACAAGAUUAUAUAAAUUAAAAGAAUUUCCUUUUUGGGUUAUGGCCGAGAGGUUAAAAAUCGCCCCCAAUUUCGACGCCCACGAGCAAAUGAACGAGUGACAAAUUCUGCGAUAGAUAGAGGAGCAGUUUGUAGUGUCAUACAAACAACGAGAAGCAAGCUCCUACCAAUGUAGAGAAUGAGAGAGAGGGAGAACUCUGAGACGGUUGGAGUAGAAUUUUCUAUAGAGUACGAAAAUGUGUGGAACGAAACAAUCACAGCGUGAGAGGCGAACUUCUACCCGAUGGAGAGAGGCGAGAGCGUGAGACAGAGGCGAGAGUAAAAGACAGAGAGCUCAGAGCUCACAGAGCAUGAAAUAGAAAGCUUCGGAGGGAAUGCGUUGAAUAUGGGAAAAGAUGGUGAGACUAUACCAAUUCUUAAUAAAUAUUUAAUUUAAUCUCAACCAUUAAUUCUCAAGUUGUAUGUUGUAUGGGAAGCCUAUUCCAUUUUAUAUAUCUGUGGCAUAGUGCGGCUCGCUAGUAGUGUACAUAAUAAUAAGCACACAAGCCGUGGAGCCGACUUCGUUCGCCAAAAGCUCUCCUUCCUGCUGCUGUCGAAACUAGAAAGAGAAGCUAGCCCGUCUCCGCUCCCCGCCUCUCCCCCUCGCCGCCGCCGAUGGCGUCGGCGGAGCCGAGGAAGAAGCCUGCCCCCGGGCGCGGCGGCGUAGUCUCCCUCCCCCCGGGGUUCUCCGAGGAGGAGGCGCGCGUCCGCGCCAUCGCGGAGAUCGUCUCCGCCAUGGCGGAGCGCUCGCGGCGCGGCGAGGACGUCGACCUGAACGCGCUCAAGUCCGCGGCGUGCCGCAAGUACGGCCUCGCCCGCGCCCCCAAGCUGGUGGAGAUGAUCGCCGCCGUCCCCGAGGCCGACCGCGCCGCCCUCCUCCCCCGCCUCCGCGCCAAGCCCGUCCGCACCGCCUCCGGCAUCGCCGUCGUCGCCGUCAUGUCGAAGCCCCACCGCUGCCCCCACAUCGCCACUACCGGCAACAUCUGCGUCUACUGCCCCGGCGGCCCCGACUCCGACUUCGAGUACAGCACCCAGUCCUACACCGGCUAUGAGCCCACCAGCAUGCGAGCCAUCCGAGCCAGGUCUCUCUCUCUCUCUCCAUCCCUAACCCCUCAAUUUUGAAUUCUCUUAUAUGCAUGCGAAAAGGCUUCUUUUUUCUGUUAUAUGUAGAAUACCGAAUUCUGGAUCGAAAUAAUUUGCAUGCUGUACAUACACAAUACCAGCAAUAUUAGGUCAUAUUCAAGAUUACCACAACCACAGCAAGCAAGAUGAAACUGCUGUUAGUAAUCAUAAGAUUGUUCGCACUUACAAUGAUAUACACUCGCAUCCUAUCUCAAAGUACGGCCUCGCCCUAUGAAUUGCCCUCUUUCAUCAUUGAUCGAAUAACGCCAUGUGGCGAAGCCCUGAUUUCGUACUGGGAGUACAGUUAAUCAAAGAUUUCUUGGUAUAUUUGAAACCAUAAUUGGUGCCAAAUAACCACACUAACAAUUUUUUUUUUCCUGUUUCCUAUAACAUAGCCAACUCUUUCCGUAAGAAGGCAUUUUUGGCUUAUUCAAAUGAAAAACAUAGAGCACCGGCAGGUAUUUAAAGAAAGAUGGUGUUAAAAAUACAUUUGUGGCUCUUGCUAGCUUACUUUCUUUUGAUUGGAGAUAGAAAACAAAAGGAAGGCAGGUAGUAUAGACAAUAGAAGGAAUACGUGACAGAACUAACAACCAUAGAUUUGCUCCAACUACUCCCUGCUGCAUAGUAUGCGGUGCCGACAAAUUUCUUCGUACUUCCCAUGAUUGAUCUCUCGACUCCUUAUACUUGCGGAUUGCAAUUAUGAACCAUCUACCCUACUCGUAAGGGCAUUUGAAUUUUGAAUGGGAUUCCCAUCAUGGUUAAAGGUUAUGUUGGGUCAACAUCUGUCUGUGUUUCUUUUGCUCUUGUAGCGGCUGAUGUGCUUAAUUUUUAUCAGUGUAGUGCUGUAGUGUAUAACUGACGUGGUGUGUUGGGUGUAGGCAAUAGUUUCUUAUGCAGUGAAGUUAAAUGCUGCAAUUAUAGAAGUUGUGCCUUCUAACUUGAUAAAUCAUUUUUUUCUAAAGGCAUGUUUAACAUUGUAGAGACAACCAAUGCAACUUACCGAUUUUUUGUUUUUUGAGCUCCAACCUUAUAAAAUUGAAUGUUGGUGGAUGGUUUUUUGUGAUGUUAAAUAAACCUCCUAACUACAAGUACGGUAAUAAUGAUUUGAAUCUAUGAUUCUUUUGUUUCUUUCUUUUACUAAUAUGAAAUGUUACCACUGUACUGGUUUAAUCCUGUAUAUGGUUUAGUCAGAAAGUCAAUCUUGUGAAUAUAACUUAGGAGUGAGACUAUUUAUCUGAUAUAAAUCUAUUAUGUUAUUUGCAAAGUAGUUGUUGCUCCUUAAUGUUUAAAUAAGGCUAAGGGUGUAAUGUGGGCACUGGGCUGUGCCAUGCUGCUAUGACCCACAUUUACCUGUGCCGUGCCAACAUGAUUCGCAGUCAACCAUGCUGAAAUAGAUCUGAGACCGAUUUGGCAUUGCACAGGACUAAAACUAUGCCUUGUUGUGUCGGGCCGGCUUUCCUAAAUCAGCAGCGUAGCGUGGCCACUUGGUUUGGACGUACCGGAGUAUUUUUUUUUUCUGUUUUUUAUAUAAUUUUAUAAAAAUUUAAAUAAAAAAUGGACCAAAAUGAAUCCCAAUACCCUAUCUUUUCUAGCUAUUGGGGGGAUAUUUUGUCUUAGAAAACAAAAAAAAUAUUUCUAUUGAAUCCUUUGGGACUUGUUUCUAUCCCUUCCAAAGUCUUAAGGAGAGUAAGUUUUGAACCAAGGUCGAAGGGCCCAGGACCAAGUUGCCAAGGCAAGAAAGCUCAAUGGCUAGUUCUACAAUCUACAUUCUCGAAUAAGACCAUGCUAGGGCCACUACCACGCUUAACCAAACUAGCAUUUCUUUGCGGCUUUGACCUGCUCUCUUAUUCUGAUGCUAAGAUUGAAAAUCCCUAAGAACAAUAAUGAAACAAAUCAGACAAUAAUAACAACUCCAACCUUUGUUGCACUCCUCCAUUAUUUAUUCGCAAAUAAUCUGCUAUAGUGCUAUAAUAAAGAAAACAAUAAUAGUUUGAUUUAUAGUGACCAAUAAUUAUGACCUAUCACUUGAAAGAAAGACUCUUCAUUCAUAUUUCUUAACCAACAUCCAAUCAAGCAUCACCAACUAAUUGGGGAGUUUGAUGGCACUAUCGAGAAGCAGAAGCUCAAACUAUAAAGAGUGGAGGAGGAGAGAUGAUACUUCUGGUGAUUAUAUAAUCGAUUUUAUUGUGUGAUUCCUCACACAUCUUUGUGUGUUGGUGUUGUGUGCGCUCGUAUAAGAGAGAGAGAGAUUCAAUUAAGCACAAAAGAGUUAGAGAGUUCCUUUGUAAUAUCAAGCAUUCAAGUAAGCAAUAAAGAGUCGGAGGGUUCAUUUGUAAUAUCAAGAGAAGGAAGUUGGAGCAAGAAUAAGGGAGAUGACACUUCAUUAUGCGAUUCCUUUUGAUAUGUGUGUGGGCGCUAGAGAGAGGGGGGAGAGAGAGAUAUGAACGAUGGAGGAUCUUAUAUUUGGUACUAGUGGGCUUGUCAGGAUCAAAGAAUGGGCACUUAUAGUUCAUUAAGGUAGCGUUUGGUUCGGGUAUAAGCAAGAACUAGCUAUUGCAGGGAUAGGUACAAGUAUGGGGAUAAGCAAAAUAGCGCUUGGAUGAAAAUUGGGUUGUUCCCGGGGAUAAGAAAAAUAGCGUUUGGAUAGAUAAUAUGGAAUAAGAAAAAUAGUGGGUAGUUAUAUAUAGAAAAUGGAGGUGUUGGUGGGGAUAAUUAUACCAGCUUAUUUUAGGUACCUAAGAAUUACUAUUCUCGGAUAAAAAAUUUGCGUUUGGGUAUAAAAGGGGGAUAAGGGGUUAU
Molecule: long non-coding RNA, 158333 nt
Filed under: Ananas comosus (pineapple)
Lineage: Eukaryota; Viridiplantae; Streptophyta; Magnoliopsida; Poales; Bromeliaceae
Description: long non-coding RNA (ACOM_LNC030768)
Source: RNAcentral